CAGUUCCUGCCGGAGCCCAGGAGGCCGUGGAGCACGAAUGCCGUCGGGGCGGCGGGACCGUCGCCGGAGGGAGGAGGGGGUACCUCUUCGUAAGCUAGGGUUUGCAGGGACCGGGCGGAGGAGGAGGAGGAGCUGGUUAGCAGGUAAAGGUGGCGACUCGGUGAGUCGAGGAACCGAGUCAGGAGGCGGAGGGGCCGUUUGUUUCCGAGACUUCUGGCCAUGGAUGAUGAUCCCCCUCCUUCGUGCUCGAGUCCGGAGGCUUCGGGCUUGAUUAAAGGGAAAGAAAAUUGCCCAGCUAGGCUGCUGAGAAAAAAAUUCAACAAAUUCAAAGACACCACCUCAGCAGCUGACGCGGCGUGUAUUUCUUUUACUCACAUCCACUUGCAAAUUGACAAAUGUCCAUAAUGCCAUAUCAUUAGUUGAUGUGGAGUAAAUGAAAAAAAUUUCAAAAUCUCGAUCUCCCUUUCUCAUCCAUUCCACCGUGUCGUCUUUCUUUACUCACGCAUGACUAACCAGCCAAGACAAGCCGUGGCCACCAGAUUUAAGGAUGAGCCCACCUUGCGAGUCAUGGACAACACGAGCAAGGCUCAUGGCUAUUAAAGAGGCCAAAUUUGGACGGGCAAUGAUAGGACUGAAAUGUUUCCAUAUAUGUUGCGCGAAGUUUGCAGAAGAAGUAAAGAAGGUUCUUUAUUUGAUUUUUCGAGAGGUGCCAAGGUUGGGAUGAAGCAAAGAAUUUGUUUGAAAACCUCAUGUGAUAUUUCAAAAUUGACAAAACCAUUUAUCUAUAUCAAAUGUUAGAUAAAUUGGUCUUAUCUCAAGUUACACAAAUGUAAGGACUCCAUCACCAUUGAUAGAUUAUGAAGUAUGGAGUGAAAGACUAAAUAAGAGUAGAACCUUAAUGGAGUUGAACAAGUCAAAGAAUGGGAAGUUCAUUAAGAUUUGGAGGCACUGUGACUAGAUAAAUAGCUAAUGUGGUCAUAAUCAUACUUAUGAAGAUAAAGUGGAAGGUGGUAUGUAAGCCAACUGUUGGCAGUAAGCCUUGUUAGACCGACACGUCCCUAAUAAAAGUGGUUUGCUAUAUCACUUGAGCAAUUCGGUUUAUUGAGAGUGAUUGUAAUUUCUUUUGAGAAGUGUAUUAUUGGAGAAAACUUACUUAUUUGUUUUGAAGUUGACAAAACGUUUCCAUCAUUCUAGUUUGAAGACUUGCAGACUCUAUCGUCAAAGUCUGAAGACCUCUAGACUCUAUCGUCAAAGUCUGAAGACCUCUAGACUCAAGAUUUAAAGUCUAACAUCACUGAUAGUUUCUAAUCCGACGAAGAAAAGAUUUAUUCGAUGAAGAAGACUUGUCCAGAUGCGAGUAUAUCUUUAAAGAUUUGGUUAGUACGGUUGAAGAAGAUCUCACAACUGGAGAUAGCAUCUCGUGAUCAGUUAUUCUUAUUGAAAUCAAUUCGGAUAAUUAGAUUUAUUGAUUGACAAAGUAUACUUGGAAGGUUCUACUUAUGAAAACUUAGAUUCUAAUUGUAUGGGCGAGCAAGAUUGGUGGGCUAUUAUAACAUUUCUUAAAUAACUUGAGAUCUCCUUAUUUGAUUCUGUUCAAUGGGUAGAUUGGAAGAAUUCUUUUGGAAGGUGCCAACGGUUUAAAAGGCAUGGAGGAGUAUAUAAGGAAGACGCUCAAGUUAUUUGAGUGUGUGCGUGAAAGAAAAAUUUCAAAGUCUGAAACUCCUAGUUCUUUGCUGUUUCAAUUGUUGAGCUUAAUUGUACUCAAAAGAGAGAUUAAAUACUUGUGAGACAUUGAGGAAGUGUAGCAGAGUUUCUACACUGUGGAAUCAAAGACGUGAGACUGUAAAAUCUCUUUUAGUUCUUAGUGGAAUCCAGCCAGUGGGCUGUCAGUGCAAGAGAGUAGACAUAGGCUUGGUCUAAGCCGAACCACUAUAAAUCUUGUGUUUCAAUUCUCUUUUCUUAAUCUCUUUACGUUAAUUUGUAACUUUAUAUAACUGUUUAUAGUCUAUUGUUCUUAGAAGAUGAAUUAAUUUGUUAAGUUUUGGGAAAACCUUUUUGAUCACCUAUUCACCCCCAUUUAGAUGCUCUUACUAGCCUUAUCAAUUGGUAUCAGAGCCUGUGUGCUCAUUUAAUUAAAGUGUUUUUACUUAUGAGUCAAAGAUCUAUGACUCGUAUGUUGGCUCCAGGUUUGGUUGAAGGUCAAAGCAAUACUAGACCAUCUUACUUCGAUGGAAAGGAAUAUGGCAUAUGGAAAAAUAAGAUGAAGGCAUUCAUAAGAUCGAAAGAUCCUCUGGAAUGGGAUGUGGUAUAAAAAUGAAUCAUUCCUAAAGCUAUAUUAGUUUUAGAAAGAGGAAAAGAAGUUACAGACGCUGGCGAGAUGACUCAAGAAGAAAUAACCAAGAGACAAGUUCUUGAUGCUAAAGCAAUUUACUCCUUAUAUUGUGCGUUAUCUCUUACUAAGUAUAACAUAAUAUCUUCUUGUGAAACAGAUAAAGAAGUUUGGGAUAGGCUGCACAUUACCUAUGAAGGAACUAAUCGAGUGAAAGAAACAAUGAUCAAUAUUCUACUUGAACAGUAUGAAACCUUCAAGAUGAAGCCAGAAGAAUCUAUCACUGACAUGUUUAGUCAUUUUACAGAAAUUGUAAACGGUAUAGAGUAUCAAGGACAUCCAAUCUCAGGACCAAUGAAGGUCAACAAAUUGUUGCGUGGACUCUCCAAAGACUGGAAUCACGUGAAGACUUCAAUAAGGGAAACAAAGGAUCAUGCCGCUUUCGGUAGACGAACUGGUUGGCACACUUCAGUCUAUUGAAUUGGAGCAAAUCAAUGAGGAAGAAUAUUCCAAAGGUAAGAAGUCAAUUGCUUUAAAAUUUAACGAUGAGUCUGAUGUUACAGACUUUGAAGAGGAUAUGGACGAUGAAGAGCUAGCACUAAUGAUAAAGAGGUUCAGGAAACUGAACAAAAAUGGAAGAAUGUUUAAUUGGAAGAAACAAAGCACUCAAAAAUUUCAAAACAAAUCAACUGAGGAUGAUGAAACCAAUAGAGAUAUGAUCUGCUUUGAAUGCAAGAAAAAUGGACACAUCAUAUCCAAUUAUCCUCCGUUGAAGAAAAAGAAGGGAAAAGCUGAAAAAUACAGAAAAGCUCUCAAAACAGAAACAUGUAGUGAUACUGAAUGCAAAGAAAGUGAUGAAGAUUAUGCCAAUAUUUGUUUAAUGGCAAAAUUUGAAUCAAACUCAGACUUUGAGAUAGAUGCAGACUUAGACUCAGACAGCGAAAUCAAGGAAAAUUUUUGGAAAGAAAAGUUUGAAAAUUUAGACAAAAGUUUUGUUGUUUCAAAAAGAAAAUGCAGACUUUCUUUCAAAAUAAAAUAUAAUUUUGAAAGAGGACAUUUCAAAUAUCUCAAAAAGGUUUUCAAUAGGAUUUGAAAAGUUGGAAAAUAUUCUUUCAGUACAAAGACCUUAUUUCAACAAAUCAGGCUUGGGAACAACUUCAGAAAUUAUUCCUCUAAUUGAUUUUCCAAAAGUGAAGGAAGGAAUCAAACAAAGACCUACAAAAACUUUUCAUAGAAAUCAUUUUCAAAAAGUCUUUGUAAAACCUGUUGGCUGAAGUGCUCUCAAAUGUUCUAAGUGCAACAUUUCAGAAUAUUUUGAGAAAAAAUGUCCUAUGGUUUGGAGACCUGUUAAGAAGGAAUUGGCAAAGACUGUAUAUUGCACUAACUCCAUUGGACCCAAGAAAAUGUGGGUACCAAAGAAAACUUGAGUUUCUUUUUUAAUUGUGGGUCACUAUCAAGAAAAAAGUUAAAUGGUAUAGUGGCUGUUCGAGACACAUGAUUGGAGAUUCAAGUUGUUUUACAAAAUUUGUUCAAAUAAAUGGUGGAAAAGUCUCUUUUGGUGGAAAUAGCAAAUGAAGAAUUGUUGGGUGUGGAACUGUAAAGAUUGGAAGUCUCACAAUCAACAAUGUCUCCUUGGUGGAAGGACUAAAUUAUAAUCUACUUAGCAUAAGCCAACUGUGCGACACUGGAUUCAAAAUCAAUUUCCAAGAAGGAGUAUGUUCGGGAACUAGUAAAGGUCUUUCUCAAUCUUUUACUAGACGAAGACAUGGGAACAUUAUAUAAAACCAGAAAGAUCUCAAUGUCUAGUUUUAAUUCAAGAUGAAGCAAAUAUUUGGUAUCGAAAGCUUGGUCAUGUCAACAUGAAGCAAAUUGCUAAGUGAAAGAGCUAGUACGAGCACCUAGAGGGGGGUGAAUACGUGUGAAAGCAAAUUUUGCAAAAUAUAGUAUAAAACUUUUCCCUUUACCUUGAGUCUGGUUGACAAUAGAUUUUGCAGAGAAAAUUAGACUCUAACAAUUAAAUAGAGUUACGAACAAAGUAAAAGAGUUAAGGGAAGAGAAUAAGAACACAAGGUUUAUAGUGGUUCGGCUUAAUCUAAGCCUACGUCCACUCUCCCGCACCGAUAGCUCACCGGCUAGAUUUCACUAUGAAUUAAAAGAGUUGUUACAGUCUCACGUCCUUGAUUCCAUAGUGUAGAGAUUCUACUACACUUCCUCAAGGCCUCACAAAAGUCUAAACUCUCUUGAGUACAAAUUUAUGCUCAACAAUUGAAUUAGCAAAGAACAAGGAAUUUCAGACUUUGGAAUUUAUCUAUCGCACACACACUAGAAUAAUUAGAGCGUCUUCUUUAUAUACUCCUCCAUGCCUUCAUAACCGUUGGUACCUUCCAAAGGAAUUCUUCUAAUCUACCUGUUGGACAGAAUCAAUUAGGGAGAUCUCGAGUUACUUAAGGAAUGUGAUGAUAGCCCACCAAUCCUGUUCGCCCAUACAAUCAGGAUCUAUGUUUCCAUAAGUAGAACCUUCCAAGUAUACUUCGCCAAUCAAUGGAUCCAAAUUACUCGAAUUAAAUUCAAAACGAAUAAUAGAUCUUGAGAUGCUAUCUCCAGUCGUGAGAACUUCCUUAGCCACUCGAAUCAAAUCCUUAAAGAAAUAUUCAAUUUUAGAUAAGACUUCUUUGUCGGUUUAGAAACUGUCAAUGAUGGCAGAUUUUAAAUCUUGAGUCUGGUGGUCUGGCGAUCUUCAGACUUUGACGAAAAAGUCUGUAAGUCUUCAGACUAGUAUGAGUUUUAAAACAAAUAAGGAAGUUUUCUCCAAUAAUCUCCCUCUUUUUAUGGUGACAAAACUUUCCUGCAGAUUUGGAUACAUUUGAUCUGCAAAACAAUACUCAAACAAACAAGGAUAUCUCAUAAAAGAUAAAUGGAUUAUGAUAAAUAUAGUAUCGAAUUUGUAUCAACAGGAAAUGAGUUAGUCUUGUAAAAAGAACUAUCUUAGCCAUGAAUAUCAACAACGCUUAAGAUACUGCAAGCAUUAAACGAUCAAACAAUAUAAACCAAAAAACAUAGUCCAAACCAGUCCCAAACCAAAACUAGUCACAACCAGACAAAAGUAAAGUCAAAAGUUAAACAAAAGUCAAAUCUGCAAAUCUGCACCAACUUUUCCCCCUUUUUGUCAGUAUGAAAAGGUAGAGAUGAAAUAGAGAUUUGGAUAAAAUCAGGAUUGUUUUGGAAUGCGAACAAGCUGGAAAUCUCUCAUCGACUUGAUAGUCUCCUCCAGCUUUCUCAGAUCCUCCUUCAGUUGCGCUAUUUCUUCACCCUUAGCAGUUGCUUGAACUUGAAGAUUAAGGACCUAAACUUGAUUGUGCAAAGAAACUGAAGAAGCUUGAUUGGCAUUUUGCAUAUUCUGAAUUUCGCAUCCCAAGGCAUAAAUCUGACCUCGCGUCUCCAUAAGAACAUCAAGCAAUCUUCGAAAGUCUGCUGAGUUGUCAGUUUGAGUGCUUGCUUAUGCAUGAUCAGUUUGUGGAGUAUUGGCAGAUGAUGGCAUUUCAGCAUGAGCACCCAGACUCGGAGAUGAAACCUCAUGAUCUUCUUUAGGAAAUUGAGAGGCAUAUACAUCUUCUAGAUCGGCAGGAGAACGGUUAAUAUCAUCACUAGUACAAGCAAGUGAAGAAGUACCUCUUUUCUCAGUAGCUCCCCCUGUUUUAGUGCCUUCAGGUGGAGAGAAGUACUCUUCAUGCUCUGUCUCUUCUUCAGUAACAUGAUGACCUUGUUCUACUCUUUCUUCUUCUUUUGCAGUUCUUUCUUCCUCUGCUUCUUUCCUCAUCGUUUCCCUCUUUUCAUUCCUCCUCUGUUUCUUCUCUGUCUUGAUCCUCUCUCUCCUUUGUCUCUGGAACAAAACGUUGUAAGUUCCUUAAUGCAAGAGCGGAAAUGGUGAUAUCUUCCUCAUCUUCUUCAUCCUGCAAGAUGAGUGCUCUUCUUUUCUUAGAUGGAGCUGUCAUGGGCUCAUUUCCUUUCUGUUUUGCAACCAUAGAGUCUUGAUGAGGCUUGACAGGGGUCUUCUCCUUAAAACGCUAUAAAGCCUUGUUUAGCUCCUUCAGACGCACUUUUGAAACCAUCUUCAGCCCCACCACCAUUUGAUCACAGGUUCGAACACAUAAGAUUUUGGGAGGCUGAAUAUUAAAAUGUCUGAAUAGCUGAGUAACAAGUGCUGAAUAAGGAAGUUGGCCUUUGUCCUUCACCAUUGACCUAUAUAUGUGAAACAUGAUAGUGUGUGGCAAAGAGAACUUUUUGCCAGCAUUGAUAGCAUACAUCAGCUUCGCUUCUGCAUUGGAGACGUUAGUCUUUGAUGUGGAUUUGGGUCAAAGACAGUUAAUCACAAUCUUGUGAAGCAAGACAUUUGAGGCAUUCAUCCUCAAGAAAGAAAUUCGGCCUUCUUCCAUUCCAUCUCGAACAAGCUCCACAGUCGCACGACCAAUAGACACAUUAAAUGAUUGGAACAUCCCUCUCUCUACUCCAAUCACAUCAGCCCGAGUGUCCAUAUCAACCACAUAAUCCUGGUCUCUAACAUUGAAAGAAAAUCUAUUUGCAUCCAAAAAGCUUAGAUUGGAAUAGAAAUACGCAAUAAGUUCUGGAUGAGCCACUGUUGUCUGAAAGCAAAAUCGUUCAAGCUGAAGUAAAGUAAACCUCUCUCGCAGCUUCACGUUCAAAGAAUCGAGAAAUCAAAAUUCACACUUCUCGGGUUCAUCACCUCUCGCUUCAGCAAUUUAGAGUAAAGUCGUUUAUGUUACUUAGAACGAAACAAAUCUAUCAUUUUUCCUCGAAUAUUUGCAGCAACACCCAUUCUAGGUUUAAAAUGAGUGAACAUCUUUUCAUCAUCAUUUCCAUCAGGUUGACUAAGUUCUCCAACACGUGGAUCAUUUGGGAUAUUUGCAAAAGCUCUUUCUGCCGAGCCCGUAUGAGCAAUUCCCAAAUGUUCCAUCGUUCGUAAAAAAUGAGUUUCAUUUUGGUACCCAUUUUCUUUCAAAAAUUCAUCAAUAAAGUUCAAUGGAGAACCUCCAUCCUUUAAGGUAGAGUAGAGUUUGAAAGUAAAAGCAGGUUUUUGAGUCCUUACAAGUUCGGCAUCCUCAAUAAUCUCUUCCUCCAAUUGAUGAUGCUGAAUAUUCUGUUGUCUAGCCUGAGGGGAAUGACGCUGUUGAGAAUGUUAUGGAAUCUGCUGAUGCCUUGGAGAUUCUUCUUCCUCUGUAAGGUCAAAGUGCAUAGGACCCUCCCGCAUAUGCUGUGGUCCACUGCUUGCGAUCCUUGAGGACUUUCUUUGAUAAGACAUUAUCACAGUCUUUGAGAGAGUUUCCGAACUCGAUUCGAGAGAAAGAUGAAAAAUUUAAGGAUUAAACUAGGGAGAAAAAGUAAGAAAGUGAAGUUCUUUGCUUCUAGGGUUCGUGAAGAAAAUAAAGAAGAAGGACAGUAUAUAAGGCAAUCGAAACGGGGUAUACAGAUCGUCAUGAAAGGAAUGCUGGAAAAUGCAUUUUCAAAAAAAUAAUUGCCUUUUUGAAAAUAGAUAACUGUCAUUUAAAACAAAAUACAUUCUUUUUCAAAAAAGAAAAAUUGCUAUAAUUACGAAAACUUGGGAAGAUUACAUCAAUCAAUUGCAGAUUUAAUAGACAAUCGUACAUUUUUGAGUUUUUAUCUGAAAGAUAAAUUUCUAAAACUGAAAUAACUUACAGUCGUGAUUCUUGAUCUUCUAAGUCUGAGCAUCAUUAGACUUUUAUCCUUGAGUCUAAACUUCUUUAGACUUUGAGAUAUUAAGUCUGGAUCGAAUAGACUCAAAUUGACUUUUCUCUAGUGGCUUUGUAAAAAUGUCCGCCGGCUGAUUCUUUGAGUCAAUGAAUUGAAUCAAUAUUUCUCCAUUUUUGAACGUGAUCUCUAAUAAAAUGAUGUCGAAUUUCUAUAUGCUUUGCUCUUGAAUGAAGAAUUUGAUUUUUGGUGAGAUUAAUCGCGUUGGUGUUGUCACAUUUGAUCUCAGUGCAUGAAUCUUCGAUUCAAAAGUCUCUUAGUUGUUGCUUCAUCCAUAAGAUUUGAGCACAACAACUUUCAAGAGCCACAUACUCUGCUUCUGCUGUUGAAAGAGCUACAGUACUUUGCUUCCUUAAAAACCAAGAUACUGUCCCGUUGCCAAGCAAUUGACAAGUGCUCGAGGUGCUCUUUCUAUCAACUUUGCAUCCUGCUAGAUCUGCGUCUGAGUAUCCAAGGAGAGUACAGUCUCCUUAUUUAGGAUACCAUAGACGUAACUUAGAGGUUGUUGCAACGUAUUUGAUGAUGCGUUUCGCAGCACUUAGAUGAGAUUCUUUGGGAUCUGAUUAAAAUUUGGCGCAAAUACAAACACUAAACAGAAUGUCAGGUUUAGAAGCAGUAAGAUAAAGAAGUGAACCAAUGAUACUUAUGUACAGCUUCUAGUCAACUUUCUUUCCUCCUUCAUCUUUGUCCAACUUCAAAGAACUUGACAUUGGUAUAUCAAUAUUUUUGCAAUUCUCUAGACCGAACUUUUUAACAAGUUCUUCAGCAUAUUUUUUUUGGUGAAUGAAAGUCCCUUCCUUCAAUUGUUUUACUUGUAGUCCAAUAAAGAAGGAUAGCUCACCCAUUAUGCUCAUCUCGAAUUUAUCCUACAUAGACUUAGAGAAUUUCUUGCAUAGAUUUUCGUUAGGUGAUCCAAAAAUAAUAUCAUCAACAUAGAUUUGAACAAGCAAAAAGUUUUUACUCUCUCUUUUAAUAAAUAGAGUAGUGUCCAUUUUACCUUAAACAAAGCCAUUUUAGAUUAAAAACUUACUUAACCUGUCGUACCGAGCUCGAGGUGCUUGCUUUAAACCAUAUAGCGCCUUUUUCAGUCUGAACACAGAGUCUGGUUUUCUUAGGUUUUCAAAACCAGGAGGUUGUUCCACAUAGAAUUCCUCUUGGAUAAAUCCAUUUAGGAAUGCACUUUUGACGUUCAUUUGGAAUAACUUGAAAUUCUUAUAACAAGCAAAAGCAAGUAAUAAUCUAAUUACUUUUAACCUUACUACUGGUGUGUAAGUCUCAUCAUAGUCUAUCCCUUCUUCUUGCGUAUAUCCUUUGGCCACGAGUUUUGCUUUGUUCCUUAUAACUUUUCCUUUUUCAUCCAUCUUAUUCUUGAAAACCCAUAUAGCUUCAAUAACAGAUUUAUCUUUUGGUUUAUGAGUCAAUUCCCAGACAUCGUUAAUACUAAAUUGCCUGAGUUCUUCUUGCAUAGCUUCAAUCUAGCUUUCAUCAGUUAAAGCUUCUUCUAUGCUUUUGGGUUCUAUUUCGGAAAUAAGAGCCAUAGAGCUAGACUCUUCACGCCUUUUGGAUCUUGUUCGAAUCCCUUCAUCAAUAUCAUCAAUAAUAAGUUCUUUGGGAUGACUGGACUUGUGCUUCAAGUUGCUGGUUGGUUUGACAGAUUGUUGAUCUUUUUCUUCAUUUGAUUCUUCAACAUUCAUUCGUUGUUGACUUUCUGAAGUCUGAGUUGCUUCAGGAGAUUUAGACUUUGUAGAGUCUAGAGCAGGUUCAGAUUCUUCAGGUAGAGUUUGGAUCGAUUGAUUUUGUAUAAAGUCUUAAAAUUUGACGUUCAUCGAUUCUUCCAUAUAUUGAGUCUUUUUGUUGUAUACUCUAUAGGCUUUGCUGGUGGUUAAAUAUCCAAGGAAGAUUCAUUUGUCUGAUUUUUUUGCCAAAAAGUAGACCCAAGUAAAUUGUGAAUAAUUGUCCACUAUUACUAGGCAAUAUUUCUUUCCACCAAUGCUUUAAGUUCUGGUUGGUCUAAAGAGAUCCUUAUGUAGGAGUUGCAGCACACGAUUAGUAGAAAUUUGAUUUAUUGGUUUGAAAGAACUUCUAAUUUGUUUUCCCAACAUGCAUGGUGUGCAUAAUUCAAAUUUUUGGUAUGUCAGGUUGGGUAGUCCACGAUCAAGCUUCUUUGUAGAGAUCUUGGCUAUUUGUUUCAUGUUGAUAUGGGCGAGUUUUAUAUGUCAGAGAUUAGCUUCCUCUUGAAUUGAAAUUAGACAUUGAGAUUUUUCUGGUUUGAUAUCCAAAAGAUAGAUGUUCCCAUGUCUUCGCCCCGUGAAAGUCUAAGAGAAGUCUUUACUGAUUCUCGAACAUGUUCUUUCUUGAAAAUUGAUUUUGAAACCUGUGUUGCACAGUUGGCUGAUACUCAGCAAGUUGUAAUUGAGUCAUUCUACUAAGGAGACGUUGUUGAUUAUGAGACUUCCAAUCUUUAUUGUUCCGCAUUUGAUAAUUCUUCCUUUACUAUUUUCACCAAAAGAAACUUUUUCACCAUUAACUUGCAUAAGCUUUAUAAAACAACUUGAGUCCCCUGUCAUAUGUCUUGAGCAUCCACUAUCCAAGUACCAUUUGACCUUUUUCUUGAUAGUGACCUGCAUUUAAAAAAGAAACUCAAGCUUUCUUUGGUACCCACACUUUCUUGGGUCUAGUGGAGUUAGUGCAAUAUACAGUCUUUGCCUAAUCCUUCUUAAUAGGUCUCCAAACCAAAAAACAUUUUUUCUCAAAAUGUUAUGAGCUGUUGCACUUAGAACAUUUAAGAGCACUGCGGCCAACAGGUUUUACAAAGACUUUUUGAAAAUGAUUUCUAUAAAAGUCUUUUGUAGGUCUUUAUUUGAUUCUAUCCUUUAUUUUUGGAAAAUCAAUUAGAGGAAUGGUUUCAAAAGUUAUUCCCAAACCUGAUUUGUUAAAGUAAGGUCUUUGUGCUGAAAGAAUUUUUUCCAAUUUCUCAGAUCCUAUAAAAAACCUUUUUGAAAUACUUGAGAUAUCAUUUUUCAAAAGUGUGUUUUCUUUUGAAAGAGAGUUUGCAUUUUCUUUCAAAGUAAUAAGGCUUUUAUCUAAAUUUUUGACCUUUUCUUUCCAAACAAUCUCCUGUUGCUUCAGUGCAGAAUUUUCUCUUUUUAGCUUGGAAAUCCUCUUGAGAGAGAUUUUGACACUAAGACACAGUUCAUCAAUAUAUUUAGAGACUUUAGUAGGAAUUUUUAAAUUAUUUACCUCGAUUUCACUGUCUGAGUCUGAGUCUGUAUCUGUCUCAGAGUCUGAAUCUGAUUCUGAUUGCGCCAUUAGAGAAAUAUUAGCAUAAUCAUCAUCACUCUCUUCGCAUUCGGUAUCACUCCAAGUUUCUGCUUUGAGUGUCUUUCUGUAUUUCUCGGCUUUUCCUUUCUUUUUCUUCAGCAAGGGACAAUUGAGUCUAAUGUGUCCCUUUUUCUUGCAUUCAAAACAAAUCACAUCUUUAUUGGAUUCAUCGUCCUCAAUUGAUUUAUUUUGAACCUUUUGAGAGCUUUGUUUUUUCCAAUUGAAUCUUCUUCCCUUUUUUGUUCAGUUUUCUGAAUCUUCUUCUCAUGAGAGCAAGCUCUUCAUCGUUCAUAUCGUCUUUAGAAUCUGUAACAUCAGAAUCAUCAUUAGAUUUUAAAGCAAUGGAUUUUUUUACCUUUGGGAUCUUCAUCUUCAUUGAUUUGCUCCAUUUCAUAAGACUGAAGAGUGCCAACCAAUUCGUCAACGAAGAGUGGCAUGAUCCUUUGUAUUUCUCUUAUUGAGGUCUUUACGUGAUUCCAAUCUUUGGAAAGUCCACGCAGUAGUUUGUUAACCUUCAUGGGCCGUGAGAUUGGUUGACCUUAAUACUCAAAACCAUUUACGAUUUCUGUAAAACGACUAAACAUGUCAGUGAUAGUUUCUCCUGACUUCAUCUUGAAGGCUUCAUAUUGACCAAGCAGAAUAUUGAUUCUGGUUUCUUUCACUCAAUCGGUUCUUUCAUAGGUGAUGUGCAGCCUAUCCCAAACUUCUUUAGCUGUUUUACAAGAAGAUAUUCUGUUAUAUUCAGUAGGAGAUAAUGCAUAAUAUAAUGAAUAAAUUGCUUUUGCAUCAAUAGCUUGUCUCUUGGUUAUCUCUUCUCGAGUCAUCUCGCUAGGCUUUGUAAUUUCUUUUCCUCUUUCUAAGACUGUUGUAGUUUUAGGAAUGAUUCCUUUGUCUAUCACAUCCCACUCCAGAGGAUCUUUUGAUCUGAGGAAUGCUUUCAUCUUGUUUUUCCAUAUGUUGUAUUCCUUUCUAUCAAAAUAAGGCGGUCUGGUGUUGCUUUGCCCUUCAACUAAACUUGGAGCCAACAUACUAGCCAUGGAUCUUUAACUUUGAAGUAAAAACACUUCAAUUAAGUGAGUACACAGGCUCUGAUACCAUUUGAAAGAGCUAGUACGAGCACCUAGAGGGGGUGAAUAGGUGCGAAAGAAAAUUUUGCAAAGUAUAGUAUAAAACUUUUCCCUUUACCCUGAUUCUAGUUGACAAUAGACUUUGUAGAGAAAAUUAGACUUUAACAAUUAAAUAGAGUUACGAACAAAGUAAAAGAGUUCAGGGAAGAGAAUAAGAACACAAGGUUUAUAGUGGUUCGGCUAAAUCCAAGCCUACGUUCACUUUCCCGCACUGAUAGUCCACCGGCUGGAUUUCACUAUGAAUCAAAAGAGUCGUUACGGUCUCACGUCCUUGAUUUCACAGUGUAGAGAUUCUGCUACACUUCCUUAAGGCCUCACAAAAGUCUAAACUCUCUUGAGUACAAAUUUAUGCUCAACAAUCGAAUAAGCAAAUAAUAAGGAACUUUAGACAUUGGAAUUUAUCUAUCGCGCACACACUCGAAUAACUAGAGCGUCUUUCUUAUAUACUCCUCCAUGCCUUCAUAACCGUUGGCACAUUCCAAAGGAGGUCUUCCAAUCUACCCGUUGGACAUAAUCAAUUAGGGAGAUCUCUAGUUACUUAAAGGAAUGUGAUGAUAGCCCACCAAUCCUGCUCGCCCAUACAAUCAGGAUCUAGGUUUUCAUAAGUAAAACCUUCCAAGUAUACUUCGCCAAUCAAUGUAUCCAAAUUACUCGAAUUAAAUUCAAAAUGAAUAAUAGAUCUUGAGAUGCUAUCUCCAAUCGUGAGAACUUCCUUAGCCGCUCAAAUCAAAUCCUUAAAGAAAUAUUCAAUUCUGGAUAAGACUUCUUCGUCGGUCUAAAAACUGUCAAUAAGGGCAGACUUUAAAUCUUGAGUCUGGUGGUCUGGCGAUCUUCAGACUUUGACGAAAGAGUCUGCAAGUCUUCAGACUAGUCUGAUGGAAACGUUUUGUUAGCUUCAAAACAAAUAAGUUUUCUCCAACACCAAGAUCUCUUCCAUGAAACUUGUUUGUGGAUUGCACACCAUGUGUGUUGUGAAAACAGGUAAGAAGUUCUUUUAAACUAAUCAAUCAAGUUUCUACUAAUCGUGUUUUGCAGCUUCUGCAUAUGGAUCUCUUUAGACCAACCGGAACUGAAAGCAUUGGUGGAAAGAGAUAUUGCCUAGUACUUGUGGAUGAUUAUUCACGAUUUACUUGGGUUUACUUUCUGGCAAGAAAGUCUGAAACCUUUUCUCACUUUUCAAAGUUUGCUAAGAAAGUUUAGAAUGAGAAAUGAUAUGCUAUUUCAAGCAUAUGGACAGACCAUGAAGGUGAGUUUGAAAAUCAAGACUUUGCCAAAUUCUGUGAUGAAUCUGGUUUUCAGCAUGUUUUCUCCUCUCCAUACACUCCAAAACAGAAUGGAGUUGUGGAAAUGAAGAAUAUAUCUUUGCAAGAAAUGGCAAGAACUCUUUUAAUAGAAAGUAAUAUUUCUUCUCGUUUUUGGGUUGAAGUAGUCUCUAUAGCUUGCUAUACUAUUAACAAAGUAUUCUUAAGGCCUAUUUUGGAGAAAACUCCCUAUUGACACCUAAAUUUUGGUGACCCAGUCAUGGAUUUUUUGCAUAAAAAGGGGGUUAAUUUUAACCCCUCAAAAAAUGCGUCAGAACAAAUAAAAUGAAAAUGAGGGGAGGAUCAGUUUGAUUUGAUUAUGAAUGGAAUGUGGAAAUUCUGAUUAACCAUUCUUGCUUUGGUGAAUAUUCAAGUCAUAGUAAACGUGGAAGCAAAUUCUCGAUCAAAUAAAUUUGGUGAAUAAAAAAAGCAAUGAGUUUGAUAAAAGGAAAGGAAUUGAAACAUCCAAGGAAAAAUCAAGCCGAUUGCAAGAUUUUGCUCCAAUUUACAGAUUAUUGAUUAAGGCAACCGAAAUAGGAAGCUCGAAAAUUGCCAUGAAUUGGGGUUUUCAGAAUCACUAUAAAAACGAGCAAGAAUUUACGUGACCGUGGGGGGGGGGAAUUGAGAGAAAAAUUUAUGCAAGAAAAAAAAGUGUAGAAAGAAAAAGCGCGAAAAAGAGUGGAAAAAAGGGGCAUCAAGAAGCAGUCUUUCUUCCCUUUUGACAAUUUGCAGAAGGAAAUGAAAGAAGAUUGCAGCAAAAGGAAAAAAGUCAGUACUGAGAGAGAAAGUAAAAAAAAAAGGAAAAAAAGGAGGGGUCUUCUUCUUCAGCAAUCCUUCGACCGGCGCCCCAGCAUCUACAACCCCCGUUCGUCGUCGCCUGCACGAGCACCCCUGCCGGUCGACGCCUCAGCUCCGACCUACGACACGCACAGCACCCCCUUUGCCCGCUGCUGAUCUGCUAGCCGCCGUCCCUCACCAGCGAGAUCCGAGCGCGCCAUCAUCUCCGCUUGACGACCCUCCAUCGCGACGCCUCCGCUUGCCGUUAACACUGCUGCUUUCUGCCCCAUGAGCGAUGCCCGCGCCACCUAUUGUUGCCAACGUCCGCACCUGAGCAUCCCCGUCCGCUUGUCCUCAACGACGCUCAUGCCCGUGACUUGCCUCGACACCUGUAGGACCUCCAUUGCAGUAACUUGCGACUUGCAGCCCCCGCGAGCCCACUCUCUGCUCGACCCAAACGCCCGUUGUUGCUGCUGCGAAUCACCGCCGCUUGGUGCCCCUCGCCUGAGCGACCACCAGCAGCUCGCUCGAGCACCGCCACUACUGCCGCGCCUCUUUCCGCCAGCAGCUCGAGCUGAUCACUGCGCCUCCGCGCCCCUGCAGCAGCCCGUGACGCCACUGUUCGCUACCAUCGCUGCUCCCACCGCCUCACCCGUGCUUGCACCAGCGACGUCCGCAGCUCCGCUGCCGCUCCGACUGACCUGCAGACGCCCGUGCGUCGCUGCUGCUCCUGCGACGAGUCGCGCUUCCUGAUCCGAGCGGCUCCCUUAUUCAUUGCCAUUCUACCAGCUGCCACCCGAGCCCCUCGCUAGAGCUCCGACGACCAUGCCCAUCGCCCUCACCGGAGCCAUUGGGUGACUUACCACCACAGCUGCUGCCUUUGAGCCGUGUCGUGCCGAGCUUCCAUCGUUGGUCCACCUCAUCAUUCGAAUUUUUUGGAAAAAAAUUCUAUUUAGGUAGAGAUUUAUUUUAAUUUUAGGUAGAUUUAUUUUAUUAGGUAGAUUUGUUUUAUCUUAUUUUAGUUUUUGAUAUUUUAUCUCUUUGUUUGAAAUAUUUUCCAAUGCAUGAUUGAAAUUCCUUGAUUUAGCAUCCAAUUCGCAACCGCACGAAUUUUUAUUCUAUCUAUAAGGCUUUAGAUGGAAUAAUUAUUCACGCGGGAGUAAAAUUGAUAUCUUGAUCUUUAAGGCUUAAGAUCAAUUUAUCGAUUUUAUUAGCGAGAUAAUCAAGUUUGAAUUUCAAUUCGAAUGGUGGAUAACAUUUGUGAUGACCAUGGAUGAUUUGGUGUUCAUUUUUUUAAUUGUUCUAUUUAUCCCGAAAAUACAAAAAAUUGCAUUUGCAUCCCAUGUAAAUUAGCAUUGGUUGCAUGAUAGGUUAGUUAGUCAUUUUUCUUAAAUGCAUGUUUAAAUGAUAUCUAGGUUAGAUGAUAUCUUUGAAUUAAAUUGCAUAUCUAGGAUAGGAAAUUUACUUAUUUCGAACUUAAAAAAAUAAAAAAUAAAAAAGUAAAAAUAAUAAAAAAAAUCCAAAAAAAUGCAUUCGUGUAGGAUGUUAGUUUUUUUUUUUUAAAAUCGAAUUGCAUGUUUAAUUAUUUUGCAUUUUUAAUUUAGAAUUUUAUAAAAAAACACAAAAAAUAUCAUGUGCACGUCUUAUAGAAUUAGGUUCAUGAAAUGCACGUUAUUUAGUGAUUACUAGAUUCAUUUAAUUAGAACUUCCUUGUCAUUAGACUUUACCAAAAAAAACUUCCUUGUCAUUAGAGUUUGGUCAUUUGAUUAAUUUAGAUUGCAUACUUGUGUCAUAUAGUUUAGGUCAUAUUACUAUGUCAUAUCAUUUCAUUAGUAGCAUGCAUUGCAUGAUUUUCAUUAGUUAAGUGAAAACAAAUAAAAGAAAUUGCGUGUUAAUUAGAAAUCAUAUAUAGGUUGAUGAUGUGAAUUUUUAAUCUAACAAUGCAGAUGCUUUCGUUGAUACAAGGUAAGUCUUUGCAUUUUUUUUUUUAUUUCAUUGCUUUCUUGGAUGUUAAAUUGGUGGUUUGUGCACCCACAUGAUCACCUCACAUGCUAGGAAAUAGAUUUAAAAUAAAUCCGAACUGCCUGCAAAAAUAUUUUUGAAAAUUAAAAAGAAGUGGUACUGAAAUGGCAUUAGAGAAAUCUAGUGUAACCAAGUCCCCAUACCCAUAGUCUCUGGUUCGUAGGAGUAAAGUGAAACUCCUGUUACUUUACUUGUGUUUCUAAUCGACCCACAAAAAAAUAUAUUAGUGGCGACUCCUGAUUAAAAAAUCAAUUGCAAGCUAAGAACUUGAACCUAAGUCGCGAAUUGGUAUGGGCUUGGGAGAGCCCGAGUUAAGUUUAGGCUUAACAAUCCAUUAGCCAAACCUUAGGUGGUUCACAUUCGAAAUUUUGGUCGCGACAGCUUGGCGAGUCCGCUGGGGACUUAGUUGAAACUCUUAGUGGAUUUAAGCCAAUUUUAUUUUUUGAAAAAUGUUUUUGUUUGGCAGCGAGGAUCCUAGGUAUGUCCCUAACAUUUAGGUGUUAAAUGUUUUUGCAGAUUAUGAGGUAUAAGGGGAGUAGUGAUUGCUAACCUUUGUCUUGCAGGUUGGAGUUGGGGAUGAAUGUUUUAAAUUCAGGUUAUUGAAGUGUUGCUUGAUCUAAAUUGCUGUGCAUGUCUUGCAUUCAACGCUACAUUAUUGCACACACAACCUGCCGUCGGAGCUGGGCCGCACUAGGAUAUUUAGGAUGGUAUUGAGUUGGAUACGACUUUGAUCGCGAGGCCGCGUAGUAGAGGUUGCCCAACUCAAUCCCGAAAGUUUCUUUCUUGGUGUCAAGAAUGUUUACCUCUGCCCAUGAGGCUGCGUCGCAUUGGGGUGUCAUUCUUGACUGAGCCGAAGUUAGGAGGACUUGGCUUAGCAUGCGAGGCUGCAACUAAGUCAUCCCACCCUUUUAACUUCAUUUUGCUAAGCUGUUUAGAUAGAAAUCGAGCCUCACACUUCAUGCGCUUGUCUAUGUGAUUGCUGUCGAUUUUCCUUGGUGAAGUAAGUUUUCUAUCCAUAUACCAUGCAAUUUAUUUUUGGUCUGUCCAUGACAAUCUAGGGUAGUCAUUUGAUCUAAUUCCUUUGUCAAUCAGAAUUGCCAUGCAAUGAAUCAUUUGGAAAAUAAAAAACUUUGGAGAAUUUGUUUUCAAUUCAUGUCUAGAAAAUUUGAUCUUGUUAAGGUGUCUAUUUUUCUAGCUCUCUUUAGGGAAUUCUCUUCUUGUAAGAACUUUUCAUAAAAAAAAAUGAAAAAAAGUUGAUAGAUCAUUGUCAUGGAUUGGUUUGCUAUCUGCACCUCAUGCUUAUGCAUUUUCAUCCAUUUAAUUUAGGUGAUAAUGGAUCCUCUACGCUCUCCCAUCAUUACGCGAUCAAGGGCUAAAAUGGCCGACCAAAACGAGAUGCGCGAUCGCAUGUCCUCCAUGGAAGAUCAACUCAAACAGUUAGCCGCCUCUAUACAGCUUAUAACAGCUCAACUUUAAUCCCUCCAGGUGAAUCCAAAUCCUCCACCCGCUCUCCUUGAGAUAGUAGUCCCAAUGAAUAGGGCCCAAAUGAGCGAUGGCGAAAUGCCUGGGUUGGAAGAUGACAUGGUCCUUGUUGGAAAGGCCAAGCUUGACAGUGUUCCUAAGAUAGAUCAAGAUGAGCACGUUGCAAAGUUGGAAGAGAAAGUGAGACAGCUGCAGGAGUCACAAAGCUCACUCUUGUUCGACCUAUCGGUUUAUGAGAAGGUCAAAAUGCCAAGCAAGUUCAAAAUGCCAGAAUUAGAGAAGUAUGACGGGACAUCUUGUCCGAAAUCUCAUUUGCAGAUGUACCACGUGCGCAUGGCCCAGCACGUAAAAAACGAGCCCCUCAUGAUCCAAUCAUUUCAUGCAAGUUUAACCGGGCCCGCACUAAACUGGUACGUUAUGAAGAAUGUAAACCUCCUUGAAACCUGGAACGAAGUGGCGGACGCGUUCCUCAAACAAUACAAGUUCAACAUGGACAUUGCGCCUUCCCGAGAAGACCUAGAGCAGAUGGAAAAGAAAAGGAGUGAGUCAUUUAAGGAGUAUGCUGUGAGAUGGAGAAACCUGGCGGCUUAAAUUACUCCUGAGCCUACCAAUAAGGAGUUGAUGAAGUUGUUUGUGAAGACCCUUUCAUGUGAGUUCUGCAACCGAAUGGCCAGUACGUAUGUCGAGAGCUUCAAUAAGCUUAUUCUUGUAGGAGAACAAAUCGAGAUGGGGAUAAGGGAAGGAUGGUUUUCUGAGCCAUCUACUAAAAGAUUCUCUGCCAAGAAAGAGAAGGAAGUUGUUGAGGAUGUAAAUGUGACCUAUAGCCUAGAAGGUACUAAUCGCACCCCGGCUAUCCAAAUGAAUCAAAGACAACAACAAACUGUUGGUCGUCAAUUAUUUGCCCAAGCAAAUAAUAAAAGGCAAUUCACUCCCCUCCCUAGAUCUCCAUCCCAGGUGUUGGCGAUUCUCCGAAAGAAAGGUUUGCUUUCAAGUGAACUUAAGCGUCCUAAUCGUGAAAGCAAUCGAGGUUACGACCCGAUGAAGAAGUGUGACUACCAUAACGGUGAACUGGGGCAUUCAACUGAUGAAUGUUUCACCCUCAAGCACAAGAUCCAAAACCUCUUGGACAUGAAGGCCUUUUUGUUUCAAAUUGCUCGGCCGAACGUCCAGAAAAAUCCGCUACCGGAGCAUGAGGGUACGGUGAAUGCUAUUCUGGAACUUGAAGUCGGCUGAAUCAAGAGCUUGAAGGUGCACGUGAUGGAAACCCUGGGGUAGCCAAGUGAUGGAUGGGAUGGCAUGAAUGAUUUGACAUCUCCAAACACAGAGAGCUCUGAUGAUGCCUCGGAAGGAAUCACAAGUUUGUUCAAUGACCUCAUCAUAGGAGCCAUUGAUGAAGGACCACUUGAAGAGAUGGGCUUUGGCUCACAAGAGUAACUCUUUUAUUGCUUUUAUGCAUUCCCCUGCGUGGGAAUUUUUAUUGCUUUCUAAGAGAUGUUUUCAGUUUCUUUUUUUAGUGAUUGAGUGUUGCAUUUUUCCAUUCAAUAAAUGUAAUUUAUUGAUUAAUUUCAAUUAAAUUACAAGUUUUAUUUUGAGGGCAUGAUGAGGUAUACCAAACCAGCCCGGUGAUGAUAUCCAACCGAUAAAAGAAAAGAAAAAUCCAAGGAUAAUUCUGAGGCCUGGGCUUCAUCAUGUUUUCUCGUGUCAAAAUGUUUCAAAAAAUGCUUUUCCAAAUGCUUUUCAAAAAAAAAUUUCAAAAAAAAUAAAACUUGAUUUACUCUGUUUGUCUUUUUGACCCAUCUACUUUUUGUUUCAGAGACGGUCUUAUAGCAUGUAAAGGUGUGGAAAUGGUCCAAUCCAAUUCCAAAUCCUAGGGGCAAGUUCGUUUUGAAUUACAGUGGCUCGUAUGUGGUAAAGAACAUACUUCCUGAAGGUGCCUUGAUCUUGGCAGAAAUGCAUGGUCAUGAGUUUCCCACUCCAAUUAAUUCUGAUGUUGUAAAGGAGUAUUAUCUGUGAUAGAAUUUGUCAUGUCAUGUUUUAAACUGCAAGCAUUUCUAUGAUAAGUAAAUUACUUCAAUGAGUUGAAUUGUUCAAAUUUGUUGCAAAUUUUGCAUACUUUUCCUAAUGAAUUGUGUGAGAUGAAUUGAAUGUGUCAAAUGGGGUACUUUGGAAUGACGAAAAGCAAGCCUUGUUUCAUACACUGCUUCAUACACUAACCCCCAAUGAGUUGUGUGAAAAAUUCCAUGCCCGCAAGGAAGAGGGCUAUCUCGCAAAGGGUACGUCAACCAAGGUGAUGAGAGGCAUUCUUUUUUCUAUCACAAACACUAUAUGUGAUCCAUUGCUCAACCCCUUUGAGCCCCAUACAAUUAUGGAGAUUCUUUUAAAAUUACCCCUGUCAAGGAUCAUCUCAUACUGGGGAAAAUUUAAAAUGAAUGGUAGGAAUCGUUUUGCUCACACUUGCAUCAAUCUUCGAGUAUCGCUUUUGCAGUGUAACUUACGCGGUAAUUCAAGUGCCUUAGGAUGACGAAGAGCAGUUCUUUCUUUAUCCUACACACUUUUGACUAUUGCAUAGCUCACUUGAGCCUAUAAAUUCAUUUCAUGUCAAACCCAGUUGGUGAUCAUCCCCCACACUAGGGCAAGGCAAAAAGAACCAUUCAAGUAACAUGGCUUAGAAUACUGACUUUGUCCAAAAAAAUGAGGCAUGAAAAAGCAGUGUGCCUGGUAAAAGCAAGGCCAAUGCCAAAAAAAAAAAAAUCAAAAUCAAACUCUUGAUAUAGUGAGUCAUAUCCCCAACAAGGCGAUACUAAAAAAACUCAAAUGUUGUUGCAAUCAAGUGAGUUGUGAUAUAAAAAAAAAAAAUCUUCGAUAGUGGAGAAAGAAAGUGGUGGAAAUGUCAAGAUGAUCACCAACUUUGACCCCCCUAAGCACUUUUUGAGCCUAAUGAUCCUUUCAUUUCUCAACCCAUGAGCCAAGCCUACGUUACGUCCCUUGCAAAGUCUCUUCAGAUUAGGGCACUUGAAUUAACCUAGGGGUUCACAUGUUUUAAGCAUCGCUCGAAGAAGUGCGAGCAAUAUUAUUCCUUUCUCAUUCUGCAGGGUUCUUGACUUGUAAACCCAGAGAUGAUUACAGAAUAUCACUCAUUCUUUCAAAAGCCUCGACUCAAAGAGUCCAUUUUGUUAAGCCGUUGACCAGGCCCAUAUUGCGGUCCCUUUUAAAGACCUCUUAGAUUGGUCAGAUUGUACCACUUGCGAGAUUGCAUAGACCCUUGUUUGGCAUGAUGACAGCGAGAUAGAGUGAUUGUCAAAAUCCUGCAUCAAAAGUCAGGAUGAAACGACCAUUUUUAAUGAGGAUGAGAGAAGAGUCCUUUCAAACCGAAAAAUCCCUCAUUUGACACAUCCAUGACACUCAUGUGUUCAGAUUGGAAUAUUCUUUUGAGAUAUUUUCCGAAGGAAAUUAGGCGAUGCAAGAUUGAUAAAAAUCAUCAUGCAUGAACCUCAUUUGAAUCAACACAUGUCUGUGAAUGCAUAUUGCCUCUCUUUCAACUGCUUUGUAGGAGACAUAUUCCCAAGGAAUAGAGAUGUCACCAGGUAAGUCUAUCUCUAUCCAUACCUUAAAUACUUGUCAUUGUACAUGUAUUCCUUUUUAAGCAUCGGCUGCCAUACUGAGUGACCGUAGAAUGCUACGGGUCCUGGGAAAACAGUCUCUUUGCAAAGUCAUGUUACGAGCUCACCUUCAAAGAGGGGCAGCUGUUGACACCUAAAUUUUGGAGACCAAGUCAUGGAUUUUUUGCAUAAAAAGGGGUUAAUUUUAACCCUUAAAAAAAUGCAUCAGAACAAAUAAAAUGAAUAAAAGGAAAAUGAGGGGAGGAUCAGUCUAAUUUGAUUAUGAAUGGAAUGUGGAAAUUUUGAUUAACCAUUCUUGCUUCGGUGAAUAUUCAAAUCAUAGUAAAUGUGGAAGCAAAUUCUCAAUCAAAUAAAUUUAGUGAAUAAAAAAAGCAAUGAGUUUGAUAAAAGGAAAUGAAUUGAAACAUCCAAGGAAAAAUCAAGCCGAUUGCAAAAUUUUGCUCCAGUUUACAAAUUAUUGAUUAAGGCAACGGAAAUAGGAAGCUCGAAAAUUGCCAUGAAUUGGGGUUUUCAGAAUCACUAUAAAAACGAGCAACAAUUUUCUUGACUGUAGGGGGGCGAGAAUUGAGAGAAAAAUUCGUGCAAGAAAAAAAAGUGCAUAAAGAAAAAGCGUGAAAAAGAGUGGAAAAAGGGACAUCAAGAAGCAGUCUUUCUCCCUUCUGACAAUCUGCAGAAGGAAAAGAAAGAAGACCGCAGCAAAAGGAAAAAAGUCAGUACUGAGAGAGAAAGUAAAAAAAAAAAGGAAAAAAGGAGGGGUUUUCUUCUUCAGCAAUCCUUCGACUGGUGCCCUAGCAUUUGCGACUCCCGUCUGUCACUGCCUUCAUGAGCACCCUCGCCGGUCGAUGCCUCAGCUCCAACUGGCGACACGCACAGCACCCCCUUGCCCACUGCUGAUCUGCUAGCCGCUGUCCCUCACCAGCAAGAUCCGAGCGCGCCAUCAUCUCCGCUUGACGACCCUCCAUUGUGACGCCUCCGCUUGCCAUUGCCACUGUUGUUUUUCGCCCCACGAGCGAUGCCCGCGCCACCUGCUGUCGCCAACGUCUGCAUCCGAGCAUCCCCGUCCGCCUGUCCUCAGUGACGCUCACACCUGCGACUUGCCUCGACACCUGUAGGACCUCCACUGUAGUAACCUGCGACUUGCAGCCCCCGCGAGCCCACUCUUUGCUCGACCCGAACGCCCACUGUCGCUGCUGCCAAUCACUGCUGCUCGGUGCCCCUCGCUUGAGCGACCAUCAGCAGCUCGCUCGAGCACCGCCACUACUGUCGCGCCUCCUUCUGCCAGCAGCCCGAGCUGAUUGCCGCGGCUCCGCGCCCCUGCAGCAACCCGCGACGCCAUUGUUUGCUGCCAUCGCUGCUCCCGCCGCCUCACUUGUGCUUGCACCAACGACGUCCGCAGCUCCGCCGCCGCUCCGACUGACCCAUAGAUGCCUGAGUGCCGCUGCUGCUCCUGUGAUGAGUUGCGCUUCCUGAUCCAAGCGGCUCCCCUAUUCGUCACCAUUCUACCAGCUGCCACCCGAGCCCUUCGCCGGAGCUCCGACGACCGUGCCCAUCGCCCUCAUCGGAGCCCUUGGGUGACUUACCACCACAGCUGCUGCCUUUGAGCCGUGUCGUACCGAGCUUCCAUCGUUGGUCCACCUCAUCGUUCGAAUUUUUUGGAAAAAAAUUCUAUUUAGGUAGAGAUUUAUUUUAAUUUUAGGUAGAUUUAUUUUAUUAGGUAGAUUUAUUUUAUUAGGUAGAUUUGUUUUAUCUUAUUUUAGUUUUUGAUAUUUUAUCUCUUUGUUUGAAAUAUUUUCCAAUGCAUGAUUGAAAUUCCCUGAUGUAGGAUCCAAUUCGCAACCGCACGAAUUUUUAUUCUAUCUAUAAGGCUUUAGAUGGAAUAAUUAUUCACGCGGGAGUAAAAUUGAUAUCUUGAUCUUUAAGGCUUAAGAUCAAUUUAUCGAUUUUAUUAGCGAGAUAAUCAAGUUUGAAUUCCAAUUCGAAUGGUGGAUAACAUUUUUGAUGAGCAUGGAUGAUUUGGUGUUCAUUUUUUUAAUUGUUCUAUUUAUCCCGAAAAUACAAAAAAUUGCAUUUGCAUCCCAUGUAAAUUAGGAUUGGUUGCAUGAUAGGUUAGUUAGUCAUUUUUCUUAAAUGCAUGUUUAAAUGAUAUCUAGGUUAGAUGAUAUCUUUGAAUUAAAUUGCAUAUCUAGGAUAGGAAAUUUACUUAUUUCGAACUUUUAAAAAAAAAUAAAAAAUAGUAAAAAUAAUAAAAAUAAAAAUCCAAAAAAAUGCAUUCGCGUAGGAUGUUAGUUUUUUUUUUUUAAAUCGAAUUGCAUCUUUAAUUACUUUGCAUUUUUAAUUUAGAAUUUUAUAAAAAAACACAAAAAAUAUCAUGUGCACGUCUUAUAGAAUUAGGUUCAUGAAUGCACGUCAUUUAGUGAUUACUAGAUUCAUUUAAUUAGAACUUCCUUGUCAUUAGAGUUAGGUCAUUUGAUUAAUUUAGAUUGCAUACUUGUGUCAUAUAGUUUAGGUCAUAUUACUAUGUCAUAUCAUUUCAUUAGUAGCAUGCAUUGCAUGAUUUUCAUUAACUAAGUGAAAACAAAUAAAAAAAAUUGCGUGUUAAUUAGAAAUCAUAUAUAGGUUGAUGAUGUGAAUUUUUAAUCUAACCAUGUAGAUGUUUUCGUUGAUACAAGGUAAGUCUCUGCAUUUUUUUUUUUUUUUUAAUUUCAUUGCUUUCUUGGAUGUUAAAUUGGUGGUUUGUGCACCCGCAUGAUCACCUCACAUGCUAGGAAAUAGAUUUAAAAUCAAUCUGAACUGCUUGCAAAAACAUUUUUGAAAAUUAAAAAGAAGUGGUACCGAAAGGGCAUUAGAGAAAUCUAGUUAACCAAGUUCCCGUACCCAUAGUCUUUGGUUCGUAGGAGUAAAGUGAAACUCCCGUUACUUUACUUGGGUUUCUAAUUGACCCACCAAAAAAUAGAUUAGUGGCGACUCCUGAUGAAAAAAUCAAUUGCAUGCUAAGAACUUGAACCUAAGUUGCGAAUUGGUAUGGGCUUGGGAGAGAGCCUGAGUUAAGUUUAUGCUUAACAAUCCAUUAGCCAAACCUUAGGUGGUUCACAUUCGAAAUUUUGGUCGUGACAUUCCCUAUGAGUUAUUCAAAGGAAAGAAGCUAAAUGUUUCUUAUUUCCAUGUGUUUGGAUGCAAAUGUUUUGUCUUGAAAAAUGCAAAUAAUCGAAUUGGUAAGUUUGAAGAGAAAUCAGAUGAAGGAAUCUUCCUUGGAUAUUCAACCACCAACAAAGCCUAUAGAGUAUUCAACAAGAAGAUUUAGUCUGUGGAAGAAUAUAUGAAUGUCAAAUUCCAAGACUCUUUGCAGCAUCAACUGAUUUAGACUCAGCUUGAAGAAUCUAAAUUUGCUUCAGACCUUACAAAGUUUACCUCCCCUGAAGUAGCUUAGACCUUUGAAGAUCAUCAACAAAUAGAAAUUGAAGAAUUAACUAAAGUAGUAGAACAACAUUUUGUUAGACCGACCAGCAACUGGAAGCACAAGUCUAGUCAUCUCAAAGAACUCAUCAUCGGUCAUAUUGAUGAAGGGAUUCGCAUCGGAUCCAAAAAGCAGGAAGAGUCUAGUGUCGUGGCACUUAUUUCUGAAAUAGAACCCAAAAGCAUAGAAGAAGCUUUGACUGACGAAAGCUAGAUUGAAGCUAUGCAAGAAGAGCUCAGACAGUUCAGCAUUGGUAAAUCCAUUAUUGGAGCUAAAUAGGUUUUCAGGAACAAGAUGGACGAAAAAGGAAAAGUGGUUAGGAACAAAGCAAGACUCGUGGCCAAAGAAUAUACGCAAGAAGAAGGGAUAGACAAUGAUGAGACCUACGCACUAGUAGCAAGGUUAAAAGCAAUUAGAUUAUUAUUUGCUUUUGCCUAUUAUAAAAAUUUCAGGUUAUUCCAAAUGGACGUCAAAAGUGCAUUUCUGAAUGGAUUUAUCCAAUAAGAAGUCUAUGUAGAACAACCUCUCGGAUUCGAAGAUCCAAAGAAACUAGACUCAGUAUUCAGACUGAAAAAGGCUCUAUAUGAAUUAAAGCAAGCACCUCGAGCAUAGUACGACAGGUUAAGUAAGUUUUUAAUUCAAAAUGGUUUUGUCAAAGGAAAAGUGGAUACUACUUUGUUUAUUAAAAGAGAAGGUAAAAACUUUCUACUUAUUCAAAUUUAUGUUGAUGCUAUUAUAUCUAGAUCACCUAACGAAAAUCAUUGCAAGAAGUUUUCUAAAUCUAUGCAGGAUGAAUUUGAGAUGAGCAUGAUGGGUGAACUAUCAUUCUUUCUCGGAUUACAAGUGAAACAAUUGAAUGAAGGAAUUUUCAUUCACCAAGAAAAAUAUGCAAAAGAACUCGUUAAAAAGUUCGGAUUGGAGAAUUGCAAAAAUACUGAUAUACCAAUGUCAAGUUUUUUGAAGUUGGACAAAGAAGAAGGAGGAAAGAAAGUUGACUAGAAGCUCUACAGGAGUAUUAUUGGUUCACUUCUUUAUCUUACUGCUUCUAGACUUGAUAUUUUGUUUAGUGUUUGCAUUUGUUAGAUUUCAAUAUGAUCCCAAAGAAUCUCAUCUAAGUGCUGCAAAACACAUCAUCAAAUACGUUGCAACUACCUCAAAGUUAGGUUUGUGGUAUCCUAAAAAAUGAGACUUUACUCUCCUUGGAUAUUCAGACGCAGAUCUAGCAGGUUGCAGAGUUGAUAGAAAGAGUACUUCCGGUACUUGUCAAUUGCUGGGAAACAGGACAAUAUCAUGGUUUUCAAGGAAGCAAAGUACUAUGGCUCUUUCAACAGUAGAAGCAGAGUAUUUGGCCCUUGGAAGUUGCUGUUCUCAAAUCUUAUGGAUAAAACAACAAUUGAGAGACUUUGGAAUCGAAGAUUCAUGCACCAAGAUAAAAUGUGACAACACCAGUGCAACCAAUCUUACAAAGAAUCCAAUUAUUCAUUCAAGAGCAAAGCACAUAGAGGGCAAAAGAACGCUUCAAUACAACUUUGCACAAAGGGACACUUAAGUGCUAUAACUUACGAAAGGUACACUUAAGUGCCACAUUCGAAGAAAAAUAGAUCACUUGAGUGCCACUCCGGCCAAAGUUCGACCAAAACGUUGACAUGGCAUUUUUCUGGCAAAGCGUGCCCAAAACGACCCCGUUUUGCAUGCUGAUGUGGCCAAAUAAUGCAAAAAUGGCGUGUUUUGGUCUGACGUGGUUAAAAUAAUAAUAAUAAUAAAAUAAUUAAAUUGAAUUUAAAAUUAAAUUUAGUUAAAAUAUUAAAAAAUAAUAAUUUUAAAAUUAUUUUUUUUAAAAAAAGGAAAGGGGGGAGGUGGUUAAGGGAUCAGCCCUCAGCCACUGCUGGGAAGGGCUGGCGACGGUGGGGGGAGGGUCGGUUGGGGUCGCUGAGCCUGGCCAGGGGCCGACGACCUCAGCCGAUCGGCGCCGAGGGCUUGCGAGCCCUCGCCCAGAUUCGGCGAGGGUCGGCGGCCCUCGCCCAGGGCUGCGACCCUGCCCAGAUCUGUGGCCAAUGGCGAGGGCUCGCGGCCCUCGCUCAGAUCCGACGAGGGUCGGCGGCCCUUGCUCGGGGCUCCGGCUGAACAAACCUGNNNNNNNNNNNNNNNNNNNNNNNNNNNNNNNNNNNNNNNNNNNNNNNNNNNNNNNNNNNNNNNNNNNNNNNNNNNNNNNNNNNNNNNNNNNNNNNNNNNNNNNNNNNNNNNNNNNNNNNNNNNNNNNNNNNNNNNNNNNNNNNNNNNNNNNNNNNNNNNNNNNNNNNNNNNNNNNNNNNNNNNNNNNNNNNNNNNNNNNNNNNNNNNNNNNNNNNNNNNNNNNNNNNNNNNNNNNNNNNNNNNNNNNNNNNNNNNNNNNNNNNNNNNNNNNNNNNNNNNNNNNNNNNNNNNNNNNNNNNNNNNNNNNNNNNNNNNNNNNNNNNNNNNNNNNNNNNNNNNNNNNNNNNNNNNNNNNNNNNNNNNNNNNNNNNNNNNNNNNNNNNNNNNNNNNNNNNNNNNNNNNNNNNNNNNNNNNNNNNNNNNNNNNNNNNNNNNNNNNNNNNNNNNNNNNNNNNNNNNNNNNNNNNNNNNNNNNNNNNNNNNNNNNNNNNNNNNNNNNNNNNNNNNNNNNNNNNNNNNNNNNNNNNNNNNNNNNNNNNNNNNNNNNNNNNNNNNNNNNNNNNNNNNNNNNNNNNNNNNNNNNNNNNNNNNNNNNNNNNNNNNNNNNNNNNNNNNNNNNNNNNNNNNNNNNNNNNNNNNNNNNNNNNNNNNNNNNNNNNNNNNNNNNNNNNNNNNNNNNNNNNNNNNNNNNNNNNNNNNNNNNNNNNNNNNNNNNNNNNNNNNNNNNNNNNNNNNNNNNNNNNNNNNNNNNNNNNNNNNNNNNNNNNNNNNNNNNNNNNNNNNNNNNNNNNNNNNNNNNNNNNNNNNNNNNNNNNNNNNNNNNNNNNNNNNNNNNNNNNNNNNNNNNNNNNNNNNNNNNNNNNNNNNNNNNNNNNNNNNNNNNNNNNNNNNNNNNNNNNNNNNNNNNNNNNNNNNNNNNNNNNNNNNNNNNNNNNNNNNNNNNNNNNNNNNNNNNNNNNNNNNNNNNNNNNNNNNNNNNNNNNNNNNNNNNNNNNNNNNNNNNNNNNNNNNNNNNNNNNNNNNNNNNNNNNNNNNNNNNNNNNNNNNNNNNNNNNNNNNNNNNNNNNNNNNNNNNNNNNNNNNNNNNNNNNNNNNNNNNNNNNNNNNNNNNNNNNNNNNNNNNNNNNNNNNNNNNNNNNNNNNNNNNNNNNNNNNNNNNNNNNNNNNNNNNNNNNNNNNNNNNNNNNNNNNNNNNNNNNNNNNNNNNNNNNNNNNNNNNNNNNNNNNNNNNNNNNNNNNNNNNAUUAGGUUUGGCCGUUCGGUGGCCUGACACGUACUUCCACUUUUCUCCUCUCCACGCUUGCCUCUUCAAGCCCUAAGGCUUGGUUACCCCGUUUAAACGCCCUCGGCCAAGUUUCGCCGACCCCCGCCGACCCUCCCCCUGCUGUCGUCGGCCCUUCCCGGCGGCGGCGGGGUGGUGGCGGCAGCGGCGGGGUGGCAGCGGCAGCGGCUGAGGGCUGAUCCCUGAGCCGCCUCCUCCCUUUUCCUUUUUUAUUUUAAAUUUUAAAUUAUUAUUAUUUUUAAAUAUUUUAACUAAAUUUAAUUUAAAAUUUAUUAAUUUUAAUAUUUUAAAUAAAUUUAAUUAAUUUUUAAUUUUAUUUUUUACUACGUUAGCCCAAAAUGGCGCCGUUUUUGCAUUAUUUGGCCACAUCAGCGUGCAAAAUGGCGUCGUUUUGAGUUCAGUUUUGCCGGAAAAAUGCCACGUUAGCGUUUUGGCCGGAUUUUGGCCGGAUUAGCACUCAAGUGAUCCCUUUUACUCUGAUUUUGGCACUUAAGUGUACCUUUCGUAAGUUAUGGCACUUAAGUGUCCCUUUGUGCAAAGUUAUGGCGCUCCAAGGGUCCGCACGUCCACUUAGAGAUUCGACAUCACUUUAUUAGAGAUCAUGUUCAAAAUGGAGAAGUUAUGAUUCAAUUCAUUGACUCAAAGAAUCAACUGGCGGACAUAUUUACGAAGUCACUAGAGAAAAGCCUAUUUGAGUUUAUUUGCACUAGACUGAACAUUACAUCUUUUAUUCAGUAAAGUUUGAAGAAGCUCAGACUUAGAGAUAAAGUCUGAAGGUGCUUAGACUCAAAAGACCAAGAGUUACGACUGUAAGUUAUUUCGGUACUAGUAAUUUAACUUUUGGAUAAAGACUUGAAAAUGUACGAUUACUUAUUAAUCCCUAAUUGAUUGAAAUUAUAUGUCCAAGUUUUUGAAUUUAAAGCAGUUAUUCAUUUUCAAAAAGGCAGUUAUUCUUUUUUGAAAAGGUAUUUUUAUUUUUUCCUUUUAUGACGAUUCAUUUACCUUGCUUCACUUGCUUUAUAUACUAUUGAAAUCCGUCUUCUUUGUUUUUACUCCCAAACCCUAACAUACUAAACUCCCACUUGCUUUCACGUUCACUCUUGUUUAAUCUAAAAAGUUUUCACCUUUUUGAGCAAGUUUGUGAAUUUCUCCCUUGAAGCGACAAUGUCUUCGAGAAUCGCAAGCAGGGGACCACGACACAUGCUUGAGGUAACCUACGCAUUUCGACUUGAUCAAGGAAGAAGAUUCUUCUCCACCACAGCGACCGAGUCAGCAACAUCCUUCUUAGCAGCGUUAGUCUCCUCCACCAACUCAUCCAGAAGAAGAAAUUUUGGAAGAAGUGGAACCUGUAAGAACGUUAAUUCCUAAGGUUGCUUUUAAGCUUUAUUCUAGUUUGAAAAGAGGGGGAACUGCUAUGUCCUUGAUUGAUGAAUACCUGCGAGAGAGAGGUUAUAAAAAUGAGACUCUAUUUUUGCGCGAUAUGGAGAAUAUGGGUAUUGCAGAAAAGGGAUCGGCUGAAAAAGCAUUCGCUAAUUUUCCUAGUGACCCGCGCUUUGGCACUGCUAAUCAAUCACAAGGACAGGACAACGAUGAACGUACGUUUACCCAUUUUCAACCUAGAAUGGGAGUGGCUGCAAAUAUUGUUGGUGAUGGUUCAAGCAUUUUCAGAUCGAAGAACUACUACAGGGUUUAAUUGAAUCUAAUGAAGAGAGGGGUUAUAAACCCUAGGAGUGUCAAUUUUGAUUUCCUUGAUUCGGUGAAAGUAAAUCUGCGAGAGAAGUUUGCUCUACCGUAAUUGGAGCGCUUUUGUUCUGAAUCUACUGCUACUUAUCCUGAACUCACAGCUUACUUUUACUAGAACUUAUCUUUCGUGGAUGCAAACAAUUUCUCUUUCAUAGUGAGGGAUAAUGAGUUUUUGGUGGAUAUGGACACUUUGGCUGACAAAAUUGGGGUGGAAAGAGCGAGUUUCCAACCAAUUAUCGUGUCCGUUACUCAUGCUACUCUAUCAUUGGUGAAAGAUCGGGAUGGUGAAGGCAAGAUUUCCUAUUCUAGGAUGAAUGCCUCCACCAUCUUGCUGCACAAGAUCGUAAUCAACUGCAUCCGUCCAAAGUCGACAUCCAAGACCGAUGUCUCUCAAUCUGAAGAGAAAUUGAUGUAUGCCAUCAAUAUUGGCUACAAAUCCUCUCUGCCUCACACCAUCAUGUUUCACAUGUACAGGACAGUGGUGAAGGAUAAUGGACAACUCCCUUACUCUGCUCUUAUCACGCGCCUUUUUAGACAUUUUAAAAUUCACAUCCCUGCACCAUUAUGUUUGACAAACAUCUCUCUAAUGGUGAUUGGCUUUAAAAUGGUCACAAAGAUGCAUUUGAAAGAGCUGAACAAAGUGUUAGAGCACAUGAAGGAGAAGUCUCCCGUCAAAGCAAAACAAGACUCUGUUGCAGCUAAAAGGAAAGGCAAGGAGCCCAUGGCUGCUCCAGUAAAGAGGAAGAGAAUUCUCAUCUUGUAGGAUGAAGAUGAUGAUGAUGAAAUGACUUUUCCAGUCUUAAGAAAUUUGAAGAGUUUUAUCAGCUUUCAAGAGACACGAGAAGAGCUUGAAGAAGGAGAAAAAGAGAGAGAAGAGAUAGAGAAGGAAAAUGAAGAACAGAGGAGGAUAGAGGAAGAAAGAAGAGAAGAAGAAGAGGAAAGAAGAGAAGAGGAAGAAGAAGCAGAAAGAAGAGAAGAAAGAGGACAAGAAGGAGAAGGAGAGAGAGACCAGGGUUAAGAAGACUCUUUUGAGCUAAUUUUGGUUGUCUCCUUGUCCAGUGAUUCUGAGAUGGCAGGAAUUGGAACCGCUGACGCACAUCACUUUGAAGCUGAAGUUGAUCAAGAAGAAAUCUUACCUGCUCUACCUGAGGCAACCAAUCAGGGGGAGCUGUUGGACAACAAGGUAUUUCUUCACCUAUCUUCACUAGUGAUGUGAGUCGUUCUACAGCGGAUCCAGAGGAUGUAUAUGCCUCUCAUUAUCCAGAAGCAUCCACUCAUAGUCAUGGUGGACAAUCUGCUGAAGUUCCAUUCAUUCUCAAAACCCCUGGAAUCGACUCGGCUGGACCUAGUGCUGCAACAAACCAAACAUCAAACUUUUCAAGACUACUAGAGAUUCUAUUGGAUGUAAGGAAGUAGCAAUAUGCUAUGGGGUAUGAGAUGCAAGAUCUCAAGAACGUUUUCAUGGCUACUUCAGUGUCUUUGUACGAUCAAUUAAAUGCCCUGAAGAAUCAAGUGGAGUCUACUGUGCAGGGUGAAGAUUUCCAGUCACUGAAGUAGAGUUUUGCAAGGCUUGAGAAGAUAGUGAAUUCUAUGAGAGAUUUCAAGUUUGUUCGCCUUCCAAAACAGUCAUGAUUCUGACUUUAUUUUCAACAACUCUUUUUAUUUGCUCUCCACUUUUUGCUGUUGACAAAAAGGGGGAGAAGUUUGAUACAUAUUUGAUUUGAAUUUGGUUUGAAUUGUUUUUGGACUUAUCCUUUGUUUGGUUGUGGUUUGGACUGUUUGAUUUGAUCUUUUGAUGCUUGCAGUAACUAAGCUAUGUUAAUGAUUAUGGAAAGGGUAGUUGUUUUAUAGGACUAACAUGUUUUCUAUGGUUGUAGAAUCGCUACUAUCCAUAUCCUAAUCUACUUAUCUUUUUUGAGAUAUCUCGUUUUGCUUAAGUGUUGUUUUGCAGGUCAAAAGUGUUCAAAUAUAUGAGAAAGUUUUGUCACCAUAAAAAAUGGGGAGAUUGUUGGAGAAAAAUUCUUUAUUUGUUUUGAAGUUGACAAAACGUUUCCAUUAGUCUAGUUUGAAGACUUGCAGACUCUAUCGUCAAAGUCUAAAGAUUUUCAGACUCAAGAUUUAAAGUCUACCCUCACUGAUAGUUUUCAGAUCGACGAAGAAAAGAUUUAUUCAAUGAAGAAGACUUGUCCAGAUGUGAGUAUAUCUUUAAGGAUUUGGUUAGUACGGUUGAAAAAGAUCUCAUGGCUGGAGAUAGCAUCUCGUGAUCAGUUAUUCUUAUUGAAAUCAAUUUGGAUAAUUAGAUCUGUUGAUUGGCAAAGUAUACUUGGAAGGUUCUACUUAUGGAAACCUAGAUCCUGAUUGUAUGUGCAAGUAGGAUUGAUGGGCUAUCAUCACAUUCCUUAAAUAACUCAAGAUCUCCCUAAUUGAUUCUGUCCAACAGGUAGAUUGGAAGAACUCCUUUGGAAGGUGCCAACGGUUUAAAAGGCAUGGAGGAGUAUAUAAGGAAGAUGCUUAAGUUAUUCGAGUGUGUGCGUGAAAGAAAAAUUCCAAAGUCUAAAGCUUCUAAUUUUUUGCUAUUUCAAUUGUUGAGCUUAAUUGUACUCAAAAGAGAGAUUAAAUACUUGUGAGACCUUGAGGAAGUAUAGCAGAGUUUCUACAUUGUAGAAUCAAGGACGUGAGACUGUAAAAUCUCUUUUGGUUCUUAGUGGAAUCCAGCUAGUGAGUUGUCAGUGUAUGAGAGUGGACAUAGGCUUGGUCUAAGCCGAACCACUAUAAACCUUAUGUUUCAAUUCUCUUUCUCUAAUCUCUUUACGUUAAUUCGUAGCUUUAUAUAACUAUUUAUAGUCUAUUAUUCUCAGAAGACGAAUUAAUCUGUUAAGUUUUGGGAAAACCUCUUUGAUCACCUAUUCACCCCCCUCUAGGUGCUUUUACUAACUCUAUCAUGUAUGAAUAUUGUAGUAGUGCUUAGGACUAGUAGCGUGAUCUUUUUGGCUUUAGGUAGAAGUAGCACGAGCUAAAAUGUAACCUCUCAAAGAAUUAUUAGUGAAAUCCAGCCUGUUGAUGCCUAUUAGUCUAGGAGAAUGGAAUAGAUUUGGUCUCAGCCAAAUAACCAUAAGACUUGCAUGCAACUUUUCUUUCUCUAUUUAUUUCCAAAUUUAUUUGAUAAGGGCAUGCUAUACUUGAUAUCAUCUGUUUACUCUCACAUAUAUGAAACUACUCUUAUAUACAUUAAACUUGAUUUUAAAUAAUUCCAAAAAAAUUAUAAGUUUAGUUUAUCAAUCUAUUCACUCCAUACUAGGUUGCAUAUUUAGCUAUAAGAGAGGCUUCCAUGGAUGAACCGUCAUCUGUGGGUGGCGCCUUGCUUGUCCAUGGUGCCAAAUCUGGCACGGGAGCCAUCUACACUCGUGGCCAUUACUCCAAAUCUAGCCAAACACAAGAUGAUGACCCAACAUGACAUUGCAACGAUAGGGGGAGGUGCGAAGGUUGGUUCCGUUGAAACACAGACAAAAUCGUUGAAAUGUCAUCUGAAAAUGUUACAUCAUGGACAGACGAGACUGAUGAUGGCCACGGACGAGCCACGAGCAGAUCUUGGACUAGUUUUCUCAAACGUUGGACCGACGGUCACUGGAGGCCCCAAGCACUAUCAUUCGUUGCAGAUCAGCCAUAAAGAAGAUCCUCGACUUCACCAUGGUCAAGGAUUGUUGGAUUGGUCGUCGAAUCAUCUUCGGCAGCUCCUUUCUUCACCAGCAAGUCAAGGACCGGUCCGAUUGGACGGGUUCUAUGUUGGUGCCAAACCGGCAAUUCAACCAUCUUUAGGCAAUCCUUCGACAAUUCGAUCUACUCCUUGAAGAUUUGAUCAUGCUCCAUUGACGAUCGAUUCGUCUAAUUGUGAUCACAAUCAACGAAAUCACAAAAAGGUAGCUUCUCAAACUUGAAUCCGAUGAAGCGAGGUUGUCAUAUCCAACCAAGGCUAGCAUUUGCACUUAGAACUAUACAAAAUAUUUAGAUAUGUUGUUGAUAGACUUGAUUGAUGAUUUGCUGAGUUUGAAUUUCAUUGAGAUUGAACUUGACGUGGUUUGAAAAUGACUUGUGCUAAUAUGCAAUUUUCAUGCAAUAGAACCUAAGUUACUGUUUAGCUUGAAAUGAGGUGCUAGAGGACCUUAUCAGAUUUAGAAAGUAUGUUCUGAUACCUUCGAUUUGAUAGUCGCACGGCCCGAACAGGCAUCAUUUGACUCUUGAAAAAUACCUCGCAAUCUGCUCGAUUCUACAGAGAUUUUGGUCCACUUUUGGUUUUGUUUUUUCUGCCUUCGAACUUUGUUAUUUUUGUGCUGACUCUUGCGAUUGAUUUUUGAAAAAAAUUUAUUCAUGAGAUUUGUUCCGAAUCGUCUCAUGUAUGGCAUACUUUUUUUUUUUUUUGUAUUUUUUGGAAAUGUUGUAGUAGGUCAAAACUGCCUAGGUAUGAGCUUAAGACAAUCUGCCCUACACUAAUCCAAAGUGCAUUUUAGUGAAAAUGAGCAUAUAAAUGUGUCCAUUUGGUCUUAGGAUCUUCAUGAAACUUGAAAUACACAUCAUGCGCAUUCCAAUGAUGCAUAAUUUGCAUGAUUUGCUAUCAAUUGGUAUGUCAUUUGCAUGUUGAAAUACAUGUAGGUUCUGCUGCAAUUAGACAUUCCAUAGCUUGCAUCUGUUUUUACUAUUUUUGUCAUGACUUGCGUGAUCUCAGUGAGGUUUUGAGUUCUUAACAAGAAAUGUUCAUCACUGUAUGUUCUAUAUGUGAGAUUUUUUGUUAGAUUUUUGCAUGUCUUUAGGUGAUCGUAAUCAUGCUUGUUUUGUAAUGCUAAGAUUAGAUUAGGGGUUUAUCAUAUAUGCACUUUACCAUGCUUGUUUGGGUCUCUUAGAGACCAAAUCUCAUGUUAAUGCCUCCGUGACUUUUGAAGUGUGCAUUACAAGGUUUAUGUUCAUUCAUAGCGCUUCUUGAAUGAGUGUCAUUUGGUAUGUGAAUACUAUGCCUCAAUUAAGCUAGUUGCAUUUUGAAAUCUUCAAACAUGUCAUUAUACUUUUAAGUUAUUUUUGCAAUGUCAUUGACCGCAGGUCUUCUUCGCAUAUCGACUUAGGAUUACAUGUUUACCCUAAUCAUUUGUCGUAUCAAAUUCUUUGUCAUAUGCAUAUUUCAUGCCGUUUGUGCAUUGUCUAAGUGAUUUUAAGACUCAUUUAAUGCAUGCUAUGUUCUAGUUUGUUGAUGAUUGAUGCGCACACCUCCACAAACCUCAGUUUUAGAGCAUCAACUUGACUGCGAUUAGAAUUCUGGCCCAGGAUGAAAUUCGGAAUCCUGUUUUCACCCCUGAUUAGGCAGGCUUUUGUUAUCUUUGUACCAAAUUUUCAGUAAGGAUUCUUGAGCUAGACCCUUAACCAAGUUUGAUUGCCAUCCUUUUAUCCUCAUUGUGGUGCAAUUUAAUGAUUUUUAGACCUCAUUUGAUGGGGGUACAUCUCAUUUGCAACUGCUGUCUUGUCAAUUUCCAGAUGUGAUGAGGUGCAUUAUUAGAUUUUUAUAAAAUCAUGCUUAGCUUUUCUUAGGAAAUUUUCUUCUCAAAAGUUGUUCCGUAUCAUGUUAUGCAUGCUGCGUAAUUUUCUCAGGGACAAAUAAUCAAUCGGUUCUUCUCAAUUUUGUUGAUCAUUUUUGCCCUAUUUGUGAUGCUUUGUUGUAAAUUCCUAUUGUGAAUUCAUGUUAGGAUUUUUUAGGGUAACUCGUGUGUGAAAUUAGGGUUGGACAUCUUCAUGAAAUCCAUUCGAAAUCCUUUGAUCUUCGUUGUCAAGAAUUUUCAAUAGGUGAAAUGGUCUUUUGAUCACACUUUCUCCGAAACUGAUUUGAAACAUCGUUUCUUUGCACAUCAAAGAUGGCUUUGGUUCAUGUGAUUAUUUCCGACAUCAAAUGCUUAAAAUCUUUCAAACACUAUGUUUUGACAUAAGAAUUGUCAUGGUUUUAGACCGUAUCUAAAAUGUUUAUGAAGUCUAUGAGUGCAUGAUAUGCAAGCCCUAGACUGACCUAGACACUUAAGUACGUUCUAUAAUCAAGGCAUUUUUUGUCUUAAAUUUUCCCAAAAUCUUUCCAAUGUUUGAUUUGACAUUGAGAUUAUCAAAGUUUGGAUAGUAUUUAAAAUGCUUGCGAUGUUUGUGUGUGCAUGAUAUGCGUACCAAAUUAGCUUUGGUAAUUAAAUAUGUUUCAUAACUAAGACAAUCCUUUGUCCAAAAAUCUUAUUUUCCUUUCUCAAAAUUUCAAACUCAUUUUGAAGUAUCACAUGGACCACUAUGCCAUUCUUUUGAAAUGUUUGUGUUUGUGAUUGGCACGUGAUCAUUGAGUAAUUGACCCUCCGACGUUUCAUUCAAUUAUUUGAUUGUUUGAGAAAUAAGGCCUAAAGUCCUGCCUGUGUGUUUAAUUUGUAUUGAUGCAUGUGGAUUUUAGAUGUGUAUUAGGUGCGAUGCUUGGUACUGCGGGGUAAAUCUUGGGGAUUCACAUAGAACAUUUUCUUAGAGACUUCUAAGCAUUCUUGGUCAUACGAGAACACAAAUGGUCAUAAUGGCUAUAAGUCAUGAAAAUGAAUUGGGUAGGUGUCUAGAGGGACCUACGCAUGGAUUGCAAAGGCCCACCCCAAGGCCCAAAUUUGAUUAAUUUCAAACCAUGUUUUACUUAAUUGAUUGAUUUUGAUUCCAUGUCUUGCUUUUAACUAUUUUGUCAUAUAUGGAUGUUUCUUUCCAUUAUACAAAGCUAGCUUAGUUUUAGGUUAGGACUGGAUUAGGUCCUUGGAGAAGAGACAGAUCAUCAAAACAUGAAGAUGAUGAAAAUCAAUGUCCUUUCUGACUAUAUUUUGGUACCAAUCGUCCCCGACACAUGUCUCAGAUUCCUUUAUUUGUUGUAUAAACACCCGACAACUUGUGGGUUCUUUCCUUUUCUUUUUUUUCUUCUAAGUUUUCGGAUUACAUGAUAGAUUUAUUGUUUCACUUGAUUGUUAACUUACUGCUUUUUACUUUAAAUUCAAUUGCGUGCUUUAUUUUAUCUUUCUUAAAAAUAGAAGACGAAAAUGAACAUCCACGUGUGAUCACUUAGUUUAGGAUUGUUGACCCAAAAAAGUAAAAAGACAUGCAUGAUCACCAUAGGUAACAUAACAUAUUGUUGGGAACCGAAAGACGCUUAUAGAAAUAUUAGUGUAACCCAAGUCCUCGAACCUAGAUAUUCAGUUUCGUAGAAAUCAAGAGAUAACUCUUGACCAUCAAUUGGAUAUUCUGGCCGAUCCCCAAAAAUGAGGCUAGUGUCGACUCCCGUCUUAUUUUCUAAGUUGUCUUAAACAAUUAUAACUUUUACUAAACCCAUCAUGAGGGGUAUGAACCUUAGGAAAAGCUUCAUGAUCAUGAUUUAGUAUACUUGAUAUGGCAAUACCCUAAAGGAUGAAGUGAUGUAAUCAUUAUGGGUGAAGACAUACUAUCGGGAGGGCUACUUGAUCAAAAUACCCUUAAACUCACAUUUAUAUCUAGUUUCCUUUCAAUCUUAAAACCGUCAAUCAAGAGGGCUAUUAUGCCAUCCUUUUGGUCAUCUAGAUUUUACAUCUGGUUUCCUUUCGACCUUACAGCUAUCGAUCAAGAUGUGUUGCAACGUCGAGGUUGGGUCACGACAAAUUCCUUUGUCACGCAAGGUACGAGCUUGGGAGGGCUUGCGACUGCGAUCGAGCAAACUCACAAAGGUUCAUUCCAAAAGGCGAGGUGAUGACGUGUUAUCUUACAUAGCUUAUAGUUUUUAAAUUUUGUUAGAAAAUUAUUCUAAUAAAUUUAAAACACGAUAAAUAUAUAGAUAAAGAAAAGGAAAAUAAGAUUUUGUGAAAUAUAAUAUAAACUAAAUAAAAAAGACAUACAAAUUUCAACAAAGGAAAACAACAAAAAUUGAAAUAUUGCAACCCUUAUUGCUUGUGGCCAUUAUGGCGACUGCCUCUAGGCAACAUGAAGCGGGUUAGGGACCCAAACGAGAUUUGUCGGGCACAAAUAAUUGUUCCAUAAACUAUUAGGCUACAUUUAGUCAUCUAGAUUUCUAACAAGUAUAGGAUUGGAUAGUAUAGGAUAUGAAAUCUAGAGAUUUUGUUAUAUCCUAUCCACUAUUUGACGAAUUGCAAUAAUAAAGUCGAGUAUAUUCAUAUUAUAUCAUAUACAUUAUUUGAUAUAAAUGACAUAUCAAUGUAAAUGAACAUAAAAGUUCACAAAUAGAGAUGGUAAAAUUCUCUCACGACACUGUUGCCUAUUUUAUUUUUAUUUGUUUUUUUUCCUCUCUUUUUAAAUUAUUUUCCUUUUUAUGUCAUUUUCCCUUCCAUCGUUCUCACAUAAAAUUCAGAAAUACUGUAAUGAAAGGAACAUAGGAGUUUGUUGCUAGGUAUUUGACCAAAUAGGAUCGUCCAUUUAUUAGAUAGUAAACUGUAUUGAUAUGCCUAAAAUACUAAAAUAUGUAUUAAAUAUAAAUAUAUAUUUAUAUAUUUAUAUUGAAUUAAAUUAGAAUACAUAAAUAAUAACAAGAUUAAAUUAAAAACAAUUUUUUAUUAUUUGAUUUAUUAUAUUAGAAUUUAAAUAUUAUUUACAUUGAAAUAUAAUGUUAUUUUAUUAAUUUUAAAAGUUUGUUAUUCGAGAAAAAAAGCUUUCUUAAUAUGGAUAUUAGAAUUUCUAUCUACCCUUAUCCCACCUUCACCAAGGAAUAAUUUUAUUCGGGCUAUAUCCCUAUUAUAUUUGACUUUAUCUUUGCUUGAGUAGACACCAAAUGCAAGAUAAGAUAAUUUUAUCUUAUUCUGAAUUUUAUCCCAACUAUCAAACGAGGCCAUAGUUCUAAGUGAGAGGAUAAAAAAUCAACACUACGACAAAACCACUUAAUAUGAAUAAUGUGGUCUUGUUCUUAUUUAAGCUUUUAGCCGAAAUGGUGUCUGAUGGAGAAUGAGGGAGGAUUUUUCAUUAUGCUUCAAAAAGAAAAAAAAGUAUUAUAGUGUUGCAAUUUCAAGUCAACAUGGCACGCUAGGAAUCCACAUUGUUUUCUCCACCGGCUGUAUUUCAUUUAAAUUAAUUAAAGAAAGGAAGACAUAAACAUAUUAAAAUAUAAAUGGGAUUUAAUUGGACUAAUUAAAAGUUUCGGGAUGGUGGCGGAGAUUACUCAAAAUUGAUUUAAUUGAAUCAACUGAAAGUUCAAAUAUAACACUGCAUAUCAAUAAAAGUUCACAUAUUGCUAGUACUAUUAUCUUUUACAGCAACAGAAACUACAUGUUCUUUACUUCUCAUAUCAGAGAAGGCAAGAGAUGUUGAUCCACUGCAUUUUGAAAAUUCACUUCAUGAUCACUCGGUAAAAGGAUGGAAAUAAUUGUGAAAUGGGAUCUUCCCAGAAGUCUUCCCAUAAUUAUUUCUGGUACCACGACUUCAAACUAUAAACAUCGCAUUAUUCCUAUGAUGGUCAUAGAGAAGCUAGCUCUGCAGUGAAUGAAAAAAAAAAAAACACAUGGCUGGGCUUAGUGAGAAGUAAGAAGAUAUUCAAAAGGCGAUUAUCAUUAUAAUUGAAAACCAAAUAGAAUAGCACAUGAAAACUUCAAAUCUUACCAUCUCCUAAAUUGCUCCCAUUUUUUUGACAUUAAGAUCACGAAGUUGCUCUAAGCUUACAGCAGAGAGUGGCAUAUCCAAGGGUACUUGAAAGCAAAGCUCAUGUGAGACGUGUUGCAUGGUCGGUCGAAGCCUCGGAUUGUCUUGCAAGCACUUGAAUGCUAGCUUAGCAAUCAAGACCACGUCCUGCGCAUCUCGAAGGCCAAGUCUAGAAGGUGAGAGACGUUGAUCCAACACAUCCUUCAACAUCGUUGACUUAGCUUGGGCGGAUGAUGAACAUUCUCGAGAGACAUGGUCUCCUGGAUGCUUUCCCAUGAUUGUCUCUAAUGCAAUGACUCCAAAACUAUACACAUCACACUUUUCGGUAGGAACAGCAGAAUAAGCUAGCUCUGCAAGCGGAGAAUCCACUGUUUUUUUAAUCUCAAUCACAAGUUGUAUUCAAGUCGACAACAUUAAUUCCCAGGACGUGAUGUGUGGCGAUUACAAUUACAGAUUUCCACUUAAUCAACUCCUACAACAUUGAUUUGAGUAUGGGAGUUUAUGCUUUGGCAAAAAUAUAAAAAUUUAGUUCGCCCCUUAAAAUACAGGCAUCUUCUAGGUAAUGCGAACUUAAUAUCCUUGAAAUGGAUCGAUUGUGAUAUUUUUCUCAUUUGCCAAUUCUUACUUAUGAGGAAAAUCGAAAAGCAUUUUCAUCAAGACUGAACUUGAAAGCUCUAAAUAAAUACACCAAAAUUUCCAUGAUACGUUUAAAUAACUAAUGAACUGCACUAAACUAGUAGAAUUUCAAUAAUAGAAGCAUGAGACCUAAUGCCAUUGAAAUUUUAACAAAAGUUUGUGAAUUACCUGGAGCAAUGUACCCGAUGGUACCAGCAAUAGCCGUCCAGUUUGAUGAAUCUGGCCUCAAAAGUCUCGCAGUGCCAAAAUCGGAAACAUGAGCCUCAUAAUCAUGAUCCAAUAAAAUGUUGUUACUAGUCAAGUCUCGAUGAAUCAACGGAGAAGAACAAUCGUGAUGCAUAUAGGACAAUGCAUCCGCAACUCCUCGGACCACACUUAUCCUCUUGUCCCAUUGAAAUUCUAUUGCUCUCUGAUCAUCUUUCAAAGUCGUUCUCAAGCUUCCUCUUUCCAUGUACUCAUACACCAAAAAAUGGCGUUGGGGAUGAGAGUAGAAGCCAUAAAAUUUCACGAUGUUUCGAUGACGUAUAUUUGUUAAGGCUUGAAUUUCCCUUUCAAAUGAUACCAAAUCAACGAUCUCAACAUCUUCUUGGGAUGAAAAGGUUUGCUUGAUAGCAAAUGUUUGACCUUCUGAUAUCUCGGCUUUAUAAACAAUUCCAUAUGCUCCUUCACCCACAUAGUACUUGGAGUCAAAUCCUUCCGUGGCCUCAAUGAUUCGAUCAUAGAAAACUUUGCCAUCAUAACUUAAAAUACUCAUGAAAUCCAAAUAAUUUACCCGUUCAUUAUUUUUUCUCUUGAUAAUCCUUCUUUGAUGAUGAUUGACGAAUACAAAAACAACAACAAUCAAGGUGCAAGAGAGAAAGAGAAACCCCAACAACGAGAUAAUGAGGAUAAUUGUGAUUCUGGCUCUAGCAUGUUGAUUACGUUUCUUGAUCUUGAUAGAAUUGCAGUUCGGUAAACCAAUAACAUUUCCACAAAGCCCUUUGUUAUGUUGAAUUGCCUCAAAUGGAGCCUCAUUGAAAGCUUUGACGUUAGGGAGAGGACCUUCUAGGUCAUUGUAGGAUACAUCAAUAGAAGUCAAGGCCAACAUGUUAUCAAAAGCAUGUGGGAUGUAACCAGAUAGACUAUUGUGGGAGAUAUUUAGAAUUUGCAAGUUUCUCGGUAUCGCAAGCUCUGCCGGUAUAUGUUCUGACAAAAUAUUGUAACUCAGAUCAAGAAUCUCGAGGAAUUGUGUGUUGCCUAUCUCAGGAGGAAUGCUUCUUUGAAAUUUGUUCCUGCUCAAGUUCAAGCUCAACAAGCUUUUGCAUGAGCCUAGCUGCAUCGGUAUCGAUCCACUCAAAUUGUUUGAUGCUAAGUUUAGAUGUGUUAGAUGAGAUAAAAACCCAAUCUCAAUGGGGACAUUUCCCAUGAUGGCGUUGCUGCUUAGAUCGAGUUCUAACAACAUUGAUAGGUUUCCCAUUUCCCUUGAAAUCUCUCCGCUUAAAUUAUUUGAAGAAAGGUCCAGUAACUGUAAUUGAGCCAUCCUUCCAAAUAUUACGGGAAUCGCACCAAAGAGGUUGUUGUUCGAUAUCCUUAAGCUCAUCAAAUUUCGACAACGCUCCCAUUUCCAUGAAAGUUCGCCUCUCAAAUGAUUGUGGCUCAAGUCCAUAUAAUUUAGAUGUGGAUAUAUUCCGAAAGCAUCUAUUAUGUUUCCAGUGAGUUGGUUUUUGUCAAGCCUCAAUCUGAUUAAUGUGCUACAGUUCUUUAGGCUCGUGGGGAUGGGACCCGUGAAAUGAUUAUCAGAGAUGGAAAACUUUUGCAAUGAUCUCCCAAGACAUACAUCUUCUGGCACUUCCCCCUCUAGGUCAUUAUAAUAUAGCGCCAAAUAAGUCAACCGUGUUAACUUAUUGAAUUCGGAAGGCAAGGAACCGAAGAAUUUAUUGUUGCUAAGGUCCAAUUCAGUUAGAUUGGCCAAGCUUCCAAUUGAUGCAGGGAUUGGACCGGUCAAAUUAUUAACCGAAAAAUAUAAAAUUUUAAGAGAAGUGAGCCUCCCGAUCUCUAAAGGUAUGGAUCCUGAAAGUUCAUUUUCAUAUAGGGAAAGAAAAGUUAAACUUGACAAGUUUCUGAUGGAACUAGGAAUUGAGCCAUUGAGAUUGUUGCUUGGUAGGUCAAGUUCAAUAAGAGAAGUGAGCCUCCCGAUUUCUGAAGGUAUGGAUCCCGAAAGUCCAUUUUUAUAAAGGUAAAGAAGAGAUAAACUUGACAAGUUUCCGAUGGAACUAGGAAUUGAGCCGUUGAGAUUGUUUCUUGAUAGCAUAAGUUCAAUAAGAUAAGUGAGUCUCCCAAUUUCAGAAGGUAUGGGUCCCGAAAGUCUAUUUUGGCAGAGGUCAAGAGUAGAUAAACUUGUCAAGUUUCCAAUGGAAUUAGGAAUUGAGCCGAUGAGAUUGUUGGAUGAUAGUUCAAGUUCAAUAAGAGAAGUGAGCCUCCCAAUUUCUGAAGGUAUGGGUCCGAAAAGUCCAUUUUGCCAUAUGUAAAGAAAUUUCAAAUUCCUCAAGUCACCUAUUUCUCUUGGAAUGGAACCGGAAAUAUUAUUGCAUGAAAUGAUUAAUUCAGUUAAAUUGCCUAAUUUUCCAAGAGAAGCAGGAAUGACACCUGAAAGUUGGUUUUCCCAUAGAUAAAGAUGAAUCAGGCUGCUCAAGUUCCCCAAUGAAAUAGGGAUAGGACCGGUGAGCUUGUUUUUGGAAAAAUCAAGUUCCAAAAGAAAAUCCAACUGUCCAAUCUCUCCAGGGAUGUGCCCACUUAGGUUGUUUGCACAUAGCUUCAAAUGAUGAAGACCCUCAAGCAUACCUAAACUUGGAGGAAUGUCACCAGAUAGCUCAUUGAAGCAAAGAUUAAGAGAGUUGAGUUUGGAAAGGUUACCGAUACUUGAGGGAAUGAAGCCAUAGAUCGAGUUGUUGGCAAGUUCCAAGCUAACCACACUGGUUAAGCGUGAGAAGUCGAGGCCUUCUAGAGUUCCUCUCAAGCCAAGAUAGGAAAGAUUUAGAUGGGCAAUGGCUCCAAAGUCAUCACAAGCAACACCAGUAAAGCUGCAAGGAUUGUCAUUGUGCCAUGAAGACAGGAGAGACCGGCUAUGGUUGUCAAGAGUAGAUUUCCAAUUCAGGAGAGCCUCUGCUCCAUCCUUACUCUUAGUCACGUGGAUAGUGGAGAAAGAAGUGGAGGAAGCAGAAAUGCUUGCACCAUGAAAUGAAGUGGUGCCUACCAAAAAGAGCGAGAAGAAGAAGACAGCUAAAGGAGACUGGGUGGACGACAAAAAGGGAGAAACCAUGAUUUGGGGGAUGUUGGGUUUAGGGAGGUGCGAGAUGGUUCAAAUCUGCAUAUUGUUAAAAAGAGCGAUGAGUAUACUUAUAGAUUGAAAGAUCACUCCCCAAGAGCCUCUAUCGAGGACAGCUCCUAUUAUAGUUGGACCGCGUUUUCCGGAGAAUGAGUCCUUCUCAUUGACGACAUAUUUGCAAGAUAAAAACUCUUUCCCCUUUUUCAGCCAGCUUAGCGUGCACCGUGGGGGAUGAUGAGUGAAUUGUGCAGAGCCACAUAGGUCUCAAUCGUGGGUCAUGCUUGACUUACUUUUUCUUGAUUUGAGGAUUACGACGGAAAUUAUAUACGACCGGAAUUGAUUGAUGUAUUUCCCCAAACAAACAAAAAAAAUAGCGAAAUAUGAAACAUAAAUCAUUGAUCAUUUAAGCACGCUUGGGAACUUGUUUAAUAAUAAGAAUGAGGAAAUUUCAUUUAAAUUCCAUAUUAUAAGGUUUUGUUCACGAGGAUUUCCUAAAUAGUCAUUCCAAAAAUAUAAAGUUCGAAACAACUCUUAAUUUGAGGAAUAUGACUCUUGCAUUUUUUUUUUUCAAAUCAACGACAUAUAAGAUCGUUUGUGUAAAUAUUUUUUACUAGCAGAGUUUUCUGUAGUUACUGUUAGUGUGAAUCCAUUUGGAAAAAGCGAAAAAUUGCUGAGGACUCCGUCUUUCUUGCCUCUGAUCAUGUACGAGAAGCUUGUCAAAAACAGAAAAAGGAAAAGAAAACACAAAUGUUGCGGGGCCGAUGCUGUCACCAUGAAAGAUUCCAGCCACUCCUUUCUCCAUGAGCUGCCCCACAUUCUUUUAUGGAUCGGUAACACUUUGGCAAUCAAUCAAGAUUAGAUUAAAGUGUCUGACUAGUAGCUAGAUUAUCAAAGAGAGAAAUUAAUUACACGGGCAAUUAUCAAAUUCGACUUACUUAAUAAGUAAGAUCUAAAAUGUGUUAUUAAACAAGAAAGAAUUGUACGAGAAUGAUUGGCUUUUUUUCUAAAUGUUGGAUUUUCAAAAGAAACACAGCCAAUGCAAAAAGAAACCCUCGACAAACGGAUUUCAAAUGUUGGCAUGUGACGAUUACUUAGUGUAAAAAUAUACACGUGUCGUGAUAGUGAAAAUGCAGUUUAUGUGAUGGAUAAAACUUCAUGGCGGUGAAACACAGUGUGAUUGGUUGAUCAUAAUUGCCCACGUACUAUGAAUCUCGUCUUACUUCUCACCCUGUGUUCAUAUAUUUCACUUUUGAUUGAUUGAUUAUAUUUUAUUUCAUCCCGCUUGAUAUUUUCAUCAUAUAAAACACAUUCUCUAUUAUCAUCCCAGCAAUGGAAAAAAAAAAGGAGAUAUUUUUGCCUGAGGUUUAUGUUAUCAACGUCAAACUAAGUCCAACUUUUGAUCGGGCCUUUCAUUUUCUCAGCCGUGUCUCUCUAGUAAAGUCCAAAAUUUAAUCAGAUCAGCCUCAUCCGCUAGACAAAUCAGAAGUGCGAGAUGGUUCAAAUCUGCAUAUUGUUAAAAAGAUUGAUGAGUAUACUUAUAGAUUGAAGGGCCAAUUCCAUAAAAAAGCACGAACUUUAGGUGUUGUCCCAAAUCUAACUUGAACUUUAUUUUGUCUAAAAAAACAAACUUUCACUUGUGUCCCAAAUAUGGCUCUCCGUUAACCCUCAUUCCAUAGUCAUCCGACGUGGCAUUAAAUUUAAGAACGAGACCCAAAAGAACAAGAAAACAACUUGCCAAUUGUUAAUUGUUAAAUUUAAGUCUGCCCUCCAAUGAGGUGAACUUUUCAGAUGAUUCUCAUGGGAAAAAUAAUUUAGCAGCUUUAGUUCCAAGAGAUGAGGCACAUAGCUAGGGCCGUUAGAUCAAUUAACAAUUGGCAAGCUAUUUUCAAUGUCAAAAGCUGGGUUGGAAGCAGAAGAUUACAUUGCCUUAAAGCAAAAUAUUAAAAGCAUGUGGAUCUUGUAGUUAAAUAGAGAUGUGAAGCCUAUUUGUAAUAGACUUACUUCAUUCAUCUUCAAAUAGACUUUGAGUGGAAAUGCCACGUCGGAUGUCUGUGGAGUGAGGGUUAACGGAGGGCCAGAUUUGGGACACGAGUGAAAGUUGGUGUUUUUUUUUAGAUAAAAUAAAAGUCGGGCUAGAUUUGAGACAACACCUAAAGUUUGUGCUUUUUUAUGGAAUUGGGUCAUAGAUUGAAAGAUCACUCCCCAAAAUCCUCUAUCGAGGACAGCUCCUAUUAUAGUUGGACCGCGUUUUCCAGAGAAUGAGUCCUUCUCAUUGACGACAUAUUUGCAAGAUAAAAACUCUUUCCCUUUUUCAGACAGCUUAGCGUGCACCGUGGGGGAUGAUGAGUGAAUUGUGCAGAGCCACAUAAGUCUCAAUCGUGGGUCAUGCUUGACUUGUCUACUUCGAAAUUGAUGAUAUAUUUGCAAGAUAAAAAGUCUUUCCCCUUUUUCAGUCAGCUUAGCGUGCCUCGUGGGGGAUGAUGAGUGAACUGCGUAGAGCCACAUAAAUCUCAAUCGUUGGUGUGAUGCUUGACUUACUUUUUCAAGUCUUCAUUGAAAUUGACGAUACGUUUGCAAGAUAAAAAGUCUUUCCCCUUUGGGAAAAUGUCACAAAUGGUCCCUAUACUAUUACUUAAUGUGCAAUUUGGCCCUUGAACUUUCGAUCGGCUCAAUUUAGUCCUUGAACUAUUGAUAAAUGUCCGAUUUGGUCCCUGAACUUUCGAUCGGCUCAAUUUGGUCCUUGAAUAAAUGUUCGAUUUAGUCUUUUGUUACUGUUUUUUUUUUUUUUUGCUUCUCCUCUCUUCCCUCUGCCGGCGAGGAUUGCUCUCGCCAGACGCAUGCGAGGGCGGCCCUUGCCAGAUUUGUGAGGGAGCCCCUCGUCGGCAUCGGGUGAGGAGCACCCUAGUGUUAGGCAAGGGGUUCCCUCACCAGAUCUGCGAGGGAGCCCCUCGCCCAAUGCCGGCGAGGGCCGCCCUCACCUGCGUUUGGCGAGGACGGCCCUCGCCCGAUGUUGGCGAGGGCAACCCUCGUCAAACGCCGACGAGGGCAACCCUCGCCGAACGCCAGCUUCCCUCCGUCGGAACCGGCGGAGGGAAGAGAGAAGAAGCAAAAAAGAAAAAGAAAAGAAAAGGAAAAACAGUAAUGAAGGACUAAAUUGGACAUUUAUCAAUAGUUUAUGGACCAAAUUGAGCCGAUCGAAAGUUCAGGGAUCAAAUCGGACAUCUAUAAAUAGUUCAGGGACCAAAUUGAGCCGAUCGAAAGUUUAUGGACCAAAUUGCACAUUAAGUAAUAGUACAUGGACCAUUGUGACAUUUUCCCUUCCCAUUUCUCAGUCAGCUUAGCGUGCUCCGUGGGGGAUGAUGAGUGAAUUGCGCAGACAUGCUUGAUUUACUUUUCCAAGUCUUCUUUGAAACUAACAUGUCAACCAUAUUUGUGGAAAAUGAAGUCCUGAUCGUGGGUUUCGAACCAAAAAAAGAAAAAAAGAAAAAAAGUCCUGAUCAUGGGUGGCUGUAUGGUUCAAAAUUGACACUCAGAUUUUGGGUAGAUGAGUGGGGUAUUGAAGGGGAAUAUAAACUAUGUCGGAUUUUUUUUUCCAAACAAUAAUUUGUAGAAAUUGACCAAAUUUUGAUCGUGCAUAACUUUUCCAUCUAACAUCCGGUUGACUUGGCUCCAAUUCUGGCCAAACGUUCUAUGAUGUGCAUGUGAUAAAGAUUCGAGUGAUUGGUUUGUGUAGAGAGCUUGGAUCCCCUUUUGCAGAGUAAUAUUUAUGCUUCCCUAUAUUGGAGAGAAAACAAAGCAGCAACAAGGAUGUGGAUAGGUUAUUUCAAGAGAACCUAGGCCUCCAAUACCGGAACAAGAAUUUUGAGAAAACUAAUGUGAGUCAUGUCAGCUGUAUGUCAUUAAUCGACAUAGUCCCUUCCAUGUACUAUAACGAUAGCUCUCUGCUUAACAUGAUCCAUGAAUGAAAAGUACAAUAAUGGUUCAACUAAAGAAGAAUGGGCUAAUGUCAAAUUCACAUGGAACAAAAUGGGCAAAAGAUCGCUUCAAGUGUCAUAAGUUGGUAUAGAGGGACACUUAAGCGUCAAAACUCACGAAAGUGACACUUAAGUACCAAAAUUGGAGAGAAAUUAAUCACUUAAGUGCCACUCCAGCCAAAAUCCGGCCAAAACGCUAACGUGUCAAUUUUCCUGCAAAGCGAGUGCAAAACGACGUCUUUUUGCAUGAAUGGACCUAGACUUAGAACCGGGGAAGGAGAGUAAAUUUCCUAUAGGUAUGCAUCCCACAAUGGGCGAACAACUCCCGUUCAAGCCAUUCAGGGACAGCCUUUUAGUAGAAAACCACUCAACCCUGUAGUUCAGAGCCUAGAGACACUCAAAGAUUCCAGGAUGGAAACGUUUCUAACCUACCCAAGCUGCAUUUCUUGGAGGAUCCUACCAAGCUGGAGAAGAAGAGAAAUUUAGAAAGCCAUGGAGAGAUUUUUCACAAAGCACACACUUUACUUUAAGGGACUUUGCCCAACACACUACACCCUCCUCGCCUUUUAUAGACGAUAAGAGGUCACAAAGACACACACAAGGUCUAAGCUCAUGGGUUCGGAUACAAACAAAGGCACCAGAAACUUCUGGGAGGGAAUUAUUUGCACACUAUGAAUAGUGAUCAUACUGUGAACAGUACAUUCCCUAACCUAGUGCUACAGUAAAAGUGAACAGUGACUUGCUACAGUGAAAUUGUAUGGACUCAACGGUCUCGUCCGUCACGAGCAUUGUAGUCAUAGUCAUAGUCAUCCGAGUUGUGUACUGUCGCUAAGCAGUGUUCAUAAUACUUUUGUUCAAGUGCUUCAAGGUCUUCUGGUGAUAGAAUCUGGUUGAGCUGACAGGAUGUGGAUGCAGAGGCUUCGUAAGCCCAGUGGGAUGCUUCUUCUUCUGCCAGUUUGUGUUGUCAUUUUCUUCAGCGUUGGCAGGAAUGCUAGGCUGAGGCCAAUUGGAUGGCUAUACAUAAAAGGAUGUGUCCAUGCUUUGGGAUAAGGACAAAGGUCCUUGUUCGUAGGGAUCCUUGGACAGAGGACCUCCAAAGAGUGCAUAAGGGUCCUGGGUGGAUUGAACAAUGUCAUCUGCUCAUGUCAUUUCAUGAUUUUGAGAUGAUGCAGCUUGUCUGUAUUGCCUGAGUGUUUCCUUAGCUUCUGGUGCUAGGUCAUAAUGAUUCCACGUAGUGGGUACAUUAUUCUAUAUAUCUUCGGGAAUGGUUUUGUUUUCCUGGCACAAGAUUCUCUAGAGUUCUCGGUACUAGUGUUCACAAGAUCUAACAGAUCUGGGAUAAGAUUUGUGAAUUCAAGCUUUUCGGCUGUCCAAGUAAGGUUUAUAGGAUGUGGUUCCUAUUUCCUGUGGGGCAUUAAUGAUGUGGCCAUUAUUUGUGAAAAAAUGCCAUGGACAUUGGAAAAACAGGAUGGUAUGGACUUCAGGAUUUGGGGUCAUGGUUCUCAGUUCUUUUUCCAAGAGAUGUUUCUAGUGAGUAGGAUGUUAGAACCAAUUAAGAAAGUCUAAGAGAUUCUUAUCACUUUCUUUCUCAACAUUUCUUUCGAGUAAAAAUAUCCUGGUGAGGUUGGCAAUGAAUCUUCUGGUUGGAAUUUCAAUAGCUAUUAAGUACUUAUUGGUUAAGUACCAUAAUAACAUCUUGAGUUGAUCCGGGAAAUCAUCUUCCUUCCAGAUAAGAGGAUGAAUGAAUGGAUAAUCCGAAUUUAACCCAAAAGGAUAAAGAAUCGAACCUCCAUUGAAUCUUAACAGAUCUGUGUGGCAUUGCCACAUAAGGUUCUCCAGGUUCUCAGCAAGAUUGUCAUUCUGGAUUUGUUGAAUAAUCUCCUGGGGAUAUUUCCAACUUGGCAAAUCUUUGAUCUUCUCAAUCUUGUAUUUCACGCCAUGAUUGAGCAUAUGGAAAGCAGGCCUCUUGAUAUACAUGUUGAUUUCGGCUGCUGCCUUUGGCCUUGACAAAAAGUCAGCAAGCACAUUCUUCUUUCCAGGAAUAUGUUUGGUUUCAAAAGAGUAUUUCGAAAACCAUUCAGCCCAUCGAAGCAGUUGGGAAUUUGGAAUCUGUUUAUGUUUAAACUUGGUCAUCUAGGGGAAAGAUGCCAAGUCUAAUUCUACCAGGAAGUGAUGGCCGAUGAGAUGAAACUCAAACUUUUUGAUUUCAUUUUUUACUGCUAAGAUUUCUUUGAAAGUGGAAUAAUAAUGCAUUUUAGCUGGAGAAAACUUUCCACUUUUAUGAGCAUAAAGGUGUCUCUUACCAUUAAUUUCUUCGAACAGGAUGGCUGCCCAGUAUUCAUCACUGGUGUCAGUUUGAAGAAUUCUUUUUCCUGUUAAUGGUAUUUGCAACGGUGGGAGAUUCUGCAUAAUCUCCUUAAGCUCAGCGACUGCUUUGGUCUGGGUUUUUCCCUAAGGUAGGGGAUUCUUCUUCAACAUGGAUUGCAAAGGAAUCAGGAGCUUUGCAAUGUUUGGGACAAAAUCCCUGAGAUAGUUGAUUAUCCCAAGAAAUUGCUGAACUUGUUUUGUAGUGAAGUUAUCUUCAGGAAACUUCAAUAAUUCUCGAGCAAUAUGUGGCCCUAGGUAGUACGUACCUUUGUUGAGGUGCAUACCAAGAAAUUCAAUCUUUGUUUGGGCAAUAUUCAUUUUCCUUUGAGAAAGCAUAAUGCCAUGCUUUUUCACGAUUUCUGCAAAUUGCUCAAGGAGUUGACAGUGUGACUGUUCAUCAGGACUGUAGAGCAGAAUGUCGUCAAUGUAUACAGCUGCACUUGACAAGAUUGGUUGGAAAAUACAGCACAUGGCCUUUUGGAAAAGGGAUGGUGCUACCUUUAGGCCAAAAGGAAGAACUUUCCACUGGAAAUACUAGUUUAGGAUACAUAAUCCUGUUUUGGAUCUGUCUUCAGGAUGGAUGCCCAAUUGCCAAAAUUCGGCUUUGAGGUCAAAUUUGGAAUAGAUAUGGGCCUUGGUUAGACCAGUAAAGAGAGAGUCUCUGGAUGGUAAAGGGAAUUUAUCAUCUUGGAGAAAAAUGUUGAGAGGUUGAUAGUUGAUUACUAGUCUAAUUUUUUCCCUGUUUUGCUUAGCACGCUUAUUGACAUAAAAUGCUUCGCAGGCCCAUUGAGAAUCAGAGAUUUCAAUAAGGCCUUGUUGCAAUAAUUCUGAGCAUUCCCUUUGAGCUAAAGCCAGAUGUUUUGGCUUCAUUCCCAUGUGACUCGCCUUAGUUGGAUUUAUAUCUUCAUUCUUCUUAAAAGGAAGGCGAACAAAGAAAUCUGGAUUUUUCCAUAAAGGAUGGGAACACUUCUGAGCAAAUUCCGAAUGGGAUUCCGAACAAGAUUCUAACAACUUUUGCAUGAUUGAAUCUAAUAGACUCAUCUGAAUGGAAAGGAGUCUCUGAAUAUUGACGAACUUAGAGAAUUGGUCUUUAUACCUAAGACCUUUUCUAGGAAUGAUACGGAGUUGAGAGAUUUGAGUCAUGGUGUCCCACCCAAUUAUCAAGUCUUUAUUAGGGAGAUUUGAUCCAAAAAUCUUUGUGGUUAUGGAACACUGAGGAAAGAACUGGACAGUUACUGGAGUGGUCCUGACAUUUGUGGAGAAAGUGUCCCCCAAAGCAGAAUUGAAAUAUCAGACAUAAGGAGUCCAAUAUUCUUCAGGGAGAACUUUGGUGUCCAGUAUUGAACAACUUGCUCCGGUAUUAAUGAGAGUAAUAACAGUGAUCGGUUUGGCAAACUUUGAAGUGAAGAUUUUUACAGGGAAAUUGGGACGGUGAGUUUGACUUGAAAAUAUGUCAAGGCUUAGUUAUGGAGAUGUAGGGGAUAUGUGAAAGAUGUCUUCAGACUCUGAGUCUGAUUCAGUCUCACUGGAAGUUUGGUAAGAGGGAAUGACACAAAGAGUUUGUUCAGAUGGCUCUUCAUCAGCAGAGAAUAAGGAUUCAAUAUCAUCAUUUUCAAGAGAAAUACCCGUUUCAUUCUCAAUGUGAUGAAUUAGACGAUUCUGACCUUUUCUCGGUUGAGGACAAUUUUUGGCAAAAUGUCCUUUCUGAUUGUAGAUGAAGCAACGGUUUGAUUUCUUAUGGCCUGUGCUAUCCUUCCUUUUGCGUAGGUAUCGCCAUUUCUUCUUUUUCCAGAAGUUCUUGGGGCCAUGUUUGGACUUCUUCAUCCAGAACUUCUUGAAGUGUUUCUUCUUCCGAGAAAACUUACACAAGUACCAUCACGGUCUUGUUUUGAACAUUUGAUUUUUAACUUCUGCCGAGAGCAAGUUGUCUCGAGACUUCUGUCAUCUGUGAUGUAGGUACGGACCAUCUGGCGCUUUAAACACAGUUCUUCAAGGCAUAGACGGAUUUCUUAUUGUAUUUCUCCUAAGGAAAUAUCUUGUAUUCUCCUUUGUCUUCCUAAGAAAGAUCUUUCGACCAUCUGGGAUAAUUCUUUAGGGAUGGAAGUAAGGAGAACAUGUUUCAGAUUUGGAUCAGCUCCAAUCUGAUAGAAAAGCUGAAGCAUUAUUCGAUAAAAAAUUCUCUUCUUUUCAAGAUAUUUCUUUUGGAGGGAGCAACAUUUUCUUUCAAAAAAUUCUCUUCUUUUCAUUUCUAUGAGGUCAGUGAGUUUUCCCACAAAGACAUGAUAUAAGAUGGUGAUGGCAUGGCUGAAAUCAGGUGACAUCAGAAAGUGAAUUUGAUCUUGUUCUGAAACUGAUUUCCACCAAAGUUUGAGGCUUCCUGAGAACCUCGUAACAAAGUUGUAAAUGACAUCAUUCAUAUCAUGGUUGGUGAUGGACUGAGUAUUCAACCAAGUAUGAAAUUCUUCAAGUCUUUCUGGCCAUUUGUGAUAAUGAAUAUCAUCAAUGGUGAAAAAUUGUUUUGAUGCCAUGGACACAUGUCUUCUGGGAUUGUCUGUCUGAACAUUUUUUGGCUUAGAAUAGUUUGAUUCCAUCUCAUAAUCUGGAGGAUCAGCCAUGAAUAUUGAUGAAGUGAUUGGCUCAAUAGGGAGAAUCAAUAGUAGGAAUCGAGAAGGAUGAAGAGGACGAAAGGGAUACUGAAUCUGAUUCAGUAUUAAAGAUGCUAGGAGAAGUUUGUUUAGCUGGGAACAGAAUCUGAUUUUCUAGAAUGGCAGGAUCAGGCUGUUGGAUAAUAGGGUCAGGUUCUUGAGUACUCAAAUCCUUUAGAAAAGAUUCUAAUGGAUUGGAUAACAUCAUCUGAUCUGGCUUUUCUCUUAUAACAACCAAACUUGAUUCUAUAGGCAUCUUUUCUUUUCCUUUGUCUUUCUAUAACUUUUUGAUACGAUCUCGUAAUUCUGCCAUAUUUGGUUCUUUUCUGAAAGAAUCUUCUGGGAUGGCAGCAAAGAUGGAUGUCUGGGGGGGUGGUGGAGGCAAAUACCCGUUCUGACAGUAGUUGCAAAAGGAUCAAAAGGUCUGAACCUUCCUUCUUCAAAGAGUUGAAUUUGCCUCUUGAGUUUCUCUAUCUCUGGCUUUGGGCUCUCUAGAUGAUGAUAUCCUAGAUGUUGUCCUGAUUCCAAGGCAUUUAGCCUCUUUUGGAAUUCAGAAAUCAUUUUCUUGGUGGUUUCAUCAUACUUUCGGAGAUCUUGUUGCACAUUUCCAAUCUUGGAAUCAAUUGCCUUGAAGGCAUUGUUUUGUGCUAACAGAGUCUUUGAUUGCCAAUUGAGAACAGCUUCAACAGCAGGAGUUCUUUUCUGUCUUUCAUGCUCAUCCACAUCAGUGGGGGCAGCUAUCUUAGGAACAUGGCGAAAUCUGCCUUGUGGAUUAAUGAAUUCUUCUGAAGUGGGAAACGAGAGUUUAGAACUUUCUCUGACAAGAGGGGGAAAGUCAGUAUCAUGGAACAUAGCAAUGGAAGAAGUGGGCUGCGUUUAUGCUAGGGCUUCGAGUGGGUAAGAAUGCUUCUUAGCCCAUUUUAAGAUUGACUUAUAAAAUGGGGAGAGAGCUUGUUUUUUCUGAGGAGGAGAUGGUGGGGGUGAUCUUGGUGGAUCUGGUGAAGCUUGGGAUGUAGUACUGUACUCUGGUGGUGCAGGUGGUGCAUAAGAAACCAUGAACUGGUAUUUAUCACACUCACCAAGAGUAUCAACGGAGGGAUCUUCGUUUAAGUACAUUCGGGGUGGAGGUUUUGCUAAAGGAUCUACCUCAUCAGGGGAAUUUGUACAAUAGGAACUUUGGCAAAAAGGAUCCCAAAAACAAUGACCAUAGUUGUCUUUGUAGUAAUGGACAGGAUGUCCAUCACUAUUGAAGUGUCGAACAAGCUUUUUUGGAUCUGGCUCGGAAAUUGAUUGAGGAACACAUGGUUCGAUCAUGAAGAGGGUCUGGAAGAUAGAAGGACUUUCUUCCUUUUCCUUGCCAAAUUUGAUGGAAACAGUUCCAUCUUUUUUUCCGAACGAACUCAGAGUCCGUGGACUGGAAAGGCUUGUUAUGCUGAUGUAGCUUUUCGUAGUUGGUAAUCCAAGUCUCUGGAAGGAGCUUGGCCAACGUAUCCUUCGGGAUCUGUCUAGGAACAUGGAUACAGGAUGCCUGGUCAUUCUGCAUAGAGAUAAACAAAGCAUCUUCAUUACCAUUGUUGAAGUUGAGAUCAAGGGCAUGGUUCUGCACUCGAUAAACCAUAUGGUAAUGUAGUGUUGCAGCUACAGAGUUAGCAGUUUGAGGAGCUCCAAUGAGCUGGACUUGAACUUUUAGAAAAGAGAGUAGCUGGGGGUCUGAAAGAGCGAUGUUGAAGUUUGGAUACAAAGUCACAAAGACUGUUCUAGCAUUCAAAGUAGUUUGGACAGUACCGAUGCAAGCAUGCCGGUAUUGUAAAAACCUGGUAUCCAACAACGCUAUUCUUGCCACAAUUGGCAAACCUUUACGACCAUGAAAGGUAAGAGCAAGACAAAUAGUGCCAUAAUGGACAUGAGUAUAUCCCUGUUGAGCCCAUUGUCUGGGGAACUCUGGAGGGAUUUGAAGAGUAACAAAGUACUCUUUUUCAGUAGUAGGAAUGGGAUGCUGGUUGAAUUUGGAGGACUUGACGUACUUCUCUACUUGCUUUGGGGUUUGGUGAAUAAGCUAGCGGAUAGGUGAAAAUGAUGAAUUGGGUUUGGCAAAAGCGGAGUAAGGGUUCAUGAGAGGAAGUUGGGUUUCUGAAAUCUUGGUUUUAUCACUAAGAGAGACUUCAUAAGAUAAUCUAUCUUAGAAGCAUUGGAAACACGGAAUUCUGGAGGAGUUGAAGAGGAAGGAGAAGGAGCAAGAGAAACGGGUGCUUCGAGAAUUUCUGGUUAUGUAGACAUGAUGCAAGAGGAUAUUCUCAGCACUGGAUUUACCUACUAAGCGUAUGGAAUGUAUGACAUCACAAACGAAACCAUGGCUCUGAAGAAGAAUGAAGAUAUAAAUCCAACCAAGGCGAGUCACAUGGGAAUGAAGCCAGAACAUCUGGUUUUAGCUCAAAGGGAAUGCUCAGAAUUAUUGCAACAAGGCGUUAUUGAAAUCUUUGAUUCUCAAUGGGCCUGUGAAGCCUUUUAUGUUAAUAAGCGUGCUGAGCAAAACAGGGGAAGAAUGAGACUGGUAAUCAACUAUCAACCUCUCAACCUUUUUCUCCAAGAUGAUAAAUUCCCUUUAUCAUCCAGAGACUCUCUCUUUGCUGGUCUAACCAAGGCCCAUAUCUAUUCCAAAUUCAACUUCAAAGUCGGAUUUUGGCAAUUUGGCAUCCAUCUUGAAGACAGAUCCGAAACAGGAUUCUGUAUCCCAAAUCAACAUUUCCAGUGGAAAGUUCUUCCUUUUGGCCUAAAGGUAGCACCAUUCCUUUCCCAAAAGGCCAUUUGCCGUAUUUGCCAACCAAUCUUGUCAAGUGCAGCCGUAUACAUUGACGACAUUCUGCUCUACAGUCCUGACGAAUAGUCACACUGUCAACUCCUUGAGCAAUUCGCAGAAAUAGUGAAAAAGCAUGGCAUUAUGCUUUCUCAAAGGAAAAUGAAUAUUGCCCAAACAGAGAUUGAAUUUCUUGGUAUGCACCUCAACAAAGGUACGUACUACCCAGGGCCACAUAUUGCUCAAGAAUUUUUGAAGUUUCCUGAAGAUAACUUCACUACAAAACAAGUUCAGCAAUUUCUUGGGAUAAUAAAUUAUCUCAAGGAUUUUGUCCCAAACAUUGCAAAGCUCCUGAUUCCCUUGCAAUCCAUGUUGAAGAAGAAUCCCCUACCUUGGGGAAAAACCCAAACCAAAGCAGUCGCUGAGCUUAAGGAGAUUAUACAGAAUCUCCCACCGUUGCAAAUACCAUCAACAGGAAAAAGAAUUUUUCAAACUGACGCCAGUGAUGAAUACUGGGCAGCCAUCCUGUUCGAAGAAAUUGAUGGUAAGAGACACCUUUGUGCUCAUAAAAGUGGAAAGUUUUCUCCAGCUGAAAUGCAUUAUCAUUCCACCUUCAAAGAAAUCUUAGCAGUAAAAAAUGGAAUAAAAAAGUUUGAGUUUCAUCUCAUCGGCCAUCAUUUCCUGGUAGAAUUAGACAUGGCAUCUUUUCCCCAGAUGACCAAGUUUAAAUAGAAACAGAUUCCAAAUUCCCAACUGCUUCGAUGGGCUGAAUGGUUUUUGAAAUACUCUUUUGAAACCAAACAUAUUCAUGGAAAGAAGAAUGUGCUUGUUGACUUUUUGUUAAGGCCAAAGGCACCAGCCGAAAUCAACAUGUAUAUUAAGAGGCCUGCUUUCCAUAUGCUCAAUCAUGGCAUGAAAUACAAGAUUGAGAAGAUCAAAUAUUUGCUAAGUUGGAAAUAUCCCCAGGAGAUUAUUCAACAAAUCCAAAAUGACAGUCUUGCUAAGAACCUGGAGAACCUUAUGUGCCACACAGAUCUGUUCAGAUUCAAUGGAGGUUCGAUUCUUUAUCCUUUUGGGUUAAAUUCGGAUUAUCCAUUCAUUCAUCCUCUUAUCUGGAAGGAAGAUGAUUUCCCGGAUCAACUCAAGACGUUAUUAUGGUACUUAACCAAUAAGUACUUAAUAGCUAUUGAAAUUCCAACCAGAAGAUUCAUUGCCAACCUCACUAGGAUAUUUUUACUCGGAAGAAAUGUUGAGAAAGAAAGUGAUAAGGAUCUCUUAGACUUUCUUAAUUGGUUCUACUAUCCUACUCACUGGAAACAUCUCUUGGAAAAAGAACUGAGAACCAUGAUCCCAAAUCCUGAAGUCCAUACCAUCCCGUUUUUCCAACGUCCAUGGCAUUUUUUCACAAAUAAUGGCCACAUCAUUAAUGCCCCACAGGAAAUAGGAACCACAUCCUAUAAACCUCACUUGGACACCCGAAAAGCUUGAAUUCACAAAUCUUAUCCCAGAUCUAUUAGAUCUUGUGAACACUAGUACGGAGAACUCCAGAGAAUCUUGUGCCAGGAAAACAAAACCAUUCACGAAGAUAUAUGGAAUAAUGUAUCAACUACGUGGGAUCAUUAUGACCUAGCACCAGAAGCUAAGGAAGCACUCAGGCAAUACAAACAAGCUGCAUCAUCUCAAGAUCAUGAAAUGACAGGAGCAUAUGACAUUUUCCAAUCCACCCAGGACCCCUAUGCACGCUUUGGAGGUCCUCUGUCCCAGGAUCCCUACGAACAAGGACCUUCGUCCUUAUCCCAAAGCAUGGACACAUCCUUUUAUGCACAACCAUCCAAUUGGCCUCAGCCUUGCAUUCCUGCCGACACUGAAGAAAAUGACAAUACAAACUGGGCAGAAGAAGAAGCAUCCCACUGGGCUUAUGAAGCCUCUGCAUCCAUAUCCCGUCAGCUCAACCAGAUUCUAUCACCAGAAGACCUUGAAGCACUUGAACAAAAGUAUGAUGAACACCGCUUAGCGACAGUACACAGCUCGGAUGACUCUGACUAUGACUACAAUGCUCGUGACGGACGAGACCGCUGAGUCCGUACAAUUUCACUGUAGCAAGUCACUAUUCACUUUAACUGUAGUACUAGACUAGGGAAGGUACUGUUCACAGUACGAUCACUGUUCAUAGUGUGCGAAUAAUUCCCUCCCAGAAGUUUCCGGUGCCUCUGUUUGUAUUCGGACCCAUGAGCUUGGUCCUUGUGUGUCUGUGUGACCUCUUAUCGUCUAUAAAAGGUGAGGAGGGUGUAGUGUGUUGGGCAAAGUCCCUUGAAGUAAAGUGUAUGCUUUGUGAAAAAUCUCUCCAUGGCUUUCUAAAUUUCUCUUCUUCUCCAGCCUGGUAGGAUCCUCUAAGAAAUGCAGCUUGGGUAGGUUAGAAACGUUUCCAUCCUGGAAUCUUUGAGUGUCUCUAGGCUCUGAACUAAAUGGCUGAGUGGUUUUCUGCUAAAAGGCUGUCCUUGAAGGGCUUGAACGGGAGUUGUUUGCCUAUUGUGGGAUGCAUACCUGCAGGAAAUUUACUCUCCUUCCCUAGUUCUAAGUCUAGGUCCAUUCAUGGUAUCAGAGCCAUGGUUUCGUUUGUGAUGUUAUCCAUUCCAUGCGCUUGGUAGGUGAAUCCAGUGCUGAGAAGAUCCUCUUGCAUCAUGUCUACAGAACUAGAAAUUCUCGAAGCACCCAUUUCUCUUGCUCCUUCUCCUUCCUCUUCAACUCCUUCAGAAUUCCGUGUUUCCAAUGCUUCUAAGAUAGAUUAUCUUUAUGAAGUCUCUCUUAGUGAUGAAAUCAAAAUUUCUGAAACCCAACUUCCUCUCAAGAACCCUUACUCCGCUUUUGCCAAACCUAAUUCAUCAUUUUCACCUAUCCGCUCCAUUCACCAGCUUAUUCACCAAACCUCAAAGCAAGUAAAGGAGUACGUCUAGUCCUCCAAAUUCGACCAACAUCCCAUUCCUGCUACUGAAAAAGAGUACUUUGUUACUCUUCAAAUCCCUCCAGAGUUCCCCAGACAAUGGGCUCAACAGGGAUAUACUCAUGUCCAUUAUGACGCUGUUCGUCUUGCUCUCAUCUUUCAUGGUCGUAAAGGUUUGCCAGUUAUGGCAAGAAUAGCGUUGUUGGAUACCAGAUUUUUACAAUACCAACAUGCUUGCAUUGGUACUGUCCAAACUACUUUGAAUGCUGGAACAGUCUUUGUGACUUUGUAUCCAAACUUCAACAUCGCUCUUUCAGACCCCCAGUUACUCUUUUUUCUAAAAGUUCGCUCAUUGUGGGAUGCAUACCUACAGGAGAUUUACUCUCCUUCCCUGGUUCUAAGUCUAAGUCCAUUCAUGCAUAGACAAUGCAAAAACGACGUUGUUUUGGUGCUGACGAGGUAAAAAAUUUAAUAUAAAGAUUAAAUAAAUUUAAUUUUAAACUAAAUUUAUUUAAAACAUUUAAAAAUAAAAAUAUUAAAAUAUUAAAAAUAUUAAAAAAUUACAAAAAUUAAAAGCACAAUUAAAAAAAGGGAUAUAAAUUUUAUUUAAAUUUAAUUUAAACUAUUUUAAAAAUUUAAAUUUUUUUAAAUUAUUUAAAAUUUAAAAAAAAUUAAUAUUUUUAAUAUUUUUAAUAUUAAUAUUUUUAUUUUUAAAAUUUCUACUUCUCUAUUUCUCUAUUUCUUUAUUCCCCGGAACAGGUUUGGAACAUAAAUCAGUUUGGUAACGCAAUUUGAUUUUUCUAUUUCUGAAACAGAUUUCUAUUCCAGAAAUAGAUUUGAAGAAGAAAUCAGAAGUUAAAAUUUUUGAUUUCUCAAUUUCUAACUAUAAAUCAAUUUCUGUUCCAGAAAUUUUGUCAUGCGCACCUUAAGUGUCACUUUCAUAAGUUUUGGUACUUCAGUAUCCAUUUGUGCCAACUUAUGGCACUCCAAGGAUUCACACAUCGAACAAAAUGUAAAUGAGAGAAAUAUCAAUGCAGUUGUGAAGUGCUGCUUCUUAGCUAAGAAGUGAAAGGGAAAUGCUGCUUUUCCAUAUUUAGGAGAAAAUGACUUCUGAUUUGUCCAGCGGAUGAGGCUGAUCUGAUUAAAUUUUGGACUUUACUAGAGAGACACAACUGAGAAAAUGAAAGGCCCGAUCAAAAGUUGGACUUAGUUUGACGUUGAUAACAUAAACCUCAGGCAAAAAUAUCUCCUUUUUUUCUUCCAUUGCUGGGAUGAUAAUAGAGAAUGUGUUUUAUAUGAUGAAAAUAUCAAGCGGGAUGAAAUAAAAUAUAAUCAAUCAAUCAAAAGUGAAAUAUAUGAACACAGGGUGAGAAGUAAGACGAGAUUCAAAGUACGUGGGCAAUUAUGAUCAACCAAUCACACUGUGUUUCACCGCCAUGAAGUUUUAUCCAUCACAUAAACUGCAUUUUCACUAUCACGACACGUGUAUAUUUUUACACUAAGUAAUCGUCACAUGCCAACAUUUGAAAUCCGUUUGUCGAGGGUUUCUUUUUGCAUUGGCUGUGUUUCUUUUGAAAAUCCAACAUUUAGAAAAAAGCCAAUCAUUCUCGUACAAUUCUUUCUUGUUUAAUAACACAUUUUAGAUCUUACUUAUUAAGUAAGUCGAAUUUGAUAAUUGCCCGUGUAAUUAAUUUCUCUCUUUGAUAAUCUAGCUACUAGUCAGACACUUUAAUCUAAUCUUGAUUGAUUGCCAAAGUGUUACCGAUCCGUAAAAGAAUGUGGGGCAGCUCAUGGAGAAAGGAGUGGCUGGAAUCUUUCAUGGUGACAGCAUCGGCCCCGCAACAUUUGUGUUUUCUUUUCCUUUUUCUGUUUUUGACAAGCUUCUCGUACAUGAUCAGAGGCAAGAAAGACGGAGUCCUCAGCAAUUUUUCGCUUUUUCAAAGCCGUAGACCAUGAAAACUUCAAGAAGGCCAUUCUGGGGCGUAAACUCGAUUUCUCAUUGCGGAACGCUAAAAUUCGGGAAAGUGGAAACAUGCCGCGAACGAUGACCCAAGUGGUCUCAAGCCCGCAUUGGACAACCCAAUGGGCCUGGGCCCGCAUUGGACGGCCCAAUAGGGCCCACGCCCAUGUUGGGCAGCCCAAGGUCCCAUGCCCAGGGAGAUGAGCAGCCCACGAGGGCCAUGGAUCUCCAAGCCCACUUUAGCCUUAUGAGAUCUAAGCAUUUAAUGCACCCAUAUGCAUGAAUAGUGCCCAAAUCUCCUUGCAAAGACCAAAUUGACCUCUCUUCAAAGCUAAAGACCAAGGGGCAAGAGUGGAAUUGGCCAAGGAAGGGGGCGGCCACAAGUUUGGAGGAAAUUAGAUGGAGGACAACCUAGCCUAGUCUAAAGCUUAACAUAGACCUAUUAGCCCAUGUGUGAAUAUCUCCUCAUUAAUAGCUUGGAUCUUUCUUCUUCAAGAGGCAAUCCCAUACUUGGAUGAGAGGAUUUCAUAGGAUUGGAUAGUAUUAAACAUUAAUAACCAAAUCUCCCUCAUUCUCUCUCUCUCCCCCAAAACCCACGGUGACCACCACUCUCUCUUUCUUCUCUCAUUUGUUCACUUUGGCACUCACUCUCAUCUUUCCUCUCCCUUUUGAGCUUGGCCGAACCACCACCCUCUCCAUUCCAUCUCGUUUGCGUGCUUUUUCCUCUCAUUCCCUCACCAUUCAUUGUCCACCGCACACACCCAUCGUUGAACCGCAAUUCUCAUCACCAUGCCAAACCGUGGAUUCAAGGAGGAAGCUGUCUAACCUCACCACUGAUAGGGCUAGUAAGAACACCUAGAGGGGGGUGAAUAGGUGUUAAAGAAGUUUCUGCAAGACUUAACAAAUUAAUUCGUCUUCUGAAGAUGUAAAAGACUAUAGAUAGUUAUAUAAAGUUACGAAUUAAAGUAAAGAGUUUAGGGAAAGAGAAUUGAAACACAAAAUUUAUAGUGGUUCGGCUUAGAUCAAGCCUAUAUUCACUCUCCCGCACUGACAGCCCACUGGUUGGAUUUCACUAAGAACCAAAAGAGAUUUUACAGUCUCACGUUCUUGAUUCCAUAGUGUAGAAACUCUACCACACUUUCUCAAGGUCUCACAAGUAUUUAAUCUCUCUUUUGAGUACAACUCAAGCUCAACGAUUGAAAUAGCAAAGAACUAAGAAUUUCAGACUUUGGAAUUUUUCUUUUACGCACACACUCAAAUAACUUGAGCGUCUUUCUUAUAUACUCAUUCAUGCCUUUUAAACCGUUGACACUUUCCAAAGGAGUGCUUCCAAUCUACCUGUUGGCCAGAAUCAAUUAGGGAGAUCUCGAGUUAUUUAAGGAAUGUGAUGAUCGCCCACCAAUUUUGCUCGCCCAUACAAUUAGGAUCUAGGUUUCCAUAAGUAGAACCUUCCAAGUAUACUUCGCCAAUCAACAGAUCCAAUUAUCCGAAUUGAUUUCAAUAAGAAUAACUGAUCACGAGAUGUUAUCUCCAACCGUGAGAUCUUCUUCAACCGUACGGACCAAAUCCUUAAAGAUAUACUCAUAUUUGGACAAGUCUUCUUCAUCGGAUAAAUCUUUUCUUCAUCGAUCUGGAAACUAUUAGUGAGGGUAGACUUUAAGUUUUGAAUCUGGAGGUCUUCAGACUUUGACGAUAGAGUUUGCGAGUCUUCAGACUAGAUUGAUGGAAACGUUUUGUCAACUUCAAAACAAAAAAUGAAGUUUUCUCCAACAAUCUCUCCAUUUUUUAUGGUGACAAAACUUUCCCGCAGAUUUGAACACUUUCGUCCUACAAAACAACACUUAAGCAAAACAAGAUAUCUCAUAAAAGAUAAGUAGAUUAGGAUAUGGAUAGUAACAAUUUUGUAACCACAGAAAACAUGUUAGUCUUGCAAAACAACUAUCCUUUCCAUAAUCAUCAUGGCUUAAGUUACUGCAAGUAUCAAAAGAUCAAAUUAAACAGUCCAAACCACAACCAAACAAAAUAUAAGUCCAAAAAUCCCAAAAAUCCAAACCAAAGUCAAAUCAAAGUCAAAUUUGCAUCAAACUUCUCACCCUUUUCGUCAAUAGCAAAAGGUGGAGAACAAAUAAAAAGAGUUGUUUGAAAAUAGAAUCAGAAUCAUGGCUGUUUUGGAAAGCGAACAAGCUGGAACUCUCCCAUAGAAUUCACUGUCUUCUCAAGCCUUGCAAAACUUUGCUUUAGUGACUGGAAAUCUUCACUCUGCACAAUAGACUGCACUUGAUUCUUCAUGGCGUUUAACUGAUCGUGCAAAGACACUGAAGUUGCCAUGAAAGCAUUCUUGAGAUCCUACAUCUCAUACCCCAUAGCAUAUUGCUAUUUCCUUACAUCCAAUAAGAUGUCUAGCAAUCUCAAAAAGUCUGCCGUUUGUUCUGUUGCAGCAUUAGGUCCAGCCGAGUUGAUUCUAGGAGUUUUGAGAAUGGAUGGAUCUUCAGUAGAUUGUCCAUCAUGACUAUGAGUGGAUGCUUCUGGAUAAUGAAAGGCAUACACAUUCUUUGGAUCUGCAGCGGAGUGACUCACAUCACUAGUAAAGAUAGGUGAAGAAGUACAUUUUUGUUCAACAACUCCCCCUGUUUGUUUGCUUUUAGGAGGAGUAGAAAAAUCUUCUUCUAGUGCAACUUCAACUUCAGAGUGAUGUUUAUCUGCGUCAUGUGCUCCAGUAGUUCCAGUGUUAGCCAUCUCAAAGUCGCUUGAUAAGGAUACAGCCAAAGUUGGCUCAAAAAAGUCUUUGUGAUCCUGUUCUAUCUCAUAUUCUCUUCCUUUUUCUCAUUCUUCUCUUCUUUCUUCUUCUUCUUUCUCUCCUUCUUCUUCUCUUCUUGCUUCCUCUGUCCUCCUCUGUUCUUCAUUCUCUGUCUCUUCUCUCUCUUUUUCUCCUUCUUCUGGCUCUUUUCUUGUCUCUUGAAAGCUGACAAAACUCUUCAGGUUUCUUAAGGCUGAAAGAGUCAUCUCAUCCUCAUCCUCUUCAUCUUACAAGAUGAGAACUCUCUUCCUCUUCACUGGAGCAUCUAUGGGCUCCUUGCGUUUUCUCUUGGCCACAACAGAGUCUUGUUUAGCUUUGACGGGAGAUUUUUCCUUCAUGCACUCAAUCACCUUGUUAAGCUCUUUCAAACGCAUUUUUGAAACCAUUUUGAAUCCAAUCACCAUCGGAGAAAUGUUUGUCAAACACAAGGGUGCCAGAAUGUGAAUUUUAAAGUGUCUGAAAAGGCGCAUGAUAAGAGUAGAAUAAUGAAGUUGUCCCUUAUCUUUCACCACUGUCCUGUACAUGUGAAACAGGAUGGUGUGAGGCAGAGAGAAUCUGUAGCCAGCAUUGAUUGCAAACAUCAACUUUGCUUCUGAUAGAGAGACAUCAGUCUUGGAUGUCGAUUUUGGCCGGAUGCAGUUGAUAACAAUUUUGUGCAGCAAGACAUUUGAGGCAUUCAUCCUAGAGUAGGAUAUUUUGCCUUCAGUAUCUCUGUCUAUAACCAAUGCCAGUGUAGCAUGUGCAACUGACACGCUAAUUGGUUGGAAAUUUGCUCUUUCCACCCCAAUUAGGUCAGCCAAUGUGUCCACAUCCACCAAAAACUCUGUCCCUAACUGUGAAAGAGAAACUAUUUGCAUCCAGAAAAGAUAAAUUUGAGUAAAAGUAGGUGGCGAGUUCCGAAUAGGCAAGUGUAGAUUUAGAACAGAAGUGCUCCAAUAGAAGACAUGCUAACUUCUUUCGUAGAUUGACUUUCACCGAAUCGAGAAAAUCAAAGUCCACACUUCUAGGGUUCAUCACCCCUCUUUUCAACAAUCUCGAAUAGACUUUCUUGUGCUCUUUAGAGCGAAAAAUGCUCCCUCCAUUUCCUCUAGCAUUAAUAGCCACUCCCAUCCUCGGUUGAAAAUGGGUAAACAUCCGUUCAUCAUCGUCCUGUCCUUGUGGUUGAUUUGCAGUGCCAUAGUGUGGGUCACUCGGAAAAUUUGUGAAGGUUCUUUCACCACUGUCCUGUACAUGUGAAACAGGAUGGUGUGAGGCAGAGAGAAUCUGUAGCCAGCAUUGAUUGCAAACAUCAGCUUUGCUUUUGAUCAAGAGACAUCAGUCUUGGAUGUCGAUUUUGGUCGGAUGUAGUUGAUAACAAUUUUGUGCGGCAAGACAUUUAAGGCAUUCAUCCUAGAGUAGGAUAUUUUGCCUUCAGUAUCUCUGUCUUUAACCAAUGCCAGUGUAGCAUGUGCAAUUGACAUGCUAAUUGGUUGGAAAUUUGCUCUUUCCACCCCAAUUAGGUCAGCCAAUGUGUCCACAUCCACCAAACACUCUUUGUCCUUAACUGUGAAAGAGAAACUAUUUGCAUCCAGAAAAGAUUAAUUUGAGUAAAGGUAGGCGGUGAGUUCCGAAUAGGCAAACAUAGAUUUAGAACAGAAGUGCUCCAAUAGAAGACAUGCUAACUUCUCUCACAGAUUGACUUUCACUGAAUCGAGAAAAUCAAAGUCCACACUUCUAGGAUUCAUCACCCCUCUUUUCAACAAUCUCAAAUAGACUUUCUUGUGCUCUUUAGAGCGAAAAAUGCUCCCUCCAUUUCCUCUAGCAUUAACAGCCACUCCCAUCCUCGGCUGAAAAUGGGUAAACAUCCGUUCAUCGUCGUCUUGUCCUUGUGGUUGGUUUGCAGUGCCAUAGUGUGGGUCACUCAGAAAAUUUGCGAAGGUGCUUUUAGCCGUCCCUCUCUCUACAACUCCUAACUUUCCCAUCUCUCGCAAGAAUAAAGUUUCAUUCUUGAAUCCUCUAUCUCUUAAAAAUCCGUUGAUCAAAGACAUCACUAUUCCUCCUUCCUUCAAAUUAGAAUAAAGCUUGAAAGCAAUCUUAGGAGUUGGCAUUCUUUCAGGUUCAACUUCUUCUAAAAUUUCUUCUUCUGGUUGAGUCGGUGGAGGAGACUAACGUUGCUGAGAAGGUUGUUGCUGACUUGGUCGCUGUGGUGGAGAAGAAUCUUCUUCCUCGGUUAGAUUGAAAUGCAUAGGAACCUCAGGCAUGUGUCGUGGUCCCUUGCUUGCAAUCCUCGAAGACUUUCUUGAAGACAUUGUCGCUUCAAGGGAGAAAUUCACAAACUUGCUCGAAAAAGAUGAAAACUUUUUGGACAAAUCGAGAGUGAAAGUGAAAGCAAGUGGGAGUUUUGUAUUCUAGGGUUUGAGAGUAAAAACGAAGAAGACGGAUUUCAACAGUAUAUAAAGCAAGUGAAGCAAGGUAAACAAAUCGUCAUAAAAGGAAAAUAAAAAUACCUUUUUGAAAAUGAAUAGCUGCAUUUUUGAAAAUAAAUAACUACCUUUUUCAAAAUCGAUAACUACCUUUUGAAAAAGAAUAAAUGCUACAAAUUCAAAAACUUGGAAAGAUAAUUUCAAUCAAUUAGCGAUUAAUAAGUAAUCGUAUAUUUUCAAGUCUUUAACCAUAAAUUAAGUUACUAAUACCGAAAUAACUUAUAGUCGUAACUCUUGGUCUUCUAAAUUUGAGCACCUUCAGACUUUAUCUCUAAGUCUGAGCUCCUUCAGAUUUUACUGAAUAAAAGAUGUGAUGUUUAGUCUGGUGCGAAUAGACUCAAAUAGGUUUUUCUCCAGUGGCUUUGUAAAUAUGUCGGCUAAUUGAUUCUUUGAAUCAAUAAACUGAAUCAAAACUUUUCCAUUUUGCACAUGAUCUCUAAUAAAGUAAUGUCGAAUCUCUAUGCGCUUUUCUCUUGAAAGAAGAAUUGGAUUCUUUGUAAGAGUAAUUGCACUAGUUUUGUCACAUUUGAUCUCGGUGUAUGAGUCUUCAAUUCCAAAGUCUCUCAGUUGUUGUUUUAUCCAUAAAAUUUGAGAACAGUAACGUCCAAGGGCCACAUACUUUGCUUCUGCUGUUGAAAGAGCUACAGUACUUUGCUUCCUUGAGAACCGUGAUACUAUCCUAUUUCCCAGCAAUUGACAAGUACCUGAAUUACUCUUUCUAUCAACUCUGUAACCUGCUAGAUCUGCGUCUGAAUAUCCAAGGAGAGUAAAAUCUCAUUCCUUGGGAUACCACAUACCUAACUUUGAGGUAGUUGCAACGUAUUUGAUGAUGCGUUUUGCAACACUUAGAUGAGAUUCUUUGGGAUCAGAUUGAAAUCUAGCACAAAUGCAAACACUAAAAAUGUCAGGUCUAGAAGCAGUAAGAUAAAGAAGUGAACCAAUAAUACUCAUGUAGAGCUUUUGAUCAACUUUCUUUCCUCCUUCAUCUUUGUCCAGCUUCGAAGAACUAAACAUUGGUAUCUCAGUCUUUUUGCAAUUCUGCAAUCCAAACUUUUUAACGAGUUCUUUUGCAUAUUUUUCUUGGUGGAUGAAAAUUCCUUCAUUCAAUUGUUUCACUUGUAAUCCGAGAAAGAAUGAUAGUUCACCCAUCAUGCUCAUUUCAAAUUUAUCUUGCAUGGACUUAGAAAACUUCUUGUACAAGUUUUCGUUAGGUGAUCCAAAUAUAAUAUCAUCAACAUAGAUUUGAACAAGUAGAAAGUUUUUACAUUCUCUUUUAAUAAAUAAGGUAGUAUCCACUUUUCCUUUGACAAAACCAUUUUGAAUUAAAAACUUACUUAACCUGUCGUACCAAGCUUGAGGUGCUUGCUUUAAUCCAUAUAGAGCAUUUUUCAAUUUGAAUACUGAGUCUGGUUUCUUUGGGUCUUCAAAUCCGGGAGGUUGUUCCACAUAAUCUUUUUCUUGGAUAAAUCCAUUUAGGAAUGCACUUUUUACAUCAAUUUGGGAUAAUCUGGAAUUUUUAUAAUAGGCAAAAGCAAGUAAUAAUCUAAUUGCUUCUAACCUUGCUACAGGUGCGUAGGUCUCAUCAUAGUCUAUCCAUUCUUCUUGCGUAUAUUCUUUGGCCACGAGUCUUACUUUGUUCCUAACCACUUUUCAUUUUUUCGUUCGUCUUGUUCCUAAAAACCUAUUUAGCUCAAAUAAUGGAUUUACCUUUUGGUUUAGGAAUUAAUUUCCAAACAUCAUUAAUGCUGAACUGUCUGAGCUCUUCUUGCAUAACUUCAAUCCAGCUUUCAUCAAUUAAAGCUUCUUCUAUGCUUUUUGGGUACUAUUUCAAAAUUAGUGCCACAGCGCUAGACUCUUCUUGCUUUUUAGAUUUGGUGCGAAUCCUUUCAUCAAUGUCAUCAAUGAUGAGUUCUUUGGGAUGACUACACUUGUGCUUCUAGUUACUGGUUUGUCUGACAGUUUGCUGAUCUUCUACUUCAGUUGAUUCUUCAACAUCCGUUUGUUGUUGUUCUUCAGAAGUCUGAGCCGUUUCAGGGGAGGUAGACUUUGUAAAGUCUGGAGCAGGUUCAGAUUCUUCAGAUUAAGUCCGAAUCAGUUGAUUUUGCAAAGAGUCUUGGAAUUUGACGUUCAUAGAUUCUUCCACAGAUUGAGUCUUCUUGUUGAAUACUCUGUAGGCUUUGCCCGUGAUUGAAUAUUCAAGGAAAAUUCCUUCAUCUGCCUUUCUAUAAACUUACUAGUUUUAUCAUUUGCAUUCUCCAUGGUCUGUCUGUAUUUGAAAUAGUAUAUCCUUUCUCAUUAUGAACUUUCUUAGCAAACUUUGAGAAAUGAGAAAAUGUUUUAGACUUACUUGCCAGAAAGUAAACCCAAGUGAAUCGAGAAUAAUCAUCCAUAAUUAUUAGGCAGUAUCUUUUUCCACCAAUGCUUUGCGUUUUGGUUGGUCCAAAGAGAUCCAUAUGCAGAAGCUGCAAAACACGAUUAGUAGAAACUUGAUUUAUAGGUUUAAAAGAACUUCUAACAUGUUUUCCCAAAACACAUGGUGUGCAUAAGUUAGAUUUUUGGUAUUUCAGGUUGGGUAGUCCACGAACAAGCUUCUUGGAGGAGAUCUUAGCAAUCUGCUUCAUGUUGAUAUGGCCAAGUUUUCGAUGCCAAAGAUUUGCUUCAUCUUGAAUUGAUAUUAGACAUUGAGAACUUUCUGGUUUUAUAUCCAGAAGAUAAAUAUUCCCAUGUCUUUGUCCAGUAAAAGAUUGAGAAAGAUCUUUACUAGUUCCCGAACAUAUUUCUUCUUGGAAAUUGAUUUUGAAACUAGUGUCACACAGUUGACUAAUGCUGAGUAGAUUGUAAUUUAGUCCUUCCACCAAGGAGACAUUGUUGAUUGUAAGACUUCCAAUCUUUAUAGUUUCACACCCAACAAUUUUCCUUUGCUAUUUCCACUAAAAGAGACUUUUCCACUAUUUGUUUGAAUAAGUUUUAUAAAACAACUUGAAUCUCUAGUCAUAUGUCUCGACCAGUCACUAUCCAAAUACCAUUUAACAUUUUUCUUGAUAUUGACCUGCAAUUAAAAAAGUGACUCAAGCUUUCUUUGGUACCCAUAUUUUCUUGGGUCCAGUUGUGACAUCCCGAUUUUACAAUUUUGGUUUUAAUUGAAUAAGUCAGGCAUUUCAUCUUCGCGUCUAUAGCUCUCUUCUAUGAGUUGACUACUCACAAGAUAACUAGUCUAUCAGGUGAAGCCGUUAAGGAAUCUAAACGCAAUAGACUUGAGAAUUCGACCAUGAAUUGACUACUCGACCGUAUUAAUCUGCAAGGAUCAUUACAACACUAUCAUAAUGGAACAGAGAUCAGUAAUAGGUCAAUUCAACUGAGAUAUGUGAUUAGAGUGUGGGUGAUUCCACCUGAUCGCAAUAUUCUCGUCGACCGGCACUAGACUUAUUCUUCUGUCGUUUUGGGUACCCUGUGUCCAUAAUCGAAAUCUCGAGAUUUCUACAACAACUGAGAGUCGCCAGUGUGUCGAAGAUUUAUGUCGUGCCUUGAAAAUAAUCAACCACGAGUUAAUUGCACUGAAAAUUCCUAAAAACUAUCCGGUAGAUUAGGUCGCGCUUAAAACGCACCAUAUUGAAAUUAACCGUGAUUUUGAACCUGAUUUCAGAAAUUGGAAGUUCUAUUAUGUCACAAAUCAUUUUAGGAAUGUCGACUCAUCCUCAGAAGAUUUUUCUGCAAACCGAGAUUUUCGGCGAAAAAUCAAAGUAUGGUUAUUUUGAAUCGGGAAAUUAGUAGACCCGCUUUUGAUCUCAAUUUUGAGAUACAAGUUGGUUCAAUGGACAAGGAAAAAUGUGGAGUUAAGUGAUGACACCUUGGAUGAAUUUAUAGGCUUUGAUUUGAGCUCAACUGAGUAAGAAUUGAAGGAAUUGAAGAGGAUUGAAUGGAAAUGAGGGACAAAAGCACAAAAUUCGUAUGCCAUUGGGGGAGCAACAUUUCAGCCAUGAAGAGAGGCUUCUUGAGGAAGAUUUGAGAGAGAGAAUGGCUGAGGAUGACAGCCCAAGUGGUGGGGGCAAGCUCUCAAGUGUUUGGCCAAGUGUUGGAAGGCUAGAGAAGCCAAUUGGGGUCCCCUCUCUUCAGCAGCCUUCUUCCUCCUUGAAGCAUGGCUUUCUACAUGGUUGAGGCUUAGGAAAAGCACAAGAGAACCAGAGGAAACCGAGCUCACCAGCUCCUCCACUGUCGCACGCCCGGAAGGCCAUCAUCGGCCGUUUCCCUCCCCUGUUUUCUCCUCAUUCCAGUUUCCACUUCAGCCGAACUUUCGCCGAAGAUUUGAGUAAAAAAUUAACUUCCCGGAUGAAUCAGUGAACGAGCCACCUAUCAACGUGACGAGGACAUCCAGAACGUUCCAAAGAGUCUGGCCUUGCCCUGAACGGAGCUGUCAUCCGUCCGGUACGCUGACGUGAAGUUACCAGUCACCGAUCCGUCGGUCCGUCUGUCAGUUUGCCCGGUUUCGCCAUUUCAGCAUUUUCUUCCAUUCCAACCCUUCCUCCACCCAUACCAACCACUAUUAGGUCCCCCUCGACCCCCGAGUGCCGCCGGUUGCCGGCCAAUCGCUUGCCAGAGCUCUGGCCAAGCCUGUUCAGCUCUGUCUCUCCUCCGGCAGUCCACUUUUUCAAAGUUGCAGAGGGAAUCCGAGAUUGUGAUUGUUGUUCCAGCCCCGGGACCACCUUGGAUCGCUGUGGUUGAGGCCCCGGCACGUCGCCUCCGUCGUGCACCGCCCUCAAGCUGCUGGAUAGCUGCCGGAGUCGCUGUUUCCACGCCAAACCGCCGCCGGUUCCAGCCUUUUCGGUCCAAGAUCAAAAGAGAAAAUCAGCAAGGGCUUGGAGAAUUUGAGGCCCAUUUUAGGUGUCUUCCCGGCCUCUAUUGGUGUCGCCGCUUUGAGGUUUAUCACCCGUCUUGGCGUCGUGGUCGUGGUCGCCGUGGACUCACCGGAAUGCAAAACCGAUGAGUUUACCUUCUAAUCCUUGCUUAGUAAGUUAAUGACGCUUAAGGGGUGUUUAGAUUAGUCUAAUUAGGUUUACAUGGUUAGAUUAGAUUAUUUUAAUGUAAAUUAGAUUAUUUGUAUGAUUAGUUUAAUGGAUGUUUAAUUAGGGCUAAUUGUAUGUUUAAAUUAGUGUAAUCUAGUUUAAGCCAUAAUUAAUUAUUUCGAAUUUUAUAAAUAUUAUUUUAUUAAAUUAUAUUAUUAUUAUAUAAUAUUUAAUUAUUUAAUUUUCGGAAUUAAAUUUAUUUAUUUAAUAAUUUUGAAAAUUUCGCCGAGAUGGCCGGUCGUUAGAAUUUCGCACUGAUCGCAGCAGUGCGGUCAGUUUGUGCUAAUUGUUUGUUUAAUUUGAGGAAUUGAGUGAUUGAUGAUUAUGGUUAAUUAUUCCAAAAGUGUGGAAUUGAGUGAAAUUGGAGAAGUUUUGGUAUUUAACUUGAAAAUACCCGAUGUUGGCUUUUGGCACCGUAAUUGGUUUGUAGGAUCGGUUCGAGUCAUUGGAUGUUAUUAGAUUGUAUAUCCAGUUCUAUGGUCUAAAUAUAUGUACAGCUUUGGCGAGCAAUUGGUUUAUAUAUGUAUCGGCUUGUGUGAGUACUGUAUGUCAGCUUGUGAGAGCAAUGAUUGUUUAUCAACUUGUGAGAGCAACGAUCUAUAUAUUAGCUUGUGCAAGCUAUCAUCUAUAUAUAUAUCAGCUUGUGCGAGCUACCAUCUAUAUCAGCUUGUGAGAGCAUUGCAUCCAUUUCAGUUUGUGCAAGCCGUAAUUGUAUUGAUGGAUGAAUAGAUGGUAUGGUUUAAUAGAUGGUAUGAAUUGAUAGAUGUGUGGAUCGUAUGAUAUCAAUUGGAUUGACUGAAUUGAUAGACUGAUGGGUGUGUUGGUAGUUUCAGCUUGUGCGAGCAUUGUUGAAUAUGAAUUGUAUUGACGUGCAGGAAUGGAUUGAGGUGAGGUAAGUCCUCUGUCUGAUUUGUGUGGCUAGAGCUCCCUGGGCUGUAUUUUCUUCCUAAUCGAGUCUUAGAGGGUAUGACUCACUGAGACAUUGUCUCACCCCGUUGUAGGCUUAACGUUUUCAGGUCCUUAGAUGGCGAUCGUGAAGGACUCGAAGCCAUGGACAUUUGUGGAGGUGAAGACCGAAGAAUCGGUGAACGUGUUUGACUAGUUGUGUGGCAUCCCAAAAUUCAUGGCAACCUCUAGUCACAUUUAGGUCUAUGAAUAGGAGAUGGAAGUACCAUUAAGUUAUUUUAUGGCUAUUUAAUCCAUAAUUUGCAAUAAGAUUUAUGGCCAAGCUUUUAAUGGAUAAUUAUUUGAUAGGAAAGAAAAUCCUAUAAUUGGCCAUGUGUUUUAUAAAUUGGAAUUUAUGGAUUUAUGAUUUCAAGUUUUAUGGCCAUAUGAAAUCGUAAUUUAGUAUUUAUAUAAAUGGGGAUUUAAGGUAAAUUAUUAAAAGUGAAAUGGACUUAUCUUGGGCUAUUUAAGUUUGGGCUUUAGGCCCAAGUGAGAUGGGCCUAAAGUGGGCCAUAAGCCCGGCCCAUGAAGCCCAUUGGGCCGUCGGUGCAUGAAGGGGGAGGAGGAGUAGCCGCAUGGCCUCCAAGUGUCUUCGGCAAAGGAGACACUUGUCUCCUUCUUAGGGACAAGUGUCCCCCAUGCAAAGAGGGGGUGCAUGCAAUAUAAAUACAACUAAAAAGGAAGAGAGAGAGAGAGAGUGGCUGAUGGUUGAGGGUUGUCGUCCAAGAGAGGUGCCGAGAGAGAGGAGAGAAAGAGAGAAAGAGAGGAAGAGAGGAAGAGAAAAAGGAAGGAGCUCACCCGUUGCCGCCCGCACGCCGUCCGUCCGUCCGCCGUGUUCGCCGCCGUUCGUGUGGUCUAGAGGCAAGUUGGAGUCCUCUAGCUGCUCUUGCAUGUGUGUGUGUUAUAUGUAUGUCGAGUUUUGGGUGAUUAGGAGAGGAAAACCGAAUAUGGAUGGCUUGUUCUUGAGUGGUGUUGCUGUUUUCGCUCGAACAGUUUGAGUCAGAAUGUUGUGUGAGCUUGCAUGCAUGUUUGGAGUCCGAUUUUGACCUUGAUUUCUUCAUGAAAGUUUUAGCUAACAUCUCAAAAUACAACAUACUAAAAUUUUGUGGAAAAUUAUGGAUAUUUGAGGGGUCAAAAUCUCAUCUUACGGAGAUGUCAGAUCUGCAAUGUUUUCGCAUGAAUCCGCUCGAGUCAGAAUGUUGUGUGAGAUUUCAUGCAUGUUUGAAGUCAUAUUUUGGCUUAUAUUUCUUCAUAAAAGUUGUAGCUAACAUAUUAAAAUAAAACAUACUAAAAUUUGGUGGAAAAUGAUGGAGAUUUGAGGGGUCAAACUCUCAUCUUACGGAGAUGUCAGAUCUGGAAUAUUUUCGCAUGAAUCCGCUCGCGUCAGAAUGUUGUGUGAGCUUGCAUGCAUGUUUGGAGCCCGAUUUUAGCUUCUAUUUCUUCAUGAAAGUUGUAGCUAACAUAUUAAAAUAAAACAUAAUAAAAUUUGGUGGAAAAUUAUGGAGAUUUAAGGGGUUACACUCUCAUUCUACGGAGACCUCAGAUCUGGAACAGUUUCACUGACAUCUUGUUGGAUUUGUGGUUGCUUAUUGAUUUGUGCUAAGAAUAUCUCUUCUAUUUCUUCAUGAAAGUUGUAGGGGACAUCGUAAACUACAACAUAAUCAAAUUUGAAGCAAAAUGAACAAGUAUAACCUUGUAAAUCGACUAGAUCUUGAAGACGGUAAUUCUGGAGAUGUAUUACAGGACACCCGAGACUUCAUGGACCUAAAUGAUGACUAUACUCUGGUUAUUUGACUUGGAUCUCUUCAUAAAACUUGUAGAGAACAUCUUUAUGUAGAACAUAUCUAAAUUUCAGAGGAAACGAAGAAGAAAAGGUAGGUGAAAACUCAGUAUUUCGGAGAAGCAUGUACUGGACGAUUCGGUGUUGGAUCCAGAAGCUUCGUGUGACUGUAGAAAAUAAUCUAAAAAGAAUCUGACUUGGAAGUCCGCAUAAAAGAUGUACGUAAAUGUUUUGGCUAUAACUUGGGAAAAUUUCGUAAUUUUUGGAGGUCGUAUGGAUAUUUUAAUGGAAUAUCUUCGGAGACUGUGCAUUCUGGUUUCAUCCGAAAAUUUCAUGCUAUUUUGUGUGAAUUAUGAAUUUGUGUGGAUUUCUCAUUGGCCGUGUAUUUUGCAUGAAAUCAUUAUCCUAUUGUAUUAUUUGCCUUAAUUUUAUGAUUUUUGAGAUUAUAUAAAUAAUUAAAUUUAAUAUUUUUGAAAAUGGCACAAGCUGGAAUUUAAGUAAAUGUAAAAAGGGCAUGAUAAAUGGAUUAUUUUAAUUGGCAUAAAUUCCAUGAAUUUUAUUUUAUAAAUAAUCGCACCAUGUAGUAUGUGUGAUGAGGUCUUGAUGUAUGCGUUGAGAUGCAUGUGUGAAUUCAAUGUUGAACAUGAUUUUUGGUUGCUAUUGCAUCAUAUGCCAUACUAAAUUAAGAUCGAAAUUGGUGAACAUGGAUAAUGAAAAAUGAGGAGAUUGUUGUGGCGGAUGAUAAUGCCCCGGGAGUGUCAGGAUGCCCGGUGGCCUAGUGGCGUAAUUUCGGAGGGCAGGGGAAACCAUUUUCAUGGCGAGUCCCGGAGAUUCCCCGAGAGUGUCGGGAUGCCCGGUGGUAUACGAUACGUAAUUCCAGGGGAGGCCUGGUGGUAUGUCGGUACAUAAUUCCGGAAGCCCUGGAGGUUUGUGCCCAGGGGGAUGCCUUGCGAUGCCAGUAGGGGUGUGGGAUGCCCGGCCAGGGAGUGUAAAUGCCGGAAGCCCUGUCGGAGGUCUUUGCUCGAGGGGAAUGCCUCGCGAUGCCAGUUGGGAUGCGAGAUGCCCAGAAUGUGGGGGGCCGGAUGCCCGGUGGCCUGGAAUGGCUGAAUGCCGGAGGUUUUUCUCGCAUGGGAUGCGAGUGUAAAAUAUGAGAUGAAAUUGAUGAUCCGAGGAAGGGUGAUAUGGUGAUCAAAUUGAAAGCUAAAAGUGGAAAUUGAACCAUGCAUGAUAUGAUAUGACACGAUGAUGAUAACCCAUGGCAUGAUGAUAUGCAUGAUGAUGAUGAUAUAUGACAUGAUAUGAUGAUGAUAUAUGAUAUGGCAUGAUGAUAUGCUUGAUGAUGAUGAUAUAUGACAUGAUAUGAUGAUGAUAUAUGAUAUGACAUGAUGAUGUCAUGAAGAUGAUGACAUGUGUGAUAUGAUGAUGUCAUGAUGAUGAUGACAUGUGUGAUAUGAUGAUGUCAUGAUGAUGAUGACAUGUGUAUGGUAUGAUGGUGUCAUGUAUAUGAUGAUGAUAACAUGUGUGUGAUAUAAUAAUGUCAUGAUUGCGAUGAUAUGAGAAUGACAUCAUGAUACACAUGUAUGUGUUAUGAUUGUGGUGAUGAUGCAUGAUGAUAUACGCAUGGCUUCAAGGUAAGUAAUGCCUGCAAUGCAUGUAUGACUUGUAUGAUGCAUUGAGUGGUUAUUGGAUUCCUUUACCUGCUGAGUGGUUGUACUCACCCCUUUUGGGGACCAACAUUUCAGAUUAGUAGAUGGUUUGAGCGGUUGGAUAUGACCGCGAGGAGAUGGAUAGCAAAGGAGGGAACCUUUGGACACCGACACUGGUUGAUGGACCUUAAGUAUUCAACUGUUGGAGAAGAUGUCGGUCAUCCUUUGAAGUGUAGCCGAGUAUAGAAAACUACGGCAUUUUGAUGUACCGACUAAAGAUGUCCAUCUGCUCUAUGUAAAUAAAUGUGUUCAGUUUUAACUUAUAUAAGAUAUUUAGUAGGUGUGCAUCGUUUUCUGUAUAUAGGGAAGGGAGUUAAUGGAUGUGCUUCUACUAUAUGAACUGCGCAAGGGACCGAUAAAAAAAAAAAAAUGUAAACCCCAAGGUUGUAUGGACCCGCUGCAAUUGAAAUGGUAUCAGAGUGACAUGUUAGUAAGGAAAGUGAAAGAUAAGCGAACUGUGGCGACCCUAAUCGGAUCGGGGGCCGUCGAGGGGUGCCACAAGUUGGUCAUAGGAUAGUUCCCUUUUUGUUUAGCCGAUUUAUUUUGUAGACAAUCCAGUGUUGUAUAUAAACCUAUGUGUUUAUAAGAAAGCUUGUUUGGUUGUGAUUGAUUGUCUGUUUUUCUAUCCCAAGUUAAAUGUUGUUAGGGGAUUGGAUUUGUUUCGCUUCCGCAUGCGUAAUAAAAUGAAUGGGUCGGCGACGUGUCCUAGGAAGUCGCACAUUUGUAUCGACCAGAGUGGAAUGUUCGCACGCUCGGGGGAUCGAGGUGUGACACCAGUGGAGUUAAUGCAAUAUACAGUCUUUGCCCAUUCAUUCUUAACAUGUCUCCAAACCAUAGGACAUUCUUUCUCAAAGUGUUCUGAGCUAUUGCACUUUGAACAUUUGAGAGCACUUUGGCCAACAGCUUUCGCAAAGACUUUUUGAAAAUGAUUUAUAUAAAAAGUUUUUAUAGGUCUUUGUUUGAUUCUUUCCUUUACUUUUGGAAAAUCAAUUAGAGGGACAGUUUUUGAAAUCAUUCCCAAGCUUGAUUUGUUGAAAUAAGGUCUUUGUACUGAAAGAAUUUUUUUCAACUUUUCAGAUCCUAUUGAAAACUUUUUUGAGAUAUUUGAAAUGUCCUCUUUCAAAAUUGUAUUUUCUUUUGAAAGAGAGUCUACAUUUUCUUUUAAAACAACAAAAUUUUUGUCUAAAUUUUCAAACUUUUCUUUUCAAGAAUUUUCCUAUUGCUUAAGUGUAGAAUUCUCCCUUUUUAGCUCGGAAAUUCUUUUAAGAGAGGUUUUGAGACUAAGACAAAGUUCAUCAAUAUAUUUCGAGACUUUAGCAGGAAUAUUUAAUUACUAACCUCGAUUUCACUGUUUGAGUUUGAAUCUUUUCCAAAAUCUGAGUCUGAUUCAUAAUUCGCCCUAAGACAUAUGUUGGCAUAUUCUUCAUUACUUUCCUCACAUUCUGUAUCACUCCAUGUUUAUGCUUUGAGAGCUUUCUUGAGCUUUUCAGUUCUUGCUUUAUUUUUCUUCAACAGAGGACAGUUGGGUCUGAUGUGUCAUUUUUUCUUGCAUUCAAAACAGACCACAUUUUUGUUGAUCUCGUCAUCCUCAUUUGAUGUGUUUUGGAAUUUUUGAGAACCAUGCUUCUUCCACUUAAAUCUUCUUCCCUUUCUGUUCAGUUUCCUGAACUUCCUUAUCAUAAGUGCUAGCUCUUCGUCAUCCAUGUUAUCUUCAGAAUAUGUAUCAUUAGAAUCAUCGUGAGAUUUUAAAGCAAUUGACUUCUUACCUUUGGGAUCUUCUUCCUCAUUGAGCUGUUCCACUUCGUAUGACUGAAGUGUGUGCACAAGCUCAUCAACUGUAAGAGGCAUGAUCCUUUGGGUUUCCCUUAUUGAAGUCUUCACGUGAUUCCAAUAUUUGGAUAAUCCACGCAGCAGUUUAUUGACCUUCAGUGGUCCUGAGAUUGGCUGUCCUUGAUAAGAUAGACCGUUUACAAUUUCUAUAAAAUGACUAAACAUGUCAGUAAUUGAUUCUCCUAGUUUCAUCUUAAAUGCUUCAUACUGUCCGAGUAAAAUAUUGAUCUUUGUUUCUUUAACUCGAUUAGUUCCUUCAUAGGUAACGUGCAACCCAUCCCAGACUUCUUUUGCUAUUUCACAAGAUUGAAAUUUUGUUAUAUUUAGUAGGAGAUAAAGCAUAGUAUAAAGAGUAGAUUGCUUAAGCAUCAAGUGCUUGUCUCUUGGUUAUUUCUUCUUGUGCCAUAUCAUCAGCAUCUACAACUUUUUUUCCUCUUUUUGAGACUGAUGCAGCUUUGGGAAUGAUUCCCUUUCCUACCACAUCCCAUUCCAAGGGAUCUUUCGAUCUUAAGAAUGCCUUCAUCUUAUUUUUCCAAAAAUUGUAUUCAUUUCCAUCAAAAUAAGGCGGCCUGGUGUUGCUUUGGCCUUCAAUCAAACUUGGAGCCAAAAUACUAGCCAUAGAUCUUUAGCUCAGAAAUAAAACACUUUAAUAAAACGAGCACACAGGCUCUGAUACCAAUUGAUAAGGCUAGUAAGAACACCUAGAGGGGGUGAAUAGGUGUUAAAGAAGUUUUGGCAAGACUUAACAAAUUAAUUUGUCUUCUGAAGAUGUAAAAGACUAUAGACAGUUAUAUAAAGCUACGAAUUAAAGUAAAGAGUUUAGGGAAAGAGAAUUGAAACACAAAGUUUAUAGUGGUUCUGCUUAGACCAAGCCUACGUCCACUCUCCCGUUCUGACAGCCCACUGGCUGGAUUUCACUAAGAACUAAUAGAGAUUUUACAGUCUCACGUCCUUGAUUCUACAGUGUAAAAACUAUACCACACUUCCUCAAGGUCUCACAAGUAUUUAAUCUCUCUUUUGAGUAUAACUUAAGCUCAACGAUUAAAAUAGCAAAGAACUAAGAGCUUCAAACUUUCGAAUUUUUCUUUCACGCACACACUCGAAUAACUUGAGCAUCUUCCUUAUAUAUUCCUCCAUGCCUUUUAAACCGUUGACACCUUCCAAAGGAGUUCUUCCAAUCUAUCCAUUGAACAUAAUCAAAUAGGGAGAUCUCAAGUUAUUUAAGGAAUGUGAUGAUAGCUUACCAAUCCUGCUUGCCCAUACAAUCAAGAUCUAGGUUUUCAUAAGUAGAACAUUCCAAGUAUACUUCGCCAAUUAACAGAUCCAAUUAUCCGAAUUGAUUUCAAUAAGAAUAACUGAUCACGAGAUGCUAUAUCCAGUUGUGAGAUCUUCUUCAACCGUACGAACCAAAUCCUUAAAGAUAUACUCACAUUUGGACAAGUCUUCUUCGUCGGUUUGGAAACUAUCAGUGAGGGUAGACUUUAAGUCUUAAGUUUGGAGGUCUUCAGACUUUGACGAUAGAGUCUGCGAGUCUUCAGAUUAGACUGAUGGAAACGUUUUGUCAACUUCAAAAUAAAAUAAAAAAGAAGUUUUCUCCAACAACCGCAACCUCCCUCUCCUAUUUUCUCUCUCAGUUUGGUUCCCCUACGAAGCCCGGAGGUCGUUCACCCACCUUACCACCACAGUACCUCCUUCGUGAUGCCAUCUAGCCCUUCAUCGAGAGUUGUAGAGGUGUGAUCAACCAUCGUUGACGCCUGUCUAGCCUUGUCGUUCCUCCCUCAUAGCUUGUUGAGCUUGGAUUUGGGUGUGAGUGGCUUUCUAGCCUUGAUUAGGGUUGUUAUUGUACUUAGGACUUAGUUUAUGACUAGAUUAAGGUUGAAUGAUACUUAAAUGAUGUGAUAAGUGGGUUUAAUCGAUAGGUUAUCAUGGACUUCCGAUAAGUUAUCAUGAGAGGUUAUGGUUGGUUUCCGAUAGGUUAUCAUAAGUUAUUGAUAUGUUACCAUGUUUUAAUCGAUAAGUUAUCAUGAUAGGUUAUCAUGUUUAUUGAUAGGUUAUCGUGAUAGGAUAUCGUGUUUACUGAUAGAUUAUCGCAAUAGGCUAUCAUAUUUUCCAAUAAGUUAUCACGANNNNNNNNNNNNNNNNNNNNNNNNNNNNNNNNNNNNNNNNNNNNNNNNNNNNNNNNNNNNNNNNNNNNNNNNNNNNNNNNNNNNNNNNNNNNNNNNNNNNNNNNNNNNNNNNNNNNNNNNNNNNNNNNNNNNNNNNNNNNNNNNNNNNNNNNNNNNNNNNNNNNNNNNNNNNNNNNNNNNNNNNNNNNNNNNNNNNNNNNNNNNNNNNNNNNNNNNNNNNNNNNNNNNNNNNNNNNNNNNNNNNNNNNNNNNNNNNNNNNNNNNNNNNNNNNNNNNNNNNNNNNNNNNNNNNNNNNNNNNNNNNNNNNNNNNNNNNNNNNNNNNNNNNNNNNNNNNNNNNNNNNNNNNNNNNNNNNNNNNNNNNNNNNNNNNNNNNNNNNNNNNNNNNNNNNNNNNNNNNNNNNNNNNNNNNNNNNNNNNNNNNNNNNNNNNNNNNNNNNNNNNNNNNNNNNNNNNNNNNNNNNNNNNNNNNNNNNNNNNNNNNNNNNNNNNNNNNNNNNNNNNNNNNNNNNNNNNNNNNNNNNNNNNNNNNNNNNNNNNNNNNNNNNNNNNNNNNNNNNNNNNNNNNNNNNNNNNNNNNNNNNNNNNNNNNNNNNNNNNNNNNNNNNNNNNNNNNNNNNNNNNNNNNNNNNNNNNNNNNNNNNNNNNNNNNNNNNNNNNNNNNNNNNNNNNNNNNNNNNNNNNNNNNNNNNNNNNNNNNNNNNNNNNNNNNNNNNNNNNNNNNNNNNNNNNNNNNNNNNNNNNNNNNNNNNNNNNNNNNNNNNNNNNNNNNNNNNNNNNNNNNNNNNNNNNNNNNNNNNNNNNNNNNNNNNNNNNNNNNNNNNNNNNNNNNNNNNNNNNNNNNNNNNNNNNNNNNNNNNNNNNNNNNNNNNNNNNNNNNNNNNNNNNNNNNNNNNNNNNNNNNNNNNNNNNNNNNNNNNNNNNNNNNNNNNNNNNNNNNNNNNNNNNNNNNNNNNNNNNNNNNNNNNNNNNNNNNNNNNNNNNNNNNNNNNNNNNNNNNNNNNNNNNNNNNNNNNNNNNNNNNNNNNNNNNNNNNNNNNNNNNNNNNNNNNNNNNNNNNNNNNNNNNNNNNNNNNNNNNNNNNNNNNNNNNNNNNNNNNNNNNNNNNNNNNNNNNNNNNNNNNNNNNNNNNNNNNNNNNNNNNNNNNNNNNNNNNNNNNNNNNNNNNNNNNNNNNNNNNNNNNNNNNNNNNNNNNNNNNNNNNNNNNNNNNNNNNNNNNNNNNNNNNNNNNNNNNNNNNNNNNNNNNNNNNNNNNNNNNNNNNNNNNNNNNNNNNNNNNNNNNNNNNNNNNNNNNNNNNNCAUGUUAUAUUAAUGGAAUAAGUAUGUUAUAUUAAUGAAAUAAGUUGUCAAAUAGGUAAUUGCAAUAAUUUAGACUUUAGGCAAUGACUUAACUAAUCCUUAAUAAGUAUUCUAUGCUUGAGUCCCUAUGAUAAGAUGCAUCGUUAGUUGCUUAAUUUGAUUGUAGUGCAUAUGUAUAGAAUGGGAAUUGAUAAGUGUUCAUGGUACUCGAGCAUUGAAAUCUUUUGUUAUGCAUGUAAAGUUAUGAGAAAAGAUAAAACGUGGGUAUGUUUAAUUGGUACGUUGGUGUGAAACGAUAAGGUGAUAUGAAGUGUAAGCAUGACAUGACUGCAUGUGACAUACAUUAUUAUAUAUCCUAUGAGCAUCACACUCUUGCAUUGAUUAAUAUGGAAGAUGAGAAAUGAGCUUGAGUGAUGGUAUGCUUAUGUAAUCACCUAAAUACCUUGAUGCAUUUACGUUGGGUGAUAGAUUCGUUCUAAUGUGUUUACGCGGGAUGAUACCCAAUUUAGUUCGGAUGCCCCCAAGUUAACAGGAUGCGGUUAACAAAUGGAUUUCGGAACAAAGCCAUCUUGAUGCAUUUAUACAAGACAUUGCCAUGUUCGAUGGGGCGAGACGAUGCCCAAUUAUGUCGGAAGAUUACCGACCUUCAGUUUACCCAUGGCUUUGAGCAAUCAUAAUAAUCUGAAUAUAUAUGUGUGUGAAAUGUGCAUGAGAUUGAUAUAUGAUUAUGUCUAGAUUAUUGCAUGGCAUGGGUGCAUGAUUAUAAUAUAUUGCACGUUCUUAUGUUUGACUCCCGGGUAUGGAAAUUAUAGUAAUUGCUUAUGUGCUUAUGUUAUGAUGGCUUGAGAAGAUGAGAUAACCGUUCCUGUUUAUGAUUUAGGCAAAGCAAGAGUUACUUUGCUAUUAAUCUAUCAUCGAUAGAUAACUUGUACAUUUAGGCAGUUUUCGAGGUGAACAACCUCCCUACUCGAGGUCUAGAAAGUUCACUCAUUGAGUUUUAUUUCAUUGUUGUUUGUUAAAUGUUUACUGGCCCCUAAGAAUGUUUGAGCCCUUCCGUCAUAUCAGGUUUGAGCUCCCAAUCGAGCAUAGCCAAGAAGUGACUGAUUAUCUGAUUAAGCAAACUGAUGCACAUUAUAUGCGCUACGUCAUGACUAUUUAGGUCAAUGAGAGCUCCCUAACUUGGUGGCUCACCACUUUACGGCAUGGCAUUUUUGGAUAGAGGACAAUGUCCACAGGCUCAUCCAAGGUUUCGAUGGAACCUUGGUUGCAGGAAGAUCAAGGGGUAUUAGUUGGGAUGCUAUGGAUGUGGAUGUACUCGAUAGGGCUGUGUCCAAUCUAGAGAUCGACCCCAAUGUGAUCGCCCCACUAGAGCCUUGGUAUAUGGAGCCCUUAGCAAGUUAAGUGGUAAUGGGGUUAGUAUCACUUUUUGGAAACGCUCUCAUAGUACUAGAGGUGUUAGGCUUACCCUGAGACCCUUUUUGGAGAAGGUCAUGGCCACGCUUUUGGACUGAUUCGAUGUGGUGAAGUGAGUUAUGUUUGAGCAUGUGUGUUUAAGCUAUGUGUAUAUGGUUUGUAUGAUGCGAUGACUAUAUGAUGCAUAUGUAUAUAUAUAAGUGUGGUUUGAACUGUCCCUAUUUGUUGGUUGGGUGAUCUGCUAAUGCUUCCACUUGUGUAUAUAGUCAAUAAUACGAAUGUGGCGCCCCCUGACGGCCCCCGAUCCGUUAGGGUCACCACAACUUUUUCCUUAUCCUGGAUGUCCUUUAUUCUGAUGCCAUUGGAUUUUAAUGAAUCCGCAAGUUGGGGGGUCAAUCACAUUUUUCCAUUGGUCCCUACGCAAUUUUACUACGGAAGCAGAUCCAUCAACCCAUUUCCUAAACUUUGAAAUGAUGCACACUAGAUAUAUACAUAUCAACCAGGCACUUUUAUUUUCAUAUAUAUUUUGUUAGACGAUGUUUAUCGACACACAAAAGCCAAAGUUUUCUAUAUUGUCUAUAUCCAAAAAUUUACCGACUUUUACGUUAGCUAUUUACAACGUCAUCUAUCUUCAAGUGCCAGUGUCCAAAAAUUCACUAUUGUCCUCUUGUCCCCUGUUACUCUACCCCACUCAUGUGACAUCCUGGAUUUUUACUUCUGCUUUCAAUUAAAUUAAUCGAGCCUUUCAUAAACGUGCCUAUAGUGUUAUUCUCAGAGCUGAUCACUCCGAGAUAACUAGACGAUCUAGGCAAUCCAUUAAGGAAUUUUAAUUCAAUAGACUUGAGGAUUCGAUUAGGAAUCGACUACUCGACCAUGCUCAUUUGCAGAGAUCAUUAUGGCACAAUUAAAAAUAGCUUAGAGAUCAGGGAUAAGUCGGUUUGACUGAGAUGUGUAACUAAACGUGCGUGAUUCCACUAAAUUGUGAAAUUCUCAUCGAUCGGCACUAGACUGAUUUUUCUAUCGUUUUGGUACCCUGUAUCUGUAUUUGAAACCUCAAGAUUUUCAUAACAACCGAGAGUCGCCAAUGUGUCGAAUAGGUUCAUUGUGCCUCGAAGAAAAUUGACCACGGGUUAUUUGCACUAAAAUUUUUUGAAAGCUACUGGGUCGCCUAGGUCACGCUAAAAUCGCGCCAGAUUGAAAUUAACAGUGAAUUUGAAUUUGAUUUCAAAAAUUGAAAGUUCUUUCAUGUCACAAGUUAUUUUAGGAACGUUGACUUGCCUUUCGAAGAUUUUUCUGCAAACCAAGACUUUUUGGGAAAAAGUCGAGAUAUGACCAUUUUUGUCCAAAAAAUCAGAGGACCGUUUUUUAUCGCGAAAUUGGGAUACAAGUAGGUUCAAUUGGUGAUGAAAAAUACCAUUUUGAUCAAGAACUUGAUGUUGGAAUUUUUAGAAGCCAAAUUAAAUUGAUUCAAGAAGCAUUUGAAGUCCAAUUUAAGGGAAAGCAAUGCAAAAUUCAUAGCCCCCUCCCUUGCCCAUAACUUUUGGACCUCUUCAAGGCUUUUAGAAGAGGUGUGACUGCUGGGAAUUUGGCUGUGGAAGACAACUUGGUGGUGGGACACACCAAGGGGACCAAAGAGAUGAGAUAAAGACCAAGUGGGCCCCCUUGUUGCUACAGGUCUCCUUCCUCUCCCUCAACCCGUCAAUCUCCAUUGCAGUGUGGGAGAGAGAGCUUCACAAGCCCAGAAAAACUAAACCAACUGUCCCUCUUGCCUGUCGAAGCUGUCCGACUACCCGGAGCCCCACCGUGACGUCGUCUCGCCUUGCUCGCCAAUUGCACUAGACCUGCGCCACCUAGCCCGCCGUUCUGCUUCCGCCGUGACCGAAGGACGCCCCAAGAGCUACUCGAGCUAGUCUCACCAUCGCCGAAGCUCCCUCCACCACCACAGGCCACCGCCCUUUCCCGCCUAGGUUGCUGUAGCCUUCCCUCACCACUUUCGAGCAAACCACAGCCACUGGCCAGUCGUUUAACCACCAAACAGAACCGAAGCUUGUGGGUCUCGCAGCCGCUAUUCAGCCCAUUUUCAAGCCGUUCUCGACCCCGCUUGGCAAGCCUACUUUAGAGUAUAUUGUCCCUCGCCAUGUCCCCAUCGUUUUGAUCCGAGCAGAUCGCUUAACAAGUGAGUUUAACUCAUUAAUCCCUGCUUAGUAAGUUAAUGCUGCUUAAGGGUUGAUUACUUUAGACUAAGUAUGGAUUAGGUGGUUAGUUAGAUUAGAUUAGUGAUUUAAUUAGCCGAUAUUGCAUAUUAGGUGGAUAGUUUAGUGUAAUUAGAGUCUAGACAACCUCUAGUAUUUAUCUAGAGUGGUAUGGAAAUUUUCCGGGCCCGUCUCGGCUUUUAUUUAGGCUUUUCCGGCCUAAGUCGCAUUUAUUGGCAUUUAAUAAUUAUUUUCUGUAAUUAUUUAUCUAUUUAUUUAUUUUCCAAAAAUUAGACCGGGAUAGCGAGUGACCGGAAUUUCGUGCUAAUUGUAGUGGUGUGAUAUGUUUAUUUAAUUGACUGUUAUUUUGUGCAAUUGAGUGUGAUUUGUAAUUUUGCUGUAUUUAUCCCAAAAAUUAUUUAUUUCAGUAAUUAAUUAGAAAAUUAUCGAGCGUUGGUUUACAGUGCCAAAAAUGUUUUUAUCGAUUAUAUAAAUGGUGAAAGUUUUUAAAGUAAAGAUAUUAUAUUUUUAACCUAGUUCCACUAGGAGAUCGCCCAAUCUGGAUUAGGCUGUGCCGUGAAUGGUCGUGGUUAUUAAUUGGAGGAGUACUUGAUGUGAUUGGUUUUUAUAGCUAUUAUUGAUUGGCUUGACCGAUAGAAGGUCCAGAUGACGUGGAAUUGACUAGUUCGAUCGAUUGAUGAUUCGAUCGGCUUGAUGAUUUGAUUGAGUGAAAUGAUCUGGUGAAUAUAUAUAAAUUGUAUUGACUUGCAAGACAGAUCUGAGGCAAAGGUAAGUCCUCUAUCUCGUGAUUGUGCAUAGGCAACCUUUGUGGGCGUAUUUUCUUCCUAGUCAGGGUUUAGGGGGUUGAAUUUGCUAAGACGUCGUCUCAUAACAUUUUUUAGUCCCUAGAUAACAGUCAUGGAGGACCGGAAGCCUUGGAGUUUGGAAGGUGGAGACUGAAGAAUCGGCGAACGGGUCUGACUAGUGAGUGUUAGGACAGUUCCCUUUUUGUUAAGCCGAUAUUUUUGUAAACAGCCUGUUUUUGUAAAUAAACCUGUUUGUCUAUAAAAGGCUUGUUUUGGUUGUGAAUUGUGGUCCUACUUUUCUAUCCCAUCUUGUUGUUGUCUGAGGAUUGUAUAUCUGCUUCCACAUGCGAAUAUUAAAAUGAAUGGGUCGGCAAUGCGUCAUGGGACGUCAUUACUUAAUCCACUAGAGUGGGAUAGGCACAUGCUCAGAGGAUCGGGGCGUGACAACAUGAGCCUCCAUCAUCGUCCUCUGGUAGCGGUGGCAACGGCCCCAUGGUGUGUCUAUCCCUCCGGACAUAUAGGACCACAAACUCCUGAUACAUGGGACCCAAAGGGAGGCCGGUGUCAACUGUCAGUAUCACCCGUACCCAACGAGUCCUAGCAGAUCAGGGUCAGGAUGCUCCGAUAGUUCCCAUUGCAGAUCGAUGGGAAUGCCAUAGAAGGUACUGGAAGACACAGGAACAAUGGCAUCUUUAUCACUUUAUAAUAUGUUAGCCCCACGAGGGGUGAGUAUGAUUACCCAGCAGUUAAUGUUCUACUAAACUAUAUUACGUAAAACUAUUAUCAUCUACUUCCAUGCAAUCCAAAAUAGAGCACACGGGCAAAGUAAUGAGUGUGCAUAAGUUCAAAAGAAUCUUAAACGGCACAGUACAAUAAAACAUGUAGAUGUUUGUCGCGACCUAAAAUUCAGGUACACCACCUAAAACUAGGUUAAUGGACUACUAAGUCUUUAAAUUUAGCUCAGGUUGUCCCAAACCCAUAGCAAUUCGCGACUUAAGGUUCAAAUAUUUAACAUACAAAUGAUUAUUAUCUAGGAGUCACCACUAAUCAGUUUUCGGUAGGUCGAUUAGACACCUAAGUAAAAUAAUGAGAGGAUUAUCUUACUCCUACGAACUAGAGACUAUGGGUACGGGGGCUUUGUUGCACUAGAUUUCUCUAAUGCCAUUUCGGUACCAUUUCUUUUUAAUUUCAAAAAUGUUUUUGUAGGCAGUUUGGAUUUAUUUUAACCUAAAUUACUAUCACGCAAUAAGGUGAUCACAUAGAUGCUUAGUCACAAUUAAAAGACUUCCAUUAAAAGAAAUGAAAACACAAACUUUUUUUUUGGGUUUUCUUUUAUCUUGAAAGACGUGCAUUUUAACUACAUAACCUGAUUUUACCAAAAUUAUCCUAUUAUGCAAAUUAAUUAACAUGCACCUAAUAUUUUUGUAUUUUCUAUUGAAAUUUGGAGUUAAUGAAAACCCUAAUUAAACUAUCUAAAUAAAUAAUUUUCUAAUUUAUUUUAGGGAUUAAUUUGACUUAAACCCUAUCCUAUCUUAGAAAAGUAUUUUUUUAAAAAGAAAUUAUUAAAAUGUGCAAACAUUAUUUAAAAAGUUUGUCUAUAAAAAAAUUAAUUUAUUACAAAAAUUAUCUAUCUAAAAAAUGCAAUCCUAAUUUACUAAACCUACAUGCUCUAAUGCAAGAUUUUGAUUUUUUUGAUUUUUAUAUUUUUUAGUGUUUUUCCAAAACAAGUAAUUAUCAAAUAAACCUUACAUCUACACAAUCAAGAUAUUCAACAAAUAAAGAAUUAAAAUAAUCGAAAAAAUAAUUUGUUGUCUCACAGGUUAAAUUAAUGAUUACUCUAACCCCGAAUAUCACGGCACAUAAAAAGGUUCAAAAUAAUUAAAAAUCUGAUCCGAAGUCUCACGGAUCAAAUUAAUAAUUAUAAUGAUUUAACAAUUGAAAUACUAUCAAAAAUACCCAAAAAUUAAUAUAAUUAAAAAAAUGAUCCGAUGUCUUACAAAUAAAAUUAAUAAUUAUGAUAAUUUUGGUAAAACCCCACGAAUAACGCCUAUAAUACUUAUAAAUAAAAAGUAAUAUCCAAUGUUACAAUUUAAAUAACUAAACUACAAAAUAAAUAAAAUAAAAUAAAAUAAAUGAAAAUAAAUAAAUAAAAACUACCUAAAAGGGGACUUCACGGGCUGCACGACGGAAGAAGGAGUGGCGAAGGACGGAUCGCUACAGUGGCGCAGUCGUGGGCGGAGGAGCACGGUCGUCGGAAUGAAGGCUAGUGGGCAACGAUGGUGUCGGGGCUCGGAGAGCAGUGGUGGCAGGCGAACAACGACAGCAACGCGUGGUCACGGGUCGUCAGGUGGAGGCCAACGAUGGACAGAGACGCUCAGGUGUGGGUUGUUAGAGCAGGGGCGUCGCGGCGUUUGGCUCUGGUGGUGUUGCUGGGCGUCAACGCUGGGUCGAGGUCCGGCUCAGGUGGAGGCAAAGCUGCUGCGGAUCGCGUCAAACGGAGUCGGCAAUUGGCUGCUACAGCGUCGCGGAUGGGGCUCUUGUGGUAUAGCAACGUCGGUGGUGCGGGUUCGCUGGAAGGAGAGAGGCAGGGGCGUCGGGCACCAGGUGCAGCAGCAGUGUUGGUGCGGUGGUCGCUGGGUCGUCGCAGGUCGCCGAUACGAAGCAUCAAAGCGAGCUCGCGGGUGCAAAGGUGCAGCGGCGUCGAUUGUUGUAGAGGCAGAGAUGGACAGGAAAAAUGCAGAGCAGGUGCAAAGGCGAGGGGAGUGUGUUGCUGGAGUAGUGGACGGAGACCAGCAAGUGCUAGGCUGAGGCGAGCGUCGGCGGGAGGGGCGAGUGACGGUGCCGUGCUACGUCCGAUGCAGGAGUGAUCCGCAGAUCGCUGGUUAAGCGGUAUUGGACAUCGAAGAGGGUGCUACACGAAGGAGAAGAACAAUGCACUGUUUUGUUUUUGUUUUUGUUUUUCUUUUUCCUUUCCCUCUCUCACCUCUCAUGUCACUUCCCUCUCUCUUUUCUCUGUUCUACAGCUGACUUUUCUCUUUUCUUGUCAGAGAAAGAAAAGAGAAGAGGCUUUCUCUUUGACCAAGACAGUAGUAAGGCCUUCUUCUUGCAAAAUAUUUUUCUUCGAAUUUUCUCCUCUAUACGAAUUUUUCGCACGAAUUUCUCCGAAAUUUUUUUUGCUCUGAAUUUUUCGAAUUCGCCUCCCCUUUUUGCUCGAAAAUUUUUGGUCUCCUUUUAUAAUGAUUCCGACCGCUCUCUUCUAUGGCAAUUUUCGAGCUUCCUUUUUCUGUUGCCUUAAUUCAUGUAAAUUGGAGCAAAAUCUUGCAAUCGAUUUGAUUUUUCCUUGGAUGUUUCGAUUCCUUCCCUUUUAUCAAACUCCUUAAUUUUUUAUUCAUCUGAUUUCUUUGAUUGAGAAUUUGCUUCCAUAUUUACUAUGAUUUAAAUAUUCACCGGAGCAAGGAUAGCUAAUCAGAAUUUCAACGUUCCAUUCAUAAUCAAAUCAAAUUGAUCCUUCCCUUAUUUUUAUUUUUUUUAUGCUAUGCAAUUUUUAUUUUAUUUAUUUAAGGUCACCAAAAUUUAGGUGUCAACAGCUGCCCCUUUUUAAAGGUGAGCUUGUAAAGAUUGCCUUCAAAGAUAAAUUGAGACCUAAAUUUUGAUCAUGCACAUGCACUGAAUGAUCUUCAAAGGUUUUUUUUUUUUUUUUGGGAAAAUGAAUCCCAUUUUGAAAUGCAAGUCAUAUGAUGAAUGGAAAUGCUAAUGAUAAAGAAACUUACCUGGAAUUACUUACCUUCGAGGAGUGUAGAGUAAAUCAAGAUAGAUUGGCGUUACAUGUUCAAGAUACGUACCAUUCUAUGGUUGCCUAUAAUAGUAACAUGGUUUCACAAAGAGAUUGCUUUCCUAAGACCCGUACCAUUCUACGGUCGCCUAGUAUGGCAUUGUUUGGUUGUGUCUAAGACCCAUACCAUUCUACAGUCGCCUAAACGGGGAUUCACUUUUCAGGACUCGUACCAUUCUACGAUCGCCUGAAUAGAGAAAUAGAUGUUGUCUAGGACCUGUAUCAUUCUACAGUCGCCUAAACGGGGAUUCAUUUUCUAGGAUCCGUACCAUUUUACGGUCGCCUAAAUAGGUGUUGCCUAGGACCCGUACCAUUCUACGAUUGCCUAAACUGGGAUUCAUUUUCCAGGACCCGUACCAUUCUACAGUCACCUAAAUUGGAAUUCAUUUUCAGGACCGGUACCAUUCUACAGUCGCCUGAAUAGGUGUUGCCUAGGACCCGUACCAUUCUACGGUCACCUAAACUGGGAUUCAUUUUCAGAACCCGUACCAUUCUACGGUUGCCUGAUUAGAAUGAAUCUGGAAAAAUCUUUGGGGGGCAACUAUAUCGAGUGCCAGUGCUUGAAAAGGAAUACCUGUAUGAUGACAAGUAUUUAAGGUAUGGAUAGAGAUAUACUUACCUAGUGGCAUCUUUGAUCCUUAGAGAUAUGUCUCCCAAAUUAAUGAGGUGACUUUGGGAUACGAAAGCACACCAUGUUGAAGAAAGGGAACUUUGGGUUACGGAAGUUGUGGCAUCCUAAAAUUUCAUGACAACCCUUGGAUACGCUAUGAACCAUCAAUAGGUGAUGGAAGUACCAUUGGGUUAUGAAUCAGCCGUUGAAUCAAUGAAUUUCAACUAAUUUAAGGCCGAGCAUUGUAAUGGACAAUUGUUUGGAUGGAGAUGUGUCUACAAGUGACCCAACGAUUUUAUUAAGGUGCAAAUUGAUAUAGAAAUCUUAUUCAUGGGGGUGCACUUUAUAAGUAGAAUUUUAUUAAUUUAAAUUACAAAUUUUUGUGACCUUAUAAGCUGAAAUUAUGUGUUUAUUUAAUUGGGGAUUAAAUGGAAUAGGAAUAGGAUAGGGUGGGCUGAUUUUUUAGGCCCAAAGCCCAUCCAACCAGCCCACGCAGCCCCCCAUUCGACUGCCCCAUGAAGGCCCAAGACCGGCACAAAAACUGAAGCCCAUUAACCUUGCAUGAGAGAAUUGACAAGUGGCUUAGGAGACUUACCAAGUGUCGUCUUGCAUGGGAAAAAUGUCAAGUGGCUAAGGGGUUUGGCCAAGUGGCAUUUGCAUGCAAUCUAAUGAUUUCAAAUCAUUGCAAGAGGAAAGAAAAGAGAGGGAGAGUGGGCGGAGUGAGCGAGAGAAAGAGAAAGGGAGAGAGAGUGGUCGUCUGAGAGAAAGAAAGGAAGAGAGAAAGAGAGCGAGCGUGCGAGAGAAGAAGAGGAAGAAGGAAGAGCUCAUUCGCCACCGUUCCUUCACCGCCUUGCCCGCCAUUUUGUCGCUGUUUGUGCUUGAGUUUAAGCCAAGUGAACUCCUAAAACCUACCCUUUGCAUUACUCUGUGUAUGUGUAGUAGAUGGCAAGUCUUGGUUGUGGUAGAUGGGAUGAAAUUUCGGAGCUUUGGAGAGAGAUUUGUUGGCCAUGCAUGCUGUUUCUGGAAAGACCAGUCCAACCAUCCAUGAGUUUGUAUGCUGCAUGUGACUUUUUAGUCGGAAUCUUGCUUCGAUUCCUUCAUGAAAGUUGUAGAGAACAGCUUGAAGAACAACAUAAUAAAAUUUGAGGCAAAAAUAACAAGAAAUGGUCAGUGAAAUGAUUUUUCUUUGGAGAGACUAGAUCUGGAUUUCGUUGUGCUGACCUCAGUGGUUUCGUGGUCUGUAAAGUAACCUUCUUGUGAAAAUAUCACUUUAAUCUCUUAACGAAAGUUGUAGUAUACUUCUUGAGGUAGAACAUAUCAAAAAUUUAGAGGAAAUGAACAAAAAUAGGUCGGUGAAAUCGUUGUCUUUUGAAGAAACUGGAUCUGGGAAAAAAUGCUGCUUCGACCUAGUAUGAUUUCGGGAUUUUUAUAAAAUCAUACAGUUAAAAUUUGAUCAUUUGUCCUUAUCAAAAGUUGUAGGUAAUAUUAUUAGGAACGACAUACUGAAAUUUCAGAGUAAAUGGACCAUUAAUGACCAAGGAAAAAAACUUUUCUUCAACACGGGUAGAUCUGGAAAAUGAUACCGAGAAUAGGAAAAUUAAAUCGAUUUUAUCUUUUAAUCCAGAACGAAUUGGACUACGAUUUCUUCAUGAAACUUGUACUUAUAGGUCUUAAAUAUAGUGUGUCCAAAUUUCAGAAUUUUCUGAGUUUAUUUAAGGUUUUAUUGGAAUUUUGUUUCAAAACUGUGCAUGGAUGAUGUUAAAAUCCUUUUUCGGUGAUGCAUGGACCUGUACAUAUUCUGUGAAGCCUUGUUUGAUAUGGUGUUCUUCAUGAAAUGUGUUUUCUUAGAUCUUAUCUACAAUGUGUUAAAUUUCCAGAAUUAAUUUCCAUCGUUUACUAAUUUUCCAGAAAUUUUCAUAAACAACACACAUUCUGUUUAAGCUGAAAAACUGUUCUAUUUACAGGUUAUUGAUUUGCUAUAUAAAUUGUGAUAUCUUGGAUUAUCAUUCGUGCAAUGAUGUGGUGAAAUUCAUGCAUAUCAAAUGACAUCAAAAGAUUUAUGGAUUUUCAUGAAUUCAAUGAAGUUUCUCAAAACCAUUGCAUCAAAUAAUAUUUUUCCCAAUGCAUACUAUAUGAUUUUGAAAAGGCUUAUUCCAAUCAUUGGCAUUAUUGCAUCAAAUGCCAUAUUGAAAUUGAGAUACAUGUGUGAAUAUAAAUUGUGAUAAUAACAAGACUGUCGGAGGUGUGAGCCGACGAUGCCUCAGGAGUGUCGGGAUGCUCGGAAUGUGGGGGUGCGGAUGCCCGUGUAUUACGAUACAUGCCCGGAUGUCCUCGGGAGUUCGAGAUGCCCGGUGGUAUACGGUAUGUAAUUCCAGGGGGAAUGCCUGGUGGUAUGUCGGUACGUAAUUCCGGAAGCCUCGGAGGUGUGUGCCGAGAAGAUACCUCGUGAUGCCAGUUGGGAUAUGAGAUGCCCGGAAUGUGGGGGUGCCGGAUGCCCAGAGGUGUGUGCCGGAGGUUCCUCGCGAUGCCAGGUUGGGUGCGAGCGAUAAAUUAUGGGAUGCAAACAUUGGUCCCUGGAAAGAAAAACUGAUGAGAUCCUUGUGAAAGAUAAGAAUUGAAAAUGAAUCAUGUGCAUGGGUGUAUGCAUAUGGCAUGAUGCAUGAUCUGCUUAUGAAAGUAAAUUAAUGUUAUUUGAUAUUGAAAAUGCGAUCGUGAACGCAUGAAUAGAUCUCAUGGUGAUGUAUGCUUGAUAGCAUGGAUGAUAUGAAUCAUGGUGGUAUAUGCACGAUGGCAUGGUGAGAUAUGCAUGAUUGCAUGGUGGUUCUGCAUAUGGCAUGGAUAUGCAUGAAUGCUUGAUGAUGAGUGCAUGGUAGUAUAUGUACAUAUGGCAUGGUGAUAUAUGCAUGAAUGCUUGAUGAUGAGUGCAUGAUGGUAUAUGCACAUAUGGUAUAAUGACAUAUGCAUGGCUGCAAGGUAAGUUAUGCUUGAAUGCAUGAAUGAUAUGUGCUCUCUGUUAUGAUGCCUUGAUUGUCUUGUUUGACGCAAUGAGUAGUUUGGUGGAUCUUUAUUGCUGAGUGGUUAUACUCACCCCUUUUGGGGAUUAACAUUUCAGACUAGAUAAGAUUCAUCCGCUGCCAUUGCCACCAGUAGAUGGAUCAAGUGGUUGGAUAUGACCGCGAGGAGGAGGAUAGCAAAAGAAGAAACUUUUGGAUGCCGACACUGAUCGAUGGACUUUAAGUAUAUGAUUGUUGGAGGAGAUGUCGGUCAUUAUUUGAAGUAUAGCCAAGUAUAGAAAAUCAUGGCAUUUUGAUGUAUCGAUGAAUGAUGUCCAUCUGGUUUAAGUAAAUAAAAAUGUUCGGCUUUUACCUAUAAAUGUUUAGUUGGUGUGCAUCGUUUUCUGAAUAUAGGGAAGGGAGUUGAUGGAUGUGCUUCCGCUAUAUGAAUUGCGCAAGGGACCGAUCAAAAAAAUAUAAACCCCCAGGUUGUAUGGACCUACUGCAAUUGAAAUGGUAUGGACCCCCAGGUUGUAUGGACCCGCUGUAAGCGAACUAUGGUGACCCUAACGGAUCAGGGGCCGUCAAGGGGUGCCACAGAAGUACGCCGAUUUGAUAGGGGGACUUUGGUCUACAGAAGCACGCCAGGUCAUAUCAAGGGACUCCGGGCUAUGGAAGCACGCUAGGUCAAUAAAUAGGACACUAGGCUAUGAAAGCACGCCGGAUCGAUGAAAGGGACUCUAGGCUACGAAAGCACACCAAGUCAAUAUAAAUGACACUGGGUUACGAAAGCACGUCGGGUCUAUGUAAGGGACUCUAGGCUACGAAAGCACACCAGGCCAAUAUAAAGGACACCAGGCUACGGAAGCACAUUGGGUCGAUGAAAGGGACUCUGGGCUAUGAAAGCACGCCAGGUCAAUAUAAAGAACACUAGGCUAUGGAAGCACGCCGAGUCGAUGAAAGGGACUCUGGGCUACGAAAGCACGCCAGGUCAAUUUAAAGGACACCGAGCUACGGAAGCACGCCGGGUCGAUGAAAUGGACUCUGGGCUACGAAAGCACGCCAGGUCAAUAUAAAGGAUACCGGGCUAUGAAAGCAUGCCGGGUCAAUAAAAGAGACUCUGGGCUACGAAAGCACGCCAGGUUAAUAUAAAGGACACCAGGCUACGGAAGUACGCCAAGUCGAUAAAUAGGGACAUCGGGCUAUGGAAGCACGCUGAGUCGAUUAAAGGGCACUAGGCUACGAAAGCACGCUGGGUCGAUGAAAGGAACCCUGGGCUACAAAAGCAUGCCAGGUCAAUAUAGAAGACAGCUUGACCGAGUCAAGUGUUGAUGCACUUGGGAGAGAAUAGCUACACAAUGACAAGUAUUUAGAGUAUAGGUAGAGAUAUACUUACUUGGUGAUAUCUCUGAUUCUUGGGGAUAUUUCUUCUGGAAUUUAGAUAUCAUGUGGAGGUCUUUCACCUCCUGGUAAAAUUUUGGAACAUCAAGGAUGGACCUUGAAUGUUCAUGAUGAUUCCUCAUCUCCUAAUAUCAUGAGGCAUUUUGAAAGGAACUUCAAUGUCAAGAGCUCUUGGGUCUUUGAGAAAACAUUACCUGUCAGACAUGAUUAAAGCAAAAGUGCAUUCACCAAAGAAAUAAGCAAUUAAUGCUAUUCUGGAACGCACAUUUCAAAAUCUGCUGAAGUUUUUAUCAAUUCAAUCAGGGUUCAUGCAUAAUGACCUUUGCAUUAUCCAAAUUUCCACUAAAGAGAAUUACCGUUCAAGAUAAUUUUCACUCAUGACAUGGAUUUCUUAAGAAUACUAAAUGAGAGACUUUCGGUUAGAAAUGACUUUCACUCACUCUCAUUUAAAAGAGAAUCACUCCAUCUCACCAUAUCGACAAGGGUUCGAGUAUUCUCGCAAGCGGUACAACCUUACCAAUCUGAAGGUCUUUAACAUGGACCAUAUUGUGAGUUUGGUCAACGGCUUAACAAAGGGACUCUUUGAGUCAAGGCUAUUGAAAGAACAGCUUCGCAAUCAUCUCCGGGUUGCUUGCACAAUGAGAAAGAAAUAAUCUUGCUUGCACUUCUUCAAGCGAUGCUUAAAACAUGUGAACCCCUAGGUUAAUUAAAGUGUCAUAAUCUGAAGAGACUUUGCAAGGGACAUAACAUAGGCUUGGCUCAUGGGUUGAGAAAUGAAAGGAUCAUUAGGCUCAAAAAAUUGUUUAGGGGGUCAAAGUUGGUGAUCAUCUUAACAUUUCCACCACUUUCCGUCUCCACUGCCGAAGAUUUCAUAUCACAACUCCAUUGAUUGUAACAACAUUUGAGUUUUUUAGUAUCGCCUUGUUGGGGAUACAACUCACUAUAUUAAGAGUUUGAUUUCUUUCUCUUUUCUGGGCAUUAGCCUUGCUCUUACCAGGCACACUGUUUUUUCAUGCCCCUUAGUUCUAUUUUGAUUUCAAUCCUUGCGCACAAUGCAUGCGUCAAGCAACACUUUGAAUGACACUCAAACUUUCAAGAGUCUUCAUUUGUCUUUUGCCUUGCCCCAAUGUGGGGGAUGAUCACCAACUAUGUUUAAAGAAAUGAAAUUGCAGGCUUAAGUGGGCUAUGCAAAUGGUAUAAGUAUGUAGGAUAGAGAAAGAAAUGCUCUUCGUCAUCCUAAGGCACUUAAAUUAACACAUGAAUUCAAUGCAAUAGCACGACUUGAAAAUUGAUGCAAGUGAGAGCAAGAAAAUUUCAAUUCAUUUUCCUCACCUCAUGAUGCCAUUUUAUCUCCCAGUUGGCCCGAUGUGAGGUGAUCCUUAACAGGGGUAAUUUGAAAAGAAUAUCAAUAAGUGUAUGGGCUCAAAAGGGUUAAGCAAUGGAUUACUUGUAGUGUUUGGGAUAGAGAAAUGAAUUGCCUAUCUUCACUUUGGUUGUCGUACCUUUUGUGAGAAAACUCUUUACCUUGUAUAUAUGAACCUUACUACACUCAUCUCACAAGUGUAUGAGUAGGGGACUGUAUAUAAGAUAAGGUUUGCCUUUCAUCAUCCCAACUCGUCUCAUUUAGUAUGCUUAAUUCAUUCUACAUCAUUCAUUAAAUUAGUCAAUCUUGAUGUUCUUUAGUGGAAUUGAUAGAUAAAAUAUGUAAGAGUUAUCAUGCAAAAUCCUUUUUUAGGCAUAAAAAACAGUUUUCCACACUGCAAAAUGGUUUUAAGCAUUCAUUCAAGGAUUCCUCUACAAUGGGAUUGCCUCAACAGUUGAUGUCUUUAGAUUGUCCCUAUCAUUUAAGACUAAAAAUCCACUUUUGCCCCAAAAUCUGUCAUGCCCCCAAUUUGUCAUCUGCAAGGAAAAGAAUAGAGUGUCAUUUCCCAAAAUCAAUUAUGUUCAAGGACGAGACAUACCUCUUCCACCAGGGAAUGAUGGUUCUCUUCUACUUGACCCUCAUUUUAUUAAGUCUUUAGAGAUGUGUUAUUAACAGUUGGGCCAAUUGUAACCUGGUAUGCCUUUUUCAGAUGCUUUCUCAUCAGACCGAUAAAGUAAUGCUCUGAAACAUGAAGUAAAUGAGUUAGAAAAUUAAACAUAACUAACCUAAUGCAUCCUUUUGGAAAUGGCUUCAAAAAUGAUUUUUUUUUAAAUUUAAAUUUUUUUAUUCUCUUUUUUUUGGAAAUUUUUUUUAUGAGGAAGCAUGAAUAAGCCCAGUCCUUGAGAUUUCUCCGUGAAUGGUAUUUUCUUUUCAUGAUUGGAUAUCGUCAUUGGACUGGUUUGGCAUACCCCAUCAUGUCCUCAAAACUUGUAAUUUUAUUGAUAUUCAUCAAUCGAAUUACAUUUAUUAAAUGGUAAAUGCAAUGUUCAAUCCCUAAAUGAAAAAUGAAAAAGAAUGAAUUGAAAACAUUCCCUAGAAAGUAAUAAAAAUUCCCACGCAGUGGAGUGUGCGAAAGCAAUAAAUGAGUCACUCUCAUGGGCUAGGGCCAAGUUCUAAUGGUCAUUUGUCAACGGCACUUAUAGGGAGGUCAUUAAACAAAUUGGUGAUUCCUUCCAGUGCAUCAUCAGGGUUCUCUAUUUUUGGAGGUGUUGGGUCGUCCAUGCCCCUCCAUCCAUCCGCGACAAUUUCUCGAGGGUCAAUGUAGAAGCUGAGAGGAGCCGAGCACUUCACAUAAUAGUCGAAUUUUCCACUUGGCUGCCUCAAGGUGUCCAUCACUUCCACUCCAGCUUACGUCAUUCUUGGAGGGCCAGGGAACAUCUCUUGAUUGUUGGGAGGUAACAAGCUUUGCCUCCCUCGCCUUUACUCAAGUGGCAAGUUUUGCCUUUCUUGUCUUUGUCCUCCAGAAUUUUCUUCACAUCUUCCAUGGUGUCCUAAUCCAGUAGAAUGGGACCUUCGAGAGGCUUCAGUGGGGUUUCGAAUGCCUUGACCCCUUCUUCCAAGACCAUAUGACAUCAUUUUAAACCUUAAAAGUGGAAAUGAACAGUAUGACGGCUUUCCCAAAAGGGGGUAUAAGACAAUACGAGGGACUAAACAUUGUCAUGGACCGACGAAAAUUGCAGCGACGUAAGUGAAUUGAAAAGUGAGAGUUCAGACAACUUACUUUCAGCGGGAAGGGAUGUCAAUCACAUAAACACACGCAUGAAGUGUGAGGCUCGAUUUCUAUCUAAAUGGCUUAACAAAGUGGAGCUAAGAGGAUGAUCUAACCGUUGCAGUCUUGCAUUAACAUGUCAGGUCCCCCUAACUCCGGCUCAAUCGAAUAGAAUGCCCAAUAAUCACGCAGUCUCGCGAAUAUGGACAAACACAUUCGACACCAUGAAAGAAAUUUCGGGGAAGAGAAAGUUAACCUCUACAUAGCCGUCUUACUUUGGAAAAAAGUAUCCUUCUCAACACUAUCCUAUAAAUCCUAUCGCAGCCCAGGUCCGACCACAGGUUGUGUGCAAAUAGUGUAGUGCUAAAAGCAAUAAAAACACGCACAAUAGUUUAAAUGCAAACAAAACUUUUAAUCAGGAAAAAUAAAUUAUUCAUCCGACACCUUCCUGCAAGAAAAGGGUUACCAAAGACUACUCCCCUUAUGCAUCCCAUCUGCAAGAACAUUUAACACCUUAGAAAUGUUAGGAACAUACCUGGGAUCCUUACUACCAAACAAAAACAUUUUAAAAAAAAUGAAAAAUUGGCCUGAGUCCACUAAGUGUUUUAACACAAGUCCCCAGUGGAGUCGCCAAGCUGUCGCAACCUAAAAUUCGGGUGCACCACCUAAAACUAGGUUAAUGGACUGUUAAGUCUUUAAACUUAGCUCAGGCUCUCCCAAGCCCAUACCAAUUCGCGACUUAAGGUUCAAAUAUUUAACAUACAAAUGAUUAUUAUCUAGGAGUCGUCACUAAUCAGUUUUCGAUAGGUUAAUUAGACACCUAAGUAAAAUAAUGGGAGGAUUAUCUUACUCCUAUGAACCAGAGACUAUGGGUACGGGGACUUGGUUACACUAGAUUUCUCUAAUGCCCUUUCGGUACCAUUUCUUUUUAAUUUCAAAAAUGUUUUUGCAGGCAGUUUGGAUUUAUUUUAACCUAAAUUAUUAUCACGCAAUAAGGUGAUCACACAGAUGCUCAAUCACAAUUAAAGGACUUCCAUUAAAAGAAAUGAACACACAAAGCAUUUUUUGGGUUUUCUUGUAUCUUGAAAUUGAGACGUGCAUUUUAACUACAUAACCUGAUUUUACUAAAAUUAUCCUAUUAUGUGNNNNNNNNNNNNNNNNNNNNNNNNNNNNNNNNNNNNNNNNNNNNNNNNNNNNNNNNNNNNNNNNNNNNNNNNNNNNNNNNNNNNNNNNNNNNNNNNNNNNNNNNNNNNNNNNNNNNNNNNNNNNNNNNNNNNNNNNNNNNNNNNNNNNNNNNNNNNNNNNNNNNNNNNNNNNNNNNNNNNNNNNNNNNNNNNNNNNNNNNNNNNNNNNNNNNNNNNNNNNNNNNNNNNNNNNNNNNNNNNNNNNNNNNNNNNNNNNAUCCUAAUUUACUAAACUACAUGCUUAAUGCAAGACUUGAUUUUUUAUUUUUUUAUUUUUAGUGUUUUCCAAAACAAGUAAUUAUCAAAUAAACCUUACAUCUACACAAUCGAGAUAUUCAACAAAUAAAGAAUUAAAAUAAUUGAAAAAAUAACAUGUUGUCUCACAGGUUAAAUUAACGAUUACUCUAACCCCGAACAUCACAACACAAAAAAAGGUUCAAAAUAAUUAAAAAUCUGAUCCGAAGUCUCACUGAUCAAAUUAAUAAUUAUAAUGAUUUAACAAUUGAAAUACUAUAAAAAAAAUACCCAAAAAUUAAUAUAAUUAAAAAAAUAAUCCGACGUCUUACGGAUCAAAUUAAUAAUUACAAUAAUUUUGGGUAAAACCUCGCGAAUAACGCCUAUAAUAUUUAUAAAAGAAAAGUAAUAUCCAAUGUUACAAUUCAAAUAACUAAACUACAAUAUAAAUAUAAUAAAUAAAUAAAUAAAAACGACCUAAAAGGGGACUUCAUGGGCUGCAUGAUGGAAGAAGGCAUGGCGAAGGACGGAUCGCUACAGCGGCGCAGCCGCGGGCGGAGGAGCACGGUCGUUGGAACGAAGGCUAGUGGGCAACAACGGGUGCCGAAGAGCGGAGAGCAGCGGUGGCAAGCGAACGACGACAGUAGCACAUAGUCACAGGUCGUCAGGUGGAGGCCGGCGAUGGAUAGAGACACUUGGGUGUGGGUUGCUCGAGUAGGGGCGUCGCGGCAUCUGGCUCUGGUUGUGUUGCUAGGCGUCAGCGCUGGGUCGAGGUCCGACUCGGGUGGAGGCGGAGUUGUUGCGGAUUGCAUCGAACAGAGUUGGCAAUUGGCUGCCACAGUGUCGCGGACGGGGCUCCUGUGGUACAGCAACAUCGAUGGUGCGGGUUCGUUGGAAGGAGAGAGGCAGGGGUGUCAGCACUAGGCGCAGCAGCAGUGUUAGCACGAUGGUCGCUAGGUCGUCGCAGGUCACCGGUGCGGGGCGUCGGAGCGAGCUCAUGGGUGCAGAGGCACAGUGGCGUCGAUUGAUGUAGAGGCAAAGAUGGACGGGCAAAAUGCAGAGCAAGUGCAGAGGCGAGGGGAGUGUGUUGCUGGAGCAGUGGACGAAGACCGGCAAGCGCUGGCUGAGNNNNNNNNNNNNNNNNNNNNNNNNNNNNNNNNNNNNNNNNNNNNNNNNNNNNNNNNNNNNNNNNNNNNNNNNNNNNNNNNNNNNNNNNNNNNNNNNNNNNAUGCGCUUCCUGCUCCGACAUGCUACACGAAUGAGAAGAACAAUGCACUGUUCUGUUUUUCUUUUUUUCUUUUUUUUUUUCCUUUCCCUCUCUCACCUCUCAUGUCACUUCCCACUAUCUUUUCUUUGUUCUGCAGCUGACUUUUCUCUUUUCUUGUCAGAGAAAGAAAAGAGAAGAGGCUUUCUCUUUGACCAAGACAGUAAGGCCUUCUUCUUGCAAAAAAAUUUCUUCGAAUUUUCUCCUCUGUGUGAAUUUUUCGCACGAACUUCUCCGAAAAUUUUUUUGCUCUGAAUUUUUCGAAUUUGCCUCCCCUUUUUGGUCUCCUUUUAUAGUGAUUCCGACCGCUCUCUUCUAUGGCAAUUUUCGAGCUUCCUUUUUCCGUUGCCUUAAUUCAUGUAAAUUGGAGCAAAAUCUUGCAAUCGAUUUGAUUUUUCCUUGGAUGUUUUGAUUCAUUCCCUUUUAUUAAACUCAUUACUUUAUUAUUCAUCUGAUUUCUUUGAUUGAGAAUUUGCUUCCAUAUUUACUAUGAUUUAAAUAUUCACCGGAGCAAGGAUGGCUGAUCAGAAUUUCAACGUUCCAUUCAUAAUCAAAUCAAAUUGAUCCUUCACUUAUUUUUUUUAUGCUAUGCAAUUUUUAUUUUAUUUCUUUAAGGUCGCCAAAAUUUAGGUGUCAACAAUGUUUAAAACUCAAUGUAUCACGACUCACUACCAUGAUCUUCCGGAGGACCAUUGUUUACGUCCCUCCAGGCAUAUCGCACCCUACCUGGAAUCACAAAGUCCUCUGGUUCCAUAAUUCAAUCAUCAAGCAUCUGGAGCGUGUUACGUCAUACCCAUAGGCAUCUCGCAACCCACCUAGCAUCACAAGGAACCUCCGAGGCUCACCAUGUCAAUGAUGUCCCCAGGCAUCCGAAACGUGUUGCAUUACACUUCCAAGCAUCCCGCAUCACACCCCGAUCCUCGAGCGCACGCCGAUCCCUCAAUCGUCGAUACGGAUGCGAUGUUCCCAGGUCUUGUCACCGACCUAAUUCAUUUUAAUAUGCAUGCGGAAGCGAAACAUUAAACCCCUGAAUACAAACAACAUGGGAUAGAAAUAACAGGACACAAAUUUCCAUAAAACACCUUUUAUAAACACACUGGUUUAGGUACAAAAAGAGUCCAGGUAAAAGUCUAUAAAAUAUCGGCUCUCAAAAAGAUACCGUCCUACGACAAACUAGUCAAACACAUACACCGAUCCUUCAGACUCCACCUCCUCAGACUCCGAGCUUCGGGUCCUCUAUCAACACCAUCUAAGGACCUGAAAAGUUAAGUCCACGACGCGGUGAGACAUUAUCUCAGCAAGUUCACCCACUAAACCCCUAUUAGGAAGAAAAUACACCCAAAAGUGGCCUAGCCAGAUAAUGCAGAGAACUUACCUCGCAUCAUUACCUUUUGCACGUUAGCACAGUUCAUAACACAAAUUGCAUAUAAUCAAGGUACACAACAAUUGAAACGCCUCACUCAACUCAAUCAAACAUAAGAGGUCAUGAUUAUAAGGCCAAAUCGUAAUGACACAUUACAUACCAUGCCACACGGUUUUGUCUCAUAAUCAGGCACAUCUAACUCAACCAUUCAUACUUUCCAAUUGUUAAUUACAUCCCUCAAGGGUACGGCAAACUCUAAGUUUGGCAGUCUACUAGCGUAGCCAGGCAUCGUCUCACCCCAUUGAGCACGACUACGUCUCUCAAAGACAACUUUCCCAAAGAAGCGUUGGUCUAGAAUCUACUGUGACCCGAGACCUAAUGAAUGGGUAAUGUCCGACGUAAACGCUUGCGAUGGGUUCUCUUAACCAACACACGACCACUCAAUCUCGAUCCAAGACACCGUGCUUUUCACUCAAAUGCCUUAAUUAAAAUAGUGUUCCUGGCCUAUUUUCUUCAUAUUAAAAACACUCGGUGAAAAUAGUCAUGUGUAGGUACACGAUCAGAUCGAAUAGAAAAACUGAUAUACUUCAUUUUUAAAAUCCCACUAUUUUAUAUAGUAUGUAAAACCAUUUUCAAUGGUAAAAUCCGACACCUGGAAUUUUCUGAAUAAUUAUUGAAAUUUCCCAAAUUUUGGAAUAAAUCAUCAAAAAUUCAAUCAAUACUCAAUUUGCACAAAUUAACACACAAUUGCAUAAACUGAACACACCAUUGCAAUCAGCACGAAAUUCCAAUCACCGACUAUCCCGGUCUAAUUUUCGGAAAUUAAUAAAUAAUUAAAUAAUUACCAAAAUUAAUUAAAUAAAUACAAUUAAAUGCUAUAAAUAGGAACCUAGGCCGAAAAAACCUAAUUAAAUACCAAGACGGGCCCGGGAAAUUUCCGAACCAAUCUACAUAAUUAAUACAACAUGUUUAGUCUCUCAUUAAUCUAAUCUAACCACCUAACAUGCAAAAUUGGAUAAUUAAAUCACUAAUCUAAUCUAACUAAACAUUUAAUCCUUAAUUAACUUAAACUAAUCCCCACUAAGCAUAAUUAACCUCCUAAGCGAGGUUUAGUGAGUAAACUCACCGGAUUUGUGAGCCAGUGAGUCCACGGCGAUGGCGACGGCGACGGCGACGCAGAGACGAGUGAUAAACUCCGAAGCGGUGAAGCCAAGCAAGGCCGAGAAAGGCUCGGAAAUGGGCCACAAAGUCUUAGGGCCCUUGCUGGCCUUCAGUUCCGUCCUUGGACCGAAGGGGCUGGGCCGAACAGCUGGAAUAGUGAAGGAGGACCGGUGGAGCUACUGCAGGGCUAGGCGGAGGCAAGCAGAGCUUUGACGGGGCUUCAGUGGCUUGGAAGGCAGACAGGGGCUAGGCUGAGGCAGACAGAGCUGGACGACUAGAGACAAUGACGGACAGGGGCUCAGGAUCGCACGAGCAGGCGUGCAAGCAAGCUAGGCACACAGGCGAGCGGCGGCGUGAGCGGUGAUUCCGACAUGCUUCAGACGGGCAUGCGACACAGGAGGGGGCUGCUGCUCUGUUCCUCUAGUUCUCUAAGCUUCUCAACUCACUCAACAAUGGGGAAAGUGGCCACUGAAGGUAGAAAAAGGUUGUUGGUCAAGGAAGGGGCCACCAAAAUAUCUAAAUACUCAAGUUCAUGGCCAUACCAAGCUUGGCUAUCAUCCUUAGCCAUUUGCAAAUCCUUGGCUUCUCAAACAAGCCACCAAAAUGGUCCAAAUGUUGCACACCAUGGGGGGCUACGAAUUUGAAACAUCUUCCCUCAAUUUGGAUUUAAUUCUCCUCCAAAUCUCCUCCAAUUGGACCUAAAUUGGAGUCCAUAAAUCCCACCAAGGUGUCCACCCUCCAAUUCACUUUUUUCCUCACCAAUUCAUCCAACUCGAAUCCCAAAAACGCGACCAAAAACGGUCCUCGGAUUUUUCCGGUCCAAACUACCCUUACUUUGAAAAUUCGCCAAAAAUCUCGAUUUGACGAAAAAUCUUUGAAAGGUGAGCUGACAGUCCUAAAAUGACUCAUGACAUGGCAAAACUUUUAAUUUCUAAAAUUGAGUUCAAUUUCGUGGUUAAUUUUAAUUUGGCUCGAUUUUAGCAUGACCUAACCUACUAGGUAGCUUAUAGGAAUUUUUGGUACAACUGACCCGUGAUUAAUUAUUUUCAAGCGACAUUGUACAUCUUCGACACGUUAGCAACUCUCGGUUAUCGUAAAAAUCUCGAGAUUUCAAAUACGUACACAGGGUACGAAAAUGACAGAAACAUCGGUCUAAUGUCGUUCGACAGAAAUUUUGCAAUUAGGUGGAAUCACUUACAUACUAAUCACAUACCUCCAUCGAAUCGACCUAUCUCCAGUCUUUGAUCGAUUUUGACAGUGUCGUAAUGACCCUUGUAGAUGAGCAUGGUUGAGUAGUCGAUUCUUGAUUGAAUUCUCAAGUAUAUUGCGUUAAAAUCCCUUACUGUCUUUACCUGAUAGGCUAGUUAUCUCCUGAGUGGCCAACUCAAAGAAAAAGGCUAUAGGCGCAUCGAUGAAAAUCUCAUUUCAUCUCAUCAAAAACAGAGUUAAAAAUUAAGAUGUCACAUCCCACCUUCCGAGGAACCUCCGAGGCUCACCAGUCCUUAGACUCCCAAAGGCAUCGUCACCAUGAUCCUCCAGGCAACCCGACACCUAGGGCAUCGUCGUCCCAGGGGUUCAACGGCAUUCAUAACUCACGCACCAUGAUGUAGCAGUCUCAUGAUUUAAAACCAAUGCAUUCUAACAUCAUUAAUAGAAAAGUUGCUUUGAUUUCUAAAUCUCAAACCCGGAAUUUAAGCCAAAACAAAAUGGACUUGAGAGGGAUAUCGGUUAUAUGACAAUCAAAACACUUAUGAAAUAUAGAGUUUACAAAUUCUGGAAUGGAUCGAGGUUUAAGUCAAAUCCUCUCCAUUUCUUUCUUUCUUCGGGAGAUUACAAGCGUAGACUUAUAGCAUUCUCCACGCCUCAAGACUCAAAAUGAAACAAGUUUAUCAAAACGGUAAAUAAAUUUUGAAAUCGGCACAUCGGCGAAUCCAAAUGUCGGUUCAACCUUGAGGUUUUCAAAAAGAUUUACAAGUAAGGUCUCAAAUUUCGAAAGUACCAAAUCUUUCUUGAAACAUUGCUAGUGACACAUCAAAAAUUAGAAAUCCCACCAAGUUCUCCAAACUUUUAUAAAUAGUUCACGAGUAGUGUUGCCAAAAUUCCGUAAACACUAAGAUUCGAUGCAUAAACCGAUGUUAAAAUUGCAUUUAAUUAUAAGCCAAUGUAAAAUCCUCCAAAUCACAUAAUCCAAUAUCAACUCAACCAUCCUAAUUUCAUCAUUCAGCAUAAGAAUUCGAAGAACACUAAUUUUUGGACGCAUUUCAUUGGACAAAUGAUAGAAUUACACGAUACAGGUUAGUAGAUAUCAAUUUGCCUUUGAUUUGUUGGUGUCAACGGCAAGUGGACCGUGAAUUGCGACUGCAAGCACAGUUGAGGAGAGACGGCACGCUUUCUAGGCCAGCGGCGCUGAGGAACGGUGGCGAAAGAGGCUGGUGGCUGACGAUGAGAAGCGGCAAGAUGGUGAGAUAAUUCUCACUAAAGCUACUGAAGAUUUCGUUGAACAAGGGAGGCCUAAGCUACCAAAAGAGAGAGAGAACCGGCCUCCAACAAAUUGACAAUUUAAGUCAAAGAAAUUCACGGUGGCAACAAGAAUCGGCGACAGCUCAAGGGCCAUUCAUGCAAGGGGACACCUAGCAUUUCUCAUGCAAGGACGUGUCUCCUUGCAUGUGGUGAUUUGCGUUGAUCGGCCACGAAGGAGAGAGGAAACGUGGCCGUGUGUGGCUGCCUCUCAGUCAACUCCUCCUUUGGUUGACAAUUAAGGGCACAUGGCAAUCGCCGCAUGGCCGAAAAAUGUGGCCAUUGGUGAGGCCGUUCGCAUGGCUGUCUAAGGAAAAAAAAUUCGUGCAUGAAGCUGUGUUGGUCCGCGGUCUUUUGCAGGGGACGAUUGGGAGUUGGCGUGAGGGAACGAGAGAGGUCUUCGAUUCUUUCUUCAUCAACUUUCACGUAUGCAAGGAGUCGAAAACGACUUGUAUCAAAAGACAACUUGACGACGUACCGUUGAGAGUAGAUGUUGGUCUUGCUUGCUGCGUUGAGCAAGAAAAUUUUAGAAGAGGAGCUAUCACGAGAACGUGACGAAACAUGACGUUUCGGUAUGGUGAGAGUGGUGACGAAACGGGGUCGUAAGUGGUGCCAAUGACGUAGUCCGACGACAAACUGGUCGACCCGUCACGAAUUGUUACGUACUCGAGGUUCAGCAAAAUCCAGAUAUCACAAUUCUCCCCUCCUUAGAGAAUUUCGUCCUCGAAAUUAAACGUCACUUAUGUCUCCUUGAAAAUGUGAGGAUACCUUUGCCUCAUUUCCUUUUCGCUUUCCCACGUAGCCUCUUCCACGUUGUGGCGUCGCCCUAAGACCUUAACUAGCAGAAUUUUCUUCGUUCGAAGAACUUGCUCCUUCCAAUCCAGUACCUGGAUCGGCUCUUCCAUGUACCUCACUUUCUCAUCCACCUCGAUAGCUUCAUGAUCGAGUAUAUGAGCAGGGUCGGGCUGAUACUUCCUCAACAUCGACACCUGAAAAACGUCAAGCAAAUUUGUCAAUUUAGGAGGCAAUGCCAGCCGGCAUGCUACAUCCCUAUCUUUUCAGGGAUCUCGAAAGGUCCGACAAAUCUAAAGCUUAACUUACCCUUUAUCCCAAAUUGCGAUAUUCCCUUCAUCAGGGAUACCUUUAGGAAUACGUGAUCUCCUAUGCCAAAUUCUAAGGGUCUUCUACGCUUAUCCGCAUAGCUUUUCUUUCACCCACUUCAUUCAAGCAAACAGGAGUUUUACAAGCCUCACGAUACUUCCGCUACGCUACUUUGAUAAAAUUGUCCCAAAAACACUGCCCUCCUAUUCAGUGCAUAGUUCAGUUCAUUCCUACUCCCUUUUGUCAUCCUAGAAGCCUGCCAGGAGCCGCUCCUUGCUUAGGCGCUCUGGCCUUGACGUCCACUCAUCGCCCUCAUCGAACCAGGUCGUUACAUGUAACACCCCGAUCCUCAAGCGCGCGCCCAUCCUUCUCUGGUCGAUAAAAUUUGCGCUUCCCAGGACGCAUCGCCGACCCAUUCAUUUUUAAUACGCAUGAAGAACCGAAAUAAUAACAAAACCCCCGACAACAAACAUCAUGGGAUAGAAAAGUAAGGCAACAUUUCUCAAAAUGCAACUUUUAUAAACAAUGGGGUUUAGUUACAAAACGAGUAUGGUCAAAAGGUUACAAUAGGUCAACUCUCGAGAAGAAGCUAUCCUACAACAUACUAGUCAAACACAUAUGCCGAUCCUUCAGACUCCACCUCCACAGAACCCUGGGUUUCGGUCCUCCACAAUCACCAUCUAUGGACCUCAAAAUGGUUAUACAAUAAUCAGUGAGACAAUGUCUCAGCAAGUUCACCCCCUAAACCCCUAUUAGGAAGGAAAUACACUUAGGGGUGGCCUAGCCACGCAACACAAGGGACUUACCUUACCUCAGUUCCUUCCUGCAUGUUAGCAUAAUUCAUAACUCAUACACGUGCAAUCAUCACUCAACAAUUGGAAUGCAUCAUACUUAACUCAAUCAGUUUCCUGUUCCAAAUUAUUAAUCACGGCCACUCAUGGGCACGACCUACUCUAACCUAGGCGGUCUACUAGUGUAAUCAAUUUAAUCACAGCCCAAAUGGCACAGCUUACUAAAUGUUCGGCGGUAAAUCAUGGCUCAACGAGCACAGCCUACUUCCAGGUUCGGCGGCUAAUCGCGGCCAAAUAGGCAUAGCCAUAUUUCGGUGGUUGAUCACGGCCACUUCGGCAUAGCCCUACUUCGGUGGUUAAUCAUGGCCACAAAGGCACAACCAUACUUCGGCGAUUGAUUAUGGCUACAUAGGCACAGCCAUACUUCGGCAGUUGAUUAUGGCUACAUAGGCACAGUCAUACUUCGGCGGUUGAUGUUAAUCACAGCUCGAGGGAAUAGCCUAUUCCAAGUUAGGCGAUUCUCUGGCUUAGUCAGGUGUUGUAAUCAAUUACUUAGAACUCCCAAUUUCCACAAAAUCGCACAAAACAACAUUCAACUAAACAAUAAACAACCAACUGCACAUUCCAUCCAAUUCACAAUUACGACACGCAAUUGCAUAAAUCACCAUUCAAUUGAACAAUCCAGCACUCAAUUAAAAAAUCCAACCAUACCAUAGCAGUCAGCACGAACUUCUAACGACCAGUCAUCCUGGUUGAAUUUCUAGAAAAUUUAAUUAAAUAAAUAAUUAAAUAAAUUCCGAAAAUUAAAUUAAUUAAAUACUAAAUAAUAUAAUUUAAUAAUAUUUAAAUUUUAAAUAAUUAAAUAAUUAAAAGUCUAAUUAGGAUUACACUAAUCUAAUCGCAUAAUUAGACUAAUUAAUCCAUUCGCUAAACUAAUCCAUCCCUUAAUCUAAUCCAUAUUUAAUUAAGCUAAUCUAACCACAUAAUCAUCAUUAGCCUAAUCUAAACACCCCUUAAGCAUGAUUAACCUCCUAAUCAAGGUUUAGUGAGUAAACUCACAAGUUUUGCAUUUCGGUGAGACCACGGCGAUGGCAAGGCGGGUGAUAAUCAAGCUUGUGGCGACACCAAGCGAGGCCAGGAAGGGCUUGAAAAUGGGUGACGAAGACUGAAGACCCUUACUGGUUUUAGCUUCUGUUCUAGACUAAACUGCAGAGAGGAAACCAGCAGCUGCAAUAGCAAAAACAGGUUGAUCGGAAUUCCGGUGAGCGGGUGGUCGACAACCAAUGGCUUACAGGGGUUAAGGGGGACUUGCUGGUGGUUGAUAUGGGUGGAGGUAGGGUCGAAAUGGGGAGAAAACGGCUGAAAGUCGUGAAAUAGGCGAAAUAGUGCAGGUGGGUGGCUUAUAAAUGGUUCGACAACCGGUUUCUUGUCGCCGUCGUACAGGACGGAAGGCGGCUCCGUCCAGCACGAGGUUGGGCUCCUUUGAACGGUUUGGAUGUACUGAGCACAACGGUGGGUGGCACGAAGGCUAAUUCGUCCGGGAAGACCACUUUUAACUCAGAUCUUCGGUGAAAGGUCAAUUGGAGCAGAAAUCGGCAGGAGAGAAAACAGAGGAGGAAAAUGGGGUCUACGGGCAAGCGACAGUUGAGGGGCUAGUGUGCUCGGUUUUCUCUGGUUCUCUUGAGCUUCCAAGGAACCUCAACAAUGGAGAAAGCCACAAUGGAGGAAGAAGGGCUACUGAAGAGAGGGGUCCCUUUGGUGGCUUCUAAGGGCUCAACACUUGUCUUUAUUUCCUCACUCUUGCCCCCACCAGCCAUUAGCCCCUACAGCGCUUUCUCUCACUUCAAUCUUCCUCAACAAGCUUGUCAAUAGGUCCAAAAUAUUCCUCCCCCCAUAGCAUACGAAUUUUGUGACUUUGCCCUUCAAUUUCAUUCAAUUUCUCAUCCAAUCAAUCCAAAUUGAAGCCCACAAAUCCAACUAACGUGUCUUCACUUGAUUCCAUAUUUUUCCUUGUCUAUUGAACCAUCUUGGAUGUCAAAAGUUCGAUAAAAAACGGGCCAACGAAUUUCCCAAUCCAAUUCCACCAAAUCUUGAUUUUUCACUGAAAAUCUCAGUUUGUAGAAAAAUCUUCGAAAGAUGAGUUGGCGCUCCUAAAAUGACUUUUGACAUAACAAAACUCUCAAUUUCUGAAUUCGGGUUUGAUUUCGCGGUUAAUUUCAAUCUUGCAUAAUUUUAGCGCAUUCCAAUCUACCAAGUAGCUUUUAGGAAUUUUUUGUACAAUUGAUUCGUGGUCGAUUGUUUUCAAGCCACACGUACAUCGUCUACACAUUAGCGACUCUCGGUUGUCAUAAAAAUCUUGAGAUUUCAAAUACGAACACAGGGUAUCAAAGCGAUAGAGAAGUCAGUCUAGUGCCGAUCAACAACAAUUAUAUAAUUAGAUGGAAUCACCCACACUUAAUCACAUGGCUCUAUCAAGUCGACCUUUCUCCAGUCUCUAAUCAGUUUGUGCCGUAAUGACCCUUGCAGAUUAGUACGGUCGAGCAAUGAAUUCCUGGUCGAAUUCUCGAGUCUAUUGCGUUUAGAUUCCUUAACAGAGGCGUUGGAAUUCCUCCAUCUUCCGCUCUCAGGUGCUAUCAGAGUAAUACUUGUCGUUGAAUGUUCUGAGGAAGGCUGUGGCGCCCCUCGACAUGGCCCCCCGAUCCGUUAGGGUCGCUACAGUUCGCUUACCUUUCACUUUCCCUAAUAACAUGUCACUCGGAUACCAUUUCAAUUGUAGCGGAUCCAUACAACCUAGGGGUUUACAUAUUUUAGAUCGGUCCCUUGCGCAAUUCAUAUAAAGGAAGCAUAUCCAAAAACUCCUUUCCCUAUAUUCAUAAAACGAUGCACACCAACUAAAUAUUUAUAGGUAAAAGCCGAACACUUUUAUUUACUUAAACCAGAUGAACAUCAUUCAUCGGUACAUCAAAAUGCCAUAGUUUUCUAUACUUGGCUAUACUUCAAAAGAUAACCGACAUCUCCUCCAACAGUCGUAUACUUAAAGUCCAUCGAUCAAUGUCGACGUCCAAAAGUUCCUUCCUUUGCUAUCCUCCUCCUCGCGGUCAUAUCCAACCACUUGAUCCAUCUACUGGUGGCAGUGGUAGCAGAGGUAUCUUGUCUAAUCUGAAAUGUAAGUCCCCAAACGGGGUGAGUACAACUACUCAACAGUAAAUAUCCACCAAACUACUCAAUGCGUCAAACAGAACAAUCAAGGUAUCAUGAACAAAGCACAUAUCAUUCAUGCAUUAAAGCAUACCUUACCUUGCAGUUGUGCAUAUAUCACCAUUCAGUCAUGCAUAUCUCGCCAUGCCAUCAUGCAUAUACCACCAUGCACUUAUGCAUAUCUCACCAUGCCAUCGUGCAUAUACCACUAUGCACUCAUAUCAUCCAUGUUAUCAAGCAUACAUCACCAUGAGAUCCAUUCACGCCUUCGUGAUUGCAUUUUCAAUAUCAAAUAGCAUCAAUUUAUUUUCAUAAGCAGAUCAUGCAUCAUGCCAUAUGCAUACACCCAUGCACACGAUUCAAUUUCAAUUCUUAUCUUUGAUAAGGAUCCCAUCAUUUUUCAUUCAGGGACCAAUGUUUGCAUCCCUCAUUUAUUGCUCGCACCCAACCUGGCAUCACGAGAAACCUCCAAUCAUGCAUCAUAAUACAACCCCUCACCCUCCGGGCAUGUAUCAUAAUACAACUAGGCAUCCAAAGGGCAUCGACUCAUUCGAACCUCUGGGCAUCUCGCAUCCCACUUGGUAUCGCGAGGAAUCUCCGGGGCUCGCCAUGAAAAUGGUUACCCCUACCCUCUGGGCAUGCAUCAUAAUACAACCCCUCACCCUUCGGGCAUGUAUCAUAAUACAACCGGGCAUCCCGACACUCCUGGGGAAAACCUCUGGGCAUGUAUUCAUAAUACAACCAGGCAUCCAAAGAGCAUCAACUCAUUCGAACCUCUAGGCAUCCCAACUCCCGGGGCAUCGUCAGCUCACACCUCUGACGGUAUCAUCAUUAUCACAAUUUAUAUUCACACAUGUAUCUCAAUUUCAACAAUGGCAUUUGAUGCAACAAUAUCAAGGGUCUCAACCAGCUUUUGAUGCCAUAUAACAUGCCAUAUGUCAGCACAUAUAUAGCAAAAUCAACCACUCAAAGCAUUACAUCACAUGGAAAAAUUCAUUUAUUUUUGAAAGCGCAUCAAUUUUCGAAUAAAAACAUAAUACACUCCUUUAGUUAAAACUCUAGGAAAAUUAGUGAAUGGUAUAAAUAAAUUCUGAAAACUUGACACAUUAUAGACGAGACCUAAAGGCAGAUAUCUCAUGAAUAACACCAUACCAAAAGAACUUCACACAAAACAGCACGGUCCAUGCAUCACAGUUUUCAGGACUUCAAUAUUUCAGCUUGCAAAGUCUCGGAAAGAAUUUAAAUUAAAUAUCCAAAUGAACUCCAAAAAGUCUGAGAUUUUUACAUGUUAUAGACAAGUCCUAAAGGUAAAUAUAUCAUGAAGAAAUCGAAACCCAAAUCAUUCUAGAUUAAUAGAUAUAUGAUUUAUUCCUCCUGUUCCCGGUGUCGUCUUUUUCCAGACUAUCAUCUUUCAAAAGAAACUCGUUUCACUGACCUACAUAUAUUCGUUCCUUCUACAUUUUCAAUAUGUUAUUCCUCAGAAUAUUACCUACAAAUUGCAUUAAGGACACAUGAUCAAAUUUUAACUGUAUGAUUUUAUAAAAAAAAAUCACAGAAUCAUACUAGGUCGAAGUAGCAUUUUCCCAGAUCCAGUUUCUUCAAAGAACAACGAUUUCACCGAUCUAUUUUUGUUCAUUUCCUAUAAAUUUUUUAUAUGUUCUACCUCAAGAAGUACACUAAAACUUUCAUUAAGAGAUCAAAGUGAUAUUUUCACAAGAAAGCUACUUUACAGACCACGAAAUGACUAAAGGUCAGCACAACAAAUUCCAGUUCUAGUCUCUCCAAAGGAAAAUCGUUUCACCAGGAAAUCCUUGUCCUUUUUGUCUCAAAUUUUAGUAUGUUAUCCCUUAAGAUGUUCUCUACAACUUUCAUGAAGAGGUCAAAGUGAGAUUCCAAAUAAAAAGUCGCAUGCAGCUCACAAACUCGUGAAGGGUUGGACUGAUUUUUCCAGAAAACAGCAUGCUAGGCCAACGAAUUUCUCCUCAUAGCUUCGACCUUUCAUCACAUCUACCACAACCAAAAUUCACCAUCUUCUACACACACAUCACAACAAGAAAAUGGUAGAUUUUAGGACUCUACUUGCCUCUAAUCCAAAGAAAACACAGCAAGACAACGGCGGGGCGAGGCAGGCUCGACAGCGGCAGCACGGUCUCAGCGGAAGGCAGUCCUCCUUCUCGCGGCUCACGUCCAAACGUCCGUUCACCCUCUCUCUCAGUCUCUCUCUCUCUCUCUCUCUCUCUCUCUCUCUCUCUCUCUCUCACUUCCGAAACCCCCCUCCCUUUUUGCUCCUUGAUUAACAAUUAAUCUCUAUUUUUGCAUGUAAGGGACAAGUGUUCUCAUGAGGAGAACAAGUGGAAAAUUAAUGGGGCAAUCCAAGGACAAGUGUUCUUGUGAGAUCGACAAGUGGCUUCAUGAUGAUUACAAGUGGAGAGGGUUGCAUAGUCUUCUCUCCAUCCGGUUCCUUCCUCUCCCCCUUCUCUUUUGGUCGACACUCUUGGGGGCUCUUUGGGCCUGCUUGGGCCCAAAAUUCUGAGGCCAAAAGUCCAAACUAAAAUGACCCAUGGUCCCCAAAAAUAUAGGCCCAUAAUUAUGAAGCAUAAAUAUAUAACCAAAGAAAUAAAUCUAUACUCUUAUAUAUAUAUAUAUAACCAAAAUCUUUACAUGAAACAUUUUCGAUCAAGUGACAAGGUUUCUUUUCCUUUCUCGUCAAAUCGCACAAACAAGAGACAUUACACGAUUUUUCAAGCAAAAACCGAAUUCCACUCCUUCGGUACAAAAUUUAAUUUGACCAAUGUCAAUGUUCCUCUCUUGUUCCAUAUAUACUUAAUUGGUGUAGUUGAAUUCUCGGAUGCCACAAAGGCGUCCCACAUUGGAACCACGCCUUCAGGAAAUACCGUACCUCUGGUGGCUCUCCACCAAGUAUUAGUGUUACCUUGCAGCUGGUAUAUUACAAAGACAACCUUUUCCCUUUCAGUGCAUAUCAGGAGCUCAAAGGCUUUCUCCAGAUCUUGGAUCCAAAGCAACGCAGCUUCAGGAUCUCCUGCGCCAUUGAACCUUGGCGGGUUCAGCUUCAAGAACUGCUCCACGAGCUUAUGAGUCGAUCUAUCUCCCGAUACCACUACAUUCUUAGUUGGGACUUUGGCAGGUGCGGCCUUAGCAGCGGCAGCAAUGGCAGUAGUAGCAGCGACGGCGGCUUGAUUUUGGGCCUGUUGCCCCAUCAUGUUUCUCAUGGCCUCAAGUGCCUACAUAAUCCCUUCGAUUAUGGGAUCACUAGGGGCUGCUACCCCAGCACCUACAGGAAGCAAUGCUACUCCACUAGCGUUGGCCUCAGCCUGCACUCUACCACAGCCACCUUAGGUACCGACCCUAGCCGACUUGCUACCCCGAGUGACUGGACCCACGGUCCUCUUUCUAGGAGUCCGCUCCUGAUCACUCAUCUACAGGAUCUUUAGAGAUACAUGUUUUCCAAUUCCAAUACUAUAUUAGAAUUUGAGUGAUCUCACAAAACAAUUUAUCAAACAACUAUCACUGACAUGCAUCAGCAUAAUCAAAGGCCUUUCCUACUAACUAUUCCAUGACCCAUCACACCUUAUCACUCCAUUCAUAGACUCGCUCUGAUACCACUUAAACAGGGAUGUCACGCCCCGAUCCUCGAGCGCGCACCCAUCCCUCACUGGUUGACAAAAUUUGUGACUUCCCAGGACACGUCGCCGACCUAUUCAUUUUUAAUAUGCAUGCGGAAGCAAAACAAUAACAAAACCCCUGACAAUAAAUAGCAUGGGAUAGAAAAGCAAGGCAACAGUUCUCAAAAAGCAACUUUUAUAAACAAUGGGGUUUAGUUACAAAACGAGUCUGGUCAAAAGGUUACAACAAGUCGGCUCUCAAAAAGAAGCUAUCCUACGACAUACUAGUCGGACACAGACGCCGAUCCUUCAGACUCCACCUCCACAGACCCCAAGGCUUCAGUCCUCCACAAUCACCAUCUACGGACCUCAAAAUGGUUAUACAAUAACCAGUGAGACAAUAUCUUAGCAAGUUCACCCUCUAAACCCCUAUUAGGAAGGAAAUACACUCAGGGUGGCCUAGUCACACAACACAAAGGACUUACCUUGCCUCAGUUCCUUCUUGCACGUUAGCACAAUUCAUAACUCAUACACAUGCAAUCAUCACUCAACAAUUGGAACGCAUCAUACUAUAACUCAAUCAGCUUCCCGUUCCAAAUUAUUAAUCACGGCCACUCAUGGGUACGACCUACUCCAAGCUAGGCGGUCUACUGGUGUGAUCAGGUUAAUCACGGCCUAAAUGGCACAACCUACUAAAUGUUCGGCGGUAAAUCACAGCUCAAUGAGCACAGCCUACUUCCAGGUUCAGCGGCUAAUCGCAACCAAAUAGGCACAUCCAUAUUUCGGCGGUUAAUCACGACCACUUUGGCACAUCCCCACUUCGGCGGUUAAUCCUAGCCACAUAGGCACAGCCAUACUUCGGCGGUUGAUCACGGCCACAUAGGCACAACCAUAUUACGGUGGUUGAUGUUAAUCAUGGCUCAAGGGCACAACCUAUUCCAAGUUAGGCGGUUCUCUGGCUUAGCCAGAUGUCGUAAUCAAUUACUUACAACUCCUAAUUUCCACACAAUUGCACAAAACAGCAUUCAACUAAACAAAAAACAACCAACCGCACACAUUCCAUCCAAUUCACAAUUACGACACACAAUUGCAUAAAUCACCAUUCAAUUGAACAAUCCAGCACUCAAUUACAAAAUCCAGCCAAACCAUAGCAGUUAGCACGAACUUCUAACGACAGGUCAUCUCGGUCGAAUUUCCAGAAAAUUUAAUUAAGUAAAUAAUUAAAUAAAUUCCAAAAAUUAAAUUAAUUAAAUACUAAAUAAUAUAAUUUAAUAAUAUUUAAAUUUUAAAUAAAAAAUUAAUUAAAAAAUUAAAAGUCUAAUUAGGAUUACACUAAUCUAAUCGCAUAAUUAGACUAAUUAAUCCAUCUGCUAAACUAAUCCAGCCCUUAAUCUAAUCCAUAUUAAAUUAAGCUAAUCUAACCACAUAAUCAUCAUUAGCCUAAUCUAAACACCCCUUAAGCAUGAUUAACCUCCUAAUCAAGGUUUAAUGAGUAAACUCAUCGGUUUUGCGUUCCGGUGAGUCCACGGCGACGGCAAGGCAGGCGACAAUCAAGCUUGUGGCGACACCAAGCGAGGCUGGAAAGGGCUUGAAAACGGGCGAUGAAGACUAAAGACCCUUGCUGGUUUCAGCUUCUAUUCUAGGCUGAACUACAGAGAGGAAAUCAGCAGCUGCAAUGGCGAAAGCAGGCUAAUCAGAGCUCCGGUGAGCAGGUGGUCAGCAACCGGUGGCUCUCGGGGGUCAAGGGGGACUUACUAGUGGUUGGUAUGAGUCAAGGUAUGGUCAAAAUGGGGAGAAAACGGCUGAAAGUCGCAAAACAGGCGAAACAGUGCAGGCAGGUGGCUCCCAGACGGUCCGGCGACCGGUUUCUUCUCGCCGGCGUAUAGGAUGACUAGCGGCUCCGUUUAGCACGAGGUCGAGCUCCUUUGAACGGUUUGGAUGUGCUAAGCACAACGGUGGGUGGCACGAAGGCUAAUUCGUCCGAGAAGACCACUUUUAACUCAGAUCUUUGGCGAAAAGUUAGCUGGAGUAGAAACCGGCAUGAGAGAAAACAGAGGACAAAAAUGGGGUCUAUGGGCAAGCGACGGUGGAGGAGCUGGUGUGCUCGGUUUUCUCUGUUCUCUUGAGCUUCCAAGGAACCUCAACAAUGGAGAAAGCCACACAUUAAGGAGGAAGAAGGGCUGCUAAAGAGAGGGGUCCCCUUGGUGGCUUAUAAGGGCUCAACACUUGUCUUUCUCUCCUCACUCUUGCCUCCACCAGCCAUUAGCCCCUACGGCAGCUUUCUCUCACUUCAAUCUUCCUCAACAAGCUUGUCAAUAGGUCCACAAUGUUCCUCCCCCCAUGGCAUACGAAUUUUGUGACUUUGCCCUUCAAUUUCAAUCAAUUUCUCAUCCAAUCAAUCCAAAUUGAAGCCCACAAAUCCAACCAAGGUAUCUUCACUUGAUUCCACAGUUUUCCUUGUCCAUUGAAUCAUCUUGGAUGUCAAAAGCACAACCAAAAAUGAGCAAAUGAAUUUUCUAAUCCAAUUCCGCCAAAUCUUGAUUUUUCGCCGAAAAUCUCGGUUUGUAGAAAAAUUUUCGGAGGAUGAGUCAACGCUCCUAAAAUGACUUGUGACAUACAGAACUCUCAAUGUCUGAAUUCAGGUUCGAUUUCGUGGUUAAUUUCAAUAUGACGCGAUUUUAGUACGUCCUAAUCUACUGGGUAGCUUUUAGGAAUUUUUCCUGCAAUUGGCCCGUGGUCGAUUGUUUUCGAGCCACAUGUAUAUCUUCGACACAUUAGUAACUCUCGGUUGUUGUAGAAAUCUCAAGAUUUCAAAUACAGACACAGGGUACCAAAGCGACAGAGAAAUUGGUCUAGUGCCGAUCGAUAAGAAUUGUGCAAUUAGAUGGAAUCACCCACACUUAAUCACAUGGCUCUAUUGAGUCGACCUAUCUCCGGUCUCUAAUCGAUUUGUGCCGUAAUGACCCUUGCAGAUUAGUACGGUCGAUCAGUCGAUUCCUGGUCGAAUUCUCAAGUCUAUUGCAUUUAGAUUCCUUAACGGCUUCACCUGAUAGACUAGUUAUCCCAUGAGUGAUCAGCUCAGGGAAAAGGAUUAUAUGCACGUUGAUAAAAAGCCCAACUUAUUCAAUCGAAAUCAGAACCUGAAAUUCAGGAUGUCACAUUACAGGUCCACCAACUUUCGCCUGGUUCAAACCCGAACUACACAUCUACUAGAGGGGUCUCGUUUCGAUAGGGACUAACUUACAGAGAUAUUAUCUACUUGGCCUAUCCCAUACUAAGCCUUAUGGUUUUGUUCUUUGUCGCAAAAGUAAUCACUAUCCCAAGAGAUCAUCCAUCCUAGUCCAUUGCUUACGGAUCUAGUCCAUUCCCACUACCAAGUCCAUUUCUAAAAUUUGUCCCCCUAUGGUUAUCUUACACUUCUCACCUACUAACGUGGACAACACCAUGUUCUUCAGCGGUGUAGAAAUAUGAAGAGGCAUAUCUAAAGAUUUGGUUCCUAUUUCUCCAAAUCGUCUAUAUCUCUCAGACACAAAUGAAUGCGUGUCACUCAAGUCAAAUAAUGCAUAUGCCUUUUAUCAUUUAUAGAAAUCAUACCUGGGUUAACUUUUUUGGAAGCUUCCACUUCCUCUUGGGUGAUUGCAUACACCUUUCCUUGUGUUGAUGGUCUCUAUGAUUUCCCUUGUGGAGGUGGUCCGCCUACACAUAGUUGCACUUGUCGCAUCGAGUUGACAUUUAGUUGCAAUCCUUCUUGUGGACAAUUUCUCUUAAAGUGACCUCUCUGUCCACAACCAAAACACUUCAGUUGAUCAUUACAGGGUCCUAGUCCAUGUUGUCUACCACACCUUGGGCAAAAAUUGUUUUGAUAUGGCACUUUACCUAGAGCCUAACCACUCUGGGUCUUUUCGAAAUUUCCAAAAUUUCGCUUUUUCUUAGAAUCCCAAUGUAGCUCUUGGGCUAGAUAAGGUCUCUUGCCUUGUCAGGCAUCACUCAAUGUUAAUUGCCUCCCUGAUUCCAUUCGCUCCCUUAUCACUUCCUGUUCCACAAGAUGUGCCAUUUCAUUAUAAUCCCUCAUAUUCAGAGGCACUAGUUGCCUCUGAAUAUCCGUUCUCAGGCACUUCAUAAAUCUCUUAGCCUUUUCCUCUCGAUCCUCUAUCAAUCUAGGGGCAUGCCUAGACAGCUCAAAAAAUUUCGCUUCAUGCUGGUCUACCAUCUUAUUUACAGUUGAUUAGUUUGUUAGACUAACUAGGUUAGAGCUGAAAUUAUUGGAAAUGAUCCUCAGUAUCUCCACCCUUAUGAAAGAUAAGGUGUUAUUUGUUCUAGGUUGUUACGGGUGUAAGAUAGUUGUUAAUGGGUGAAAGGAAUUAAUAGAUCUAGCCGGUUGAUGUAUGACUUUGAUGUCAUAAUUGGAAUAGAUUGGCUCAAAAAGCAAUGAGCCACUGUUGAUUGAUUUAGUAGGGCCAUACAGUUUAACCCUAUUGGUAGUUUUAGUUAUGAGUUUAUAAGAAACAAAUGUGAACCGUCUACACCCUUAAUUUCUUCGCUUGAGGUAGAAUAGUUGCUAGAGGAAGGUUGCCAAGGCUUUCUGGCAAUGGUUGAAGAUCUGACGAUAGAAGAGCCACAUUUAGAGGAUAUCAUUAUGGUACAAGAAUUGGCGGAUGUCUUUUUGAAGUAAUUACAAGGAUUGCCUCCAGAAAGAGAGAUAAAGUCCGUUAUUAAAUUGGCCCCAAGAACGUAACCAAUCUCUAAGGCACUAUAUCGUAUGUUACUAUCCGAAUUGAAGGAACUGAAGGUACAAAUGCGAGAAUUCCUUGAUAAGGGAUUCAUUCGUCUUAGCAUAUCGCCUUAGGGAGCGCCUGUCUUGUUCAUCAAGAAGAAGGAUGGAUCACUACGACUAUGCAUCGAUUACCAACAACUCAAUCAGGUGACGAUCAAGAACAAGUACCCUUUGCCGAGGAUAGACGACCUAUUUGAUCAAUUUCAAGGAGCUUCAAUGUUCUCGAAAAUAGACGUGAGGAUAGGCUAUCAUCAGCUGAGGAUCAGAAAAGAAGAUAUCCUUAAAACCGCAUCUCAGAUGCAACACAGCCACUAUUAGUUUACACCGAUGCCGUUUGGGUUAAUCAAUGCCCCAACUACUUUAAUAGACUUAACAAACUAAGUUUUCAAGGCGUACUUAGAUCAGUUCAUCAUAGUUUUCAUCAAUGACAUAUUGGUGUAUUCAAAAAGCUCAGAGGAGCACAAAUAACAUUUGAAGAUGGUGUUGCUAACUCUUCAAGAAUAUGCAUUUUACGCCAACUUUAGCAAGUGCAAAUUUUGGCUCAACCAAGUGGCGUUUCUAGGACAUGUAAUAUCAGGCAAAGGGACCUCAGUGGAUUCAACAAAGAUCAAACGGUUGUGAAUUGGCUAAGACCUAUAAAGGUGAAAGAAGUUCAAAGCUUUCUAGGAUUGGCUAGCUAUUAUCGGCAAUUUGUGGGAAGGUUCUCUAGAAUAGCCACAUCUUUCAUGAGAUUGCUAAAGAAAGAAGUGAAGUUUGAAUGGACGGAUAAGUGCGAGAAGAGGUUUCAAGAACUUAAGCACAAGUUGACGAAUGCCCCAGUGUUAACUAUUCCGUCUAGUCUCGGUCAGUAUGAGAUCCAAAGUGCCGCCUUGUUUAAAAGAUUAGGUUGCGUUCUGAUGCAACAUAGACAAGUAGUGACCUAUGUGUUUAGGCAACUGAGGCCGCACAAGAAAAAUUAUCUAACACACGACUUGGAAUUGGCAGCAAUUAUCUUCCCCUUAAAGAUUUGAAGAUGUUGAUAUUUGAUUUUUAGUUGAUGUAUCGGAAAAAAAAAAUCGAGAUUUGGAUUUUUUAUUGCAACAUAACUUGUUCCUCAGCAAAAAAAAAAAAAGUGUCAUUUUUUGUUUCUUUCUAUGGCAUUGUCACUUUUAAGUAAUUUUCAAUUCAUUUUAUGGCAAAAACCUAAAAAGUCAAAAGGCUUUUGACUUUUUAGGUUGACAUUUUAGUCAACUUUUUGACCAAAAGUCAACUUGAUGUAAAAAAAUUGUAUUUUUGCCCAAAAAGAUGCCAUUUAGCCUUAGUUUCACCUUUGUCAAAUCAAUUUUUCAAAAAUUCAAAUAUUUGACCAAGAAAUCAACCUUUUAGAAAAUGGUUAACUUUUAGCUAAACUUUUGACCAAAAAAAUUGGAAAAACCAAAAAUCUCCAAGACGUGUUCUUUAGUGUCAAUUUGAUUUGUGUUGAAAAUUUCACAAAAUUCGAUUAAGAACCUACUUUUCUAACUGUUCCAAAUUGACCAAAAAUAAAAUUACUUUCAUUUUGUCAUAAUUAGGUGUGAUUCAUUUUUUGACAUUUGGUUUAGGGACUAUUCUAUAUCCACUCACGCAUUCGAUUUUGUGAAUGGCCGAGUCAAAACCAAAUUGUCACUUUAAGCCCUAAUUAAGGGGAUCAAAAUCGAUUCUUCAUAAUUUGCGAAUUGACAAUUGUUUUCCAUUCAUUUUUCUCAAGAUAAGUCCAAAUUCGAAAUCAAUUUUGAGAAGUUCACAUUAGAAAUUCUUGAUUUGAGGGAUUUCACUCUCUUAAAGGUAAGAAAACCAAGCCAACAUGAUUCAAUCGAAAAAAUUCAAAUUGACCCAUUUAAGAUUAAGGUCUGAUUGCAUGAAUCUAAGUUCAAUUUUAAUAUUAGACCUUGAUUUAGUUUUGGCUUGAAUCUCAGCACUUUAAUUCAUAGUCAAUUUGAAUACUCUAAGUGAUCUUACAAAUGGCUAGCUAAGUAGAUAGGGAAAUUGCAACAUCAAUUGGGCUCAAUUAUCAUCAAUUUGCAAUUUUACCCAAUGAAUUGCAAAAUUAUUCAUUUUAGCCCUUUAAGGACAACUUUAAGUACCCAUGGUUUUGGUCCAUUGUCAUUUAUAACAAUCACUAAAUAAAGUCAAUAAAAGACCCUUAGAACACAUUUAUGAAGGUUAAUUGGCUUGAUUGAAUUAAGAAUUUCCUCUUUAAUCAAGUAAGUUUUCCUUUCAAUUUGGUCCUUGAGGGACCAAAUUACAUAAAUUUUGAACUCACGAGGGCCAUAAGUGUGUGAACCAAUUAGAACCGGGUCAAACCAGUCGAAAAAUCAAUCAAGAACCAAGCAAAUCGGCGUGACCCAAUCUGACCAAUCUGAUCACCCUCCAACGAGGUCGGCCAAUUCAGCCUCUUACCAUUCGGUUCUAGACCUCUGGCAAUCAAUUAUGAGACCUUUACCGUGCCAAUUUCAGUUGUGCAUUCUCAAUUUUCCAUAAUUUUGCAAAUUGACCCUUGAAUUUCCUAAAAUUACAAUUUGACCCAUAAUUAGGUUUGUUAACGUAGUUCUCGAUUUAGUCUUGGCUUUUUGCGAAUCAAACCCAUUGGAUCAAUUACCUGACACCUCUAGAUGAUAAUCAAGCUUUCAAAAUUAAAUUUUGCUCGUUAGAUUAAGAUUUGACCAUCGGAUCAAACUAAUGGCCGAGAUCGUUAAAUUUGGGAUUGGUAUAAAUACCAAGUUUCCCUCCAAUAUGGGGGGCUCAUUUUUCUGCAAUUCUCUCUCUCUAAAAUAUAUUUUCUCUUUCUUCUCUCUCUCACAUUUUCUCGCCGACCUCCCAUCUCCAUCACUCCGAAUGCGCCAGCUGCGCCCCUCACCAGCAGCCACUUGAUUAGCGUCACUACCCAUUGUAAUCCCCAUCCCUCUCUCUCCUUAGUCGUAAAGCUCAGUUGUUAAUUAGUUGGUCGAAGUCUCUUGCUACAGCCUCUUCUCUGAUGUGUCUAAAGACUAGCAUCCAUACCGAUUCUAACUUCAUCCGAGCGAAUUGGCUGAACCAAACACCAUGCGGUGGCCCCCGACACCUGACCGUUGCCGAUCUGAUAGUAAUGGAGACCCCGACCCUCCGGUGGAUCAUCUUUGGUUGUCGUUUGUUCUGCCAAAAGCUCUGAAGGCCAAUCUAGGUGGACUGGUUCUGUUUGAAGCCGGUUUGGUUAUUCAGCAGUUUUAUUAGGCAAUCCGAUCGUCACUGACCAAGCGGUUAGAGACAACAAGAAAAGUCAUUGGAAUCGAGCUGGCGACCUCAAGUUCUUCCAGUAAACCCAAACUGAUCUAGGUGGGACUGGUUUUGCUCCUGAAGUAAACCAGCGGCUUAAUCUUCCUAUGGCAAUUCAUAGCGGUUUGGUUCGACCCUUAAAGAACUGAUCGAACUCUUAUCAAACUUCAGCAAGUGCUCAUUCGUCCAAUUGCAUUUGGAAUCACCAAAACCGAAACGAAGGUAAAUCUCUAGAUCUUAAAUCCCGUGAAGCGAGACCAAAUUAGCUAGUUAGGGCUAGGAUUCAAACCUAGGGUUUUGUAAAAUGCUUGGAUAUUUGAUUGAUAGACUUGAACAUUGAUUUGUUGUGAUUGAUUGUUCAUCAAUUAUGAACUUGAGAUGGUUGAACUUGAUUUGCUUCAAAUCAGUGAUUUUUGUGCUUCUAAAACUAACUAGCUAUUUUGGCUAAAUCGAGGUCUUAGAUGGCCUCUUUUCUAUGCAAGCUCUCUUAGACAUAGGAAGUAGACUCUAUGAGCUUCAAAUCGAUAGGUCCCACGCCUCAAUUGAGCGACAUUUGACCCCCCAAAAAACAUGUCACAAUCUGCUCGAUUUUUGUAGAUUCUUGGUGCUCUUUAAGUGUAGUCCUUAGUCCACUCAAUGUUUUGUUAUUUUUGCUCUACUCUUUGUGACGAUUUUUGGACAAACUUGUCUUCAUUGCUAGGUCAAAACUACUUAGAUUUAAGUAUUACUCAGUCUGCCCUGUUUUGAUUCAAGAUGAACUUAGGUAAAUUUGAGCAUAAAAUUGACCUUGUUCAACCUUAAGGCCUUCAUGAAGAAUGAACUGUAUGCUUUCCAUUGAUGCAAAAUUUUGAGGUUAUGCAAUGUGUCAAUUGCAUGCAUAAAGGUGCUCAGGUGCUGCUUUAAUAAAAAAGAUUAACCAUGCAAGUCUAUUUUGUCAUUUUUAUCAUAACUCGUGUAAUCAUAAUUAGGAUUUGAGUCCUUAAUGAAAAUGUUCAUCAUCGCUCAUUCUAUAUGGCUUAUUUUUAGUAGAAUUUAUACACAUCCUUAAGUAGUCAAAAUUUGGCAUGUUCUCAGCCCUCACUAUAGGAUUACAACUUUACCAUGUGCAUACCUUCGCGUGUGUAUUUAGGUCUUUUAGAGACCAAAUUUCGCGUUAGCGCCUUCUUGACAUUUGAACUACAUGUUACAAGCUUUGUAUUCAUGAAUAGUUCAUCAUAUUUAAAUGUCAUUUCGCAUGUUAAACUUGAGCCACAAUAAUGCUUGUUGCACUUAAGAAAAAUUUAAGUGUCAUUAUAAGCACUUAAUCAUGUUGUAGUGAAAUCAAAUCACUAAGCUAUCAUUAUGUGAUAAGUAACUUGUGAUAAGUAGUUAUGUGAUAAGUUAUUAUGUAGUGAUAAGUGUUGUGUGAGAAGUUGUUAUGGCAUGUUAUAUUAAUGUCAAAAGUUAAUAUGUGGUGAUAUGUGGCAUGUAAUAUGAUGUCGUGGUAUGUUAUAUUAAUGAAAUAAGUCGUAGGAUAGGUAAUUGCAAUAAUUUGAACUUUAGGCAACGACUUAACUUAUCUUUAAUAAGUAUUCUAUACUUGAGUCCCUAUGAUAAGAUGCAUCGUUUGUGACAUCCUGAAAUUCCAGCCCUCUGAGGGAUGAUUGAAUGUGAAUUUUGUCAAUGCAUUAUUGGUUGAUCUCACUCGGAAUUGAUCACUCCUGAGAUACUGACCUUGAGGGGAAAGGCUAAUGAGCACAGAACUUGUACGAUUAAAGAACUUGACCUAGGAAAACGACUUGACCAUGAGACUUGCGUGAGGACGAUCCUGUAGAUAGGCAGACCGAUUUCAAGGAUGACUAGAAGUUGAUUCGCAGACAAAACAUAAUGGAACGAUGGGUGAUUCUGUUUACUGUUAUCGAGCCCGUGAAUGACCCUAGGUCGAUCCUCAGUAAUUGUGUACUUUGAAAUAAGAAUCUAUCCUCCGCAAAUUCAUAUAGUCAAUGAUGUCCAUGUGGAGAUGUCUUGAACGUGGUUUGGCACGAGUCGGUUACGCGUGAAUCCUCGAAGCCGCCUAUCAGUCUGAGUUGUACCCAAAAUGGCACUGGGGCAAAAUUGACAUGGCACAACAACCCAAGAUUGGACUUCGAAUUAUCGGGAAUGUCUGAGAUGGACUUUGGAUGUGCUAUUUUGACCGGCGGCACAGCCAGUUAAGUCGAGUAUUUGGAAAAGGGAUUUUCGGACCGAGGAAUCUAGCCUAUAAGGACAUGGACUGGGCAAGGCCAGUGUGGGCCUUAGGCCCAAGGUGGGAUAGCCACCAUGGUGGGCCUAAAGCAAGCAAGUGAGCCCAUUGGGCCCAACCCACCAACUCACCUUCAAAACCCAUUGUCUAAGCCUCGAACCAUUUCAAGCCCAAUCAAUUCCCAAGCCCAUUCCUAUUCAUUUCCAAGCCCAUUUCUUAGGGCCGCCCAUCAUUUUUGGCCUGAGGACAGAUUGGGAAUUUGUGCAAGGUGGAAAUGACCAUUUUGAAAUAGCUAGUAUAAGCACCUAGAGGGGGGUGAAUAGGUGUAAAAAUAAUUCUUCGAGAUAUAAGAGCAAUACUAAGCAGACAAUAUAAAGGAAGUUCUUCUUGGGUUAACAAAGUGAAUUAUGAUCAAAGUAAAGCAGAGAGUAGGGAAGAGAAAAUUGAACACGAGGUUUAUAGUGGUUCGGCUUAUUUCAAGCCUACGUCCACUCUUCCGCACUAACAGCCCACCGGCUGGAUUUCACUAUGAACAAAAGAGAUGUUACAUCAAGUCUCUUCCUUGAUUCCACAGUGUGGAAACUCUACCACACUUCCUCAAGGUCUCUUAACGAAAUAGACUCUCUUUUGUGUACAAGAUUUCGCUUAACAAAUGAUUUGACUAAGAACAAAGAGCUUUAGACUUUGGAAUUCUUCUAUCGUGCACACACUCAAACAACUGGAACGUCUUCCUUUUAUACUCCUUUAUGCCAUCAUACCCGUUGGCACUUACCAAAGGAAUUCCUCCAAUCUACCUGUUGGACGGAAUCAAUUAGGAAGAUCAUUCGAGCUAUUAAAGGAACAUGUCGAUAGCCCAUCAAUCAUGCUCGCACAUACAAUCAGGAUCUCGGUUUCCAUAAGUAGAACCUUCCAAGUAUACUUCGCCAAUCAUCAGAUCCUUAAUCUCUUAAUCAAGCAUGAUCAAAUAAAGGAUUCCGUUAUGUCAUAUCCAGCCAAGAGAUCUUAUCCAGUCGAUAAGGUCAAAUCCUUAAUGAAACACCCAGUUCUGGAUAACCCUUCUUCGACGGUCUAGAAACUGUCAAUGAGAAUAGACUUUUAGUCUUGAGUCUAGCAGUCCGGAGGUCUUCAGACUUUGAAUAGUAGAGUCUGCAAAUCUUCAGACUAGACUGAUGGAAACGUUUUGUCAGCUUCAAAAUAUUCCAGGAAGAUUUCUCCAACACAUUUUACCCCUAAAAGCAUGUGGAUAAGGCAAAGGAAGAGAGAGAAGAUGAGGUCACCUUGCAUGGGGACUUGAAGCAAGCUUUCAAGGGCUUAAUGAGGUUUGACAACCAGCCAUCACAUCACUCUCUCUCCCUUCCUUCAGCCCUCUCUCGACCGAACUCUCUCUCCCCUUGUUUCUCCUUUCUUAUUUCUUCUUUCUUCUACUCUAACAAACCGUCCUUUAGAAACAGGAGUUGAUUAUUCGCUUCUUGUGCGAAGCAGCUCCCAUGCCACCCACCACCAUGCUCAGGACACCCAGACCGUCCGCCUGGACCCGACCGUUCAUCGAUCGAAGCCACCAGCUGACCUGCUGGCCGGCCAGAAGCUGCCACUCGCCGGACUGCUUGGCAGCUGCCCGGUCUGCACUAUUUCGCCUUUGCAGCCUGUUUCCUCCCAUUUCGACAAAGCCUCCACCCAACCCAACCACCAACAGGUCCCCCUCGACCCCCAGGUGCCGCCGGUCGCUGGCCAAGCCCUUGUUGGAGCUCCAGCCAAGCCGCCCAGCUCAUUUUCUCCUCCUGUAGUUCAGUUCUUCAAGGUUGCAGUGGGAGGCAGUGUUUAUUGUUGCUGUUUCAACCACAGGAUCGCGUUGGAUUGUCGUGGUUGAGGUCCCUGAGCAUAACCCCCGUCGUCGCCACCGCGUCCGUGUCUCUAGCCUACUUAACGGGUGCGUUUAGCUCAUAAUCCUUCUAUUAGUGCCUAAACUUGCUUAGGAUUGGUUUAAUUAGUAUUAAUUCUACUUUAUGAGGUUUGAUUAAGUUAUAUUAGCCCUAAGAUAGGUGGUUAGAUAGAUGAUUAAGAUUAGUUUAGGUUAAUCUUGCUUAAUGUUGCUUAAUUGUGGUUUGUGUGUUAUUAAGCAUGUUUAGCCUUAAUUGAUUGAUUUAAUUAAAUUAAUUAUUGUUUUAAUGAUUUUUGGAUUUGAUUUAUUAUUUCUUUAAUUCUGGAAAUUUAUUGUUCAUGCGACACUAUUCACAAGUAUUGUUCAAGUGCACUGUUCACAUGUACUGUUCACUUGCACUGUUCAUCCAAAAUGCAAAAAGUUGUCUAAUUUCAUGUGUGUUGAUUUUAUGAGGUGAAUUUGAUGUGUCAUUGCAUAGGCAUGCACAUGAAUUGUGUGGUUUCCACAAAAAGGGGAAAAUGGGUUGUCCAAGGGACAUUUGAGAUGGACCAUUUUUAUGAGAAAAUGAUGUGAGGGGGUAUGUUUGCGUGAUCACUAACUCGAACCCGUCACUGAUGUGCGUCGGUAUAUCAGCUUAUGCGAGCAGUAAUCGAAUUGGAACACCACCCAACGAGAGUUUGAGGGCGAUACCUGAUGGGAGUUGGAAGUUGGUCGCAGUAGAUUCUGGACCAAUGUCCCUCUUUGGGAUACCAUCUAGGCGGGAGUUCUAGACGUUGCCAUGAUUGACAGGGUGGGACGAAGCCCAAUUUUUUAUCGAUAGCCCGGCGGGAGUCAAAUGAUCGCUGACUGGAAAGUUACCCAUGGCCAGGAGGUCAUUAAUAACUGGGAUGACAGUUCGUCUACGCCAGUGGAACACGCGUGAGUGUUGAGAUUGUUACACAUUAUUAUGGGGUGAGACAAGGCCCGACUAUGCCGGAAGACCGCCAAACAUGGAGUAUGCCGUGCCUGUUGGGCUGUAAUUAUUUGAAACGCUUAAGUGAGUGAGAUAGUUGCGCUUUAUUAUGGGGUAAAAUUGUGCGGCACGGUAUGGGACAUGUCACAACGAUUUUACCUUAUAAUCGGAUGCGUGUGAUGGAUUGAUGUGGGAUAUGUGGCGCACUAAUGUGCGAGAGCGUAUGAGAAUCAUGGCAUCAUCGGUUCCAGUUAUGCAUGAGUGUAUCACAUCAUUUAUGGCACACACACAUGAAUCGAUAACGUAGAGGGUGUGGCAAUGGCCAGGUGAGAUCGUUUGUGACACAAUUCGUAUGUGAUUGAUGAACUGCAUCAUCUAAUGGCCAUGUGCAUUGCGUGUAUUGUGCUGAGAUUCGACGUGCAGGGUAUGGCAUACCAGGUAAGGUUACAUGCGAACCAAUUAUUGUUUUGUUAGUUGUGGACUUAUUUGUGGGGUGGUUCUGAAGAGAUACCCCAAGUUGAGUUGGUGUCCUAAUCGGGGGACUAAGGGGAGGACUCACUAAGAUUUAGUCUCACUGGUCAUUGUAUAACCACUUUUAGGUCUUUAGAAUGGUGCUUCCGCCAAUGAGAUUUGGGAUCCCCAAGGACUGGGAGAUCGUUGUGACGCACCACUGCUUCCUAGGUCGGGUGCAUCUUUACGAGAAGUAUUUCUCCAUCAUCUGGGUGGAUGAGGGACUGGGUCAAUAGAUACCCCAUCGGUUCCAAGCAUGGUUCAUUCGGGAUGGCGAGAUGCUAAUCGGUCCUCUACAUGGUUUUAACAGGCCUCCCGGUAGGGGCCCCAAGAACGCUGACUGGGAUCCAAUGGAGCUGGACCUUCCUGAUAGUGCUGUGGAGGAUGCUGCCCCUACUCCGCCAGUGAUCGACCCAUACACCUCCGACUAUGACUCGACGAAGUCUGAGUCCACUGGGUCCAAGUGACUGUAGUGCUGAACCCGUGGGUUCCUUUUGUGUAUAGUUGGAUUAGCCUAGCCUAGUUUCUUUUUGGUUUGGCUUAGAGGAUGGAUCAGCCCCUCUAUUAGGCUUGUAGAUCGAGAAUGAUCCUCCAUAAGUUAAUCCAAUAUGAAAAUGUAUAAAUGAGUAGAUGUUGUGUUUUUGUUGUUCAUCUCACUAUAUCAGUUUGAUUGUUUGUUUGAUGGGGAGAUGGUUCGUUUUCCGCUUGCGCAUAAUGAAAAAUAAAAAUGAAGGGUCAGCGACGAGUCAUGGGACAUCGCUUUCUAUCGACCAACAAAGGGGUUGUUGCGUGCUCGGAGUUCGGCAUGUGACAUCCCUACCCAAAGUGGUAUCAGAGCAAGGUUAGCGUUUGGGGUGAUAAGGUGCAAUGGGUUUUGGGAUAGUUAGUAGGAAAGGCUUUUUCCUUAUGCAGACGCCUGUGAUUGGUUAGCUAAUUGGUAGUUUGUUUCGUGAGGGUCACUCAGUUUUCCUAAUUCUGUGCGGAAUUGGAAAGCAGGCUCUAUAGGGAUCCUAUAGAAUGAGUGAUCCGGAUUUGAGGACUCCUAGGAAGAGGUAUGUGACAUAUGUCACUCGGGGUAGGACGUCGCCCAAGGUGGAGCGUCAGCUCAAGUCAGCGCAAGUGAGAGAGUACCGUCGCAGGUUAGUACUAGUGUAGCAGCGCCUAACAAUCCUUAGAUAGGAUCGUACAGGCACUUGAGACUCUUGGGAAUCUAACGGAGUAGCAAGUUCAAAAUCAAGCUACUGCAACCGCCACUACUACCGCCGCUAAUGCCGCUGCUGCUGCCGCACCUGCCGAGGUUCCUCCUAGGAACGUGAUUGUUGAGAGGCCGAUGCAUAAGCUUGUCGAGCAGUUUCUAAGGCUGAAACCACCAAGGUUCAUUGAUGUAGGGGACCCCAAGGAUGUAACACUCUAGGUUCAAGACUUGGAGAAAGCCUUUGCAUUACUAAGGUGCACAGAGGAAGAGAAGGUCGUCCUUGCAGUCUAUCAACUGCAAGGAAAUGCAAGCACUUAGUGGAGGGCCACCAGAGGAAUAGUGUUCUCAAGAGGUGUGGUUCCGAUGUGGGACGCCUUCCUUGAAACUUUUAACGGCAAGUACUUCUCCGACAAUGCUAGAGAACAAAAGAUGGAGGAAUUUCAGCGCCUUCAUCAAGGUCUGAUGACAGUAGACCAGUACGAGGCCAAAUUUGCUGAGCUAUCACAGUACGCCCCCAGGCUAAUAGAGGAUCCAGCUGACAGAGCUAGAAGGUUCAGGAUUGGCCUCCGACUAGAGCUAAAGAGUCCGCCGGUGCCAUUCGAUCUUAAAGAUUAUAAUGAGCCGUAUGGACAAGCCCAGUUGUUAGAGAGGAACUUGAAUGAACAAGCUGCUGCAUCUAGGUCGCAAUUUGGGUCAAGUAGAAAUGGUGAUCAGUUCGAGAAGAGGCCGAUGACUAGAGGAGAAUAUCCCAUUAAUCCCAACCAAAAGGGUAGAAUCGGAAAGUCAGCACCCAAUCUGAACGGCAGAUGUCGAAUUUGUAAAAGAAAGCAUGGACAUACUCUGUGUCCUGGUCUAAUGGGAGCGUGUUACAGAUAUGGUCAGCACAGUCACUGGGUGAAAGACCGUCCGUGCAGGCCAAUAGGACCACAGCAGCUGUAACCGCCGCCACUGAUGGAAUAGAACAGAGGGAAUGCACCGCAGACAGGACGCCACUAAGAUGGCGAAAGGGACAGGGAUGAACUAAGCCAUGCACCGAUUAGGGGAAGAAUUUUUUGGGAUAAUUUAUCAGAAUGGCACAUCAAAAUUUUGGUUAAGCUUUUAGAAUUUCAGUUUGUUGAAAUGCAGUUGUAAAAAGGAGAAUCACUGGUUAGAGUGGUACUUAGCUAAUUUUGCUUAUGUAUAACUUUGAGGUUGUAAAUGGAAAAGAUUGGCUCAAUGAGCAUAUUGUUGUAAUGAAUCGUUGUUGUGUAGUAAUCCAGUUUAAACCGUUAGCAGGAGAAAGUUUCGAGUUUAUUGGAAGUUGAGGGAGAUUCUCGAUUACUUGAACUUCGUCGCUUAAUACAACUCGGUUACUGGAUGUGGGUUGUCGAGGUUAUUUGGUAACUAUAGUGGAUAAGACAGUUGAGGAGCCGAAAGUGGAAAGCAUUGCCAUGGUAUGGAAGUUUUCUAAGGUUUUUCCUGAAGAAUUACCCGGUCUGCCAUUAGAAAAGGAGGUCAAGUUCGUGUUUGAGUUGGCCCCUAGGACGGAGCCAAUCUCUAAGGCUCCUUACCAUGUGGCAUUGUUAGAAUUGAAGGAACUGAAGGUGCAGAUGCAGGAAUUGUUGGAUAAAGGAUUUAUACAUCCUAGUGCAUCACCUUGGGGAGCACCAGUUUGAUUUGUGAGGAGGAAAGAUGGGUCGUUGCGCCUUUGCAUCAACUAUCGGCAACUCAACCAGGUGACAAUCAAGAACAAGUAUCUGUUGCCAAGAAUUGACGAUCUGUUUAAUUGGUUACAGGGAGCUUUGAUGUUCUCGUAGGUCGACCCGAGUACGAGUUAUCAUCAGUUGAGGAUUAAGAGACAAUGUCGUUGGAUAGAACUUCUCAAGGACUGUGAUUGCGACCUCCUGUAUCACCCUGAAAAAGCUAAUAAAGUUACAGAUGCGUUGAAUUGAAAGUCAUCAAUUGCACAGAUGGUGAUUCAGGAGUGGAUUUUACUCAAAAGAGCUGGAGAUUAGGUUUCAAAUCUGAGGUAGGCCACCUUUCGAGUCAUAUGGCCAUCCUCAGAAUUGAACCAAAAGUAUAGCUAAGAAUCAAGUCAUUGUAGAUGACAAAUCUUGAGAUCCAGAAGAUUCUGCAGGAAGAUACAGAAAAGAAAAAGGCUGAUUUGCAAUCUACCGAGGAUGGAACACUAAAAUUUUGUGGACGAUUGUGUGUACCCAACGAUGCGGAACUUAAGGAAGAGAUCUUGUUAGAAGCUCACUAUAGCAAUUAUCAGUAGACCGGCCAGAUGACACCGUUUGAAGUGUUGCAUGGCAGAGAGUGCAGAANNNNNNNNNNNNNNNNNNNNNNNNNNNNNNNNNNNNNNNNNNNNNNNNNNNNNNNNNNNNNNNNNNNNNNNNNNNNNNNNNNNNNNNNNNNNNNNNNNNNCUAGUUUUGCCAAACGGUAAAUUAUUUUUCAAAGCUACUUGAGAUUGUAAUUUACCAAACGGUGUAGCAUUUCGGGAAAUCCCUUUAUCUCAAAGGUAUUUGCAUUCUCCCAAGUGCAUUUCCCCAAAGUUGAACCAAACGGGCCCUUAGUCCAAAACAAGUUUAAAGGUCCUUUGGGACUAUUCAUCUUCUUUAAGAAAAGUUGAUCGAAAGACUACAAUCACCUACCAAGGGGUUGUGCACGCUGGCGAUGGCCGCUUGAGGGUCACCCAACCUUGGCAACCAUCGCCGGACCUUAGGCUACGCGUGGGUCACGCGACCCAAGCGACUGAUGGCCUGAAUCACAUGACUUAGGUGGCCGCUUGAGGUUGCGCACCCUAGGCGGCCACGUGAACCUAGGCAACCAAUGCUUGGGGUCGCGCAACUUUAGGCGGCCUCAUCUAAAGUGGGAAACCUUAGGUGACGGCGUUCGGGGGCUAGAUCUGGUCGUUUGGCGGCCAGAUUCGGUGGUUCGGCUGAUAGAUUUUGCCGAUUAGUGGCCAAACUUCAAAAAAUAAACUACAAAUGUUUUUUUUUAAUUUAAUAAAAGUCAUUUAUAAAUGUAAAUUUUAUCAAACAGUAUUUUAGCCAAAAUUAUUUCUCAAUACACAUUAGAAUUACAAUUCACCAAACGCUAUUUGCAUUUCAGAAAACCCUUUUCAUCCAAAAGUAUUUGCAUUUCUGCAAAUACAUUCCCCAAAAGUCAAACCAAAUGGGGCCUUCAUCGGAUUGCUGCCCUUCGGGCAGUUGUAAAAGCAUCGAGGCAUUAAGUAUGUCACAAAGCAUCAAUUUAAGUUUUUUUGUUAUAUGAAAAUUAAUUUAAAAUAAAUAUAUCAUAUAUAUAUUAAUUUAAAAUUUUCUAUAAUACGAAAAUUCGUUUGAGAUACAUAGAAGGAUAUUAAUAUUCUCAAUUGGGAAUUUUUUUAUGAUAUAUAUAAAGUGUUCGUUUUGUGAAAAAUGAAUGAUUUUGAAAAAUAUUUUUAAAAAAAUGAUUACUUAUAUUAUUUGGAAAAAUUAAUCAACGAAAAUAUUUUUGUUAUUGAUAAUAAUCUAUGUCUAACUAUUUUUAUUAAAAAAAUGAAAAAAAAAAUCCAUUCAUCUUCCGGUGAAACUAAUCCAUCCUAAGUGGAAAAAAAAAAAAAAAAACCUGCAACAUCAUUAAGAGCAAUCACCAUAAGACCUGGCAUUGAGAAUAAAUGAAAAUAUAAGCAUUCGCCGAAUCCAAAUGACCGAUUAUGUGAAUCAAAGAAAGGUCAUUGAACCUGAACUGCGCCUUCUACAUGAAAAGAGGAUAAAUAAGGCACGCUAUCUGCAAGGCACGCUAUCUAUCGCGCCGAGAUAACGUCAGGACAGAUUUUAUUCGCAUCAAAGCAGAGCUUCCCAAUUUCAAUAGUUACAGGCAAGAAUGAAAAGCCACUAGCUCGGCACCGGCGGGCACCUAGGAAAUCAGAAUUCCGGUAGGGCAAGGCUAGAUGGACAUGAACUUUGGAGCCACAAUCUCGAGAAGUCCCUUCGGAUUGUCCACAUGAACCCAGUGGCCAGAAUUAGGAAGAACAUGAACCGAAACCUUCCCUUCGGAUCGGUCCCUUCCCAGACUAGGAAGUCUUUCGAGCCGUUGUAUCACGUCCGGGUCCCAUCGAUCGCUCUUCUCUGCACGUACAAUUGCUAUUUCCGUGGCUUUCGGCGGUUCCUCCAACAAGACCAGUAGGAUGUCUCCCUGUACNNNNNNNNNNNNNNNNNNNNNNNNNNNNNNNNNNNNNNNNNNNNNNNNNNNNNNNNNNNNNNNNNNNNNNNNNNNNNNNNNNNNNNNNNNNNNNNNNNNNNNNNNNNNNNNNNNNNNNNNNNNNNNNNNNNNNNNNNNNNNNNNNNNNNNNNNNNNNNNNNNNNNUUAGCAACCCUUUACAUAGUGUGUCAGACUCUGCAUCUUCAGAUGCACACUGUGAUAAGAGAACUCUGCAUGAUAAUUGGGAUUAUACCCAAACAGAAGUUAUAACAACUCAGACAAUUGAGACAGACUAUCAACUUCUUCAAAUGGAGCAGCCCUUUGGGGUUAAAUUCUGCAAUAUACUGCUUACAUGUCUAAUACCAGACUAUCCAACAUAAAUGACAGUAAGGAAGAUGCACAUGUCCCUUCUCAAGAUGUUGUGGACUUAGAAAACGCCAUUCUAAGGGGUAUUGAAGUACUCAGAACAACUUUCCAAACACUUCUUGCUGCAGAAUGUCUUCAUUUGCAUUAUUAAUUUGCUUGACUAACAAAGAGAGAAAAAUGUUGAGACAUGAAAGCUGUGGCUAUGACAUGCUAGCAAAGGACGAAGGAUAAUCCUACUUUCUUGAUGGGAUUGUUGAAGGUAAACUCUGCAAUGUUUCCAAAACUUUUUCUACUUCUCCGUCACUAUUAUCCGGCUUUACUUCUCCUGGGACAGAAUCUAGCACCCCCAGCUGCUCUGCAUCAGGAAAUAGAAAUAACUAAAGAGCUUUACCAGCACAUUAGCUGCCAUAACGUGCAGAGACACAUAUAUCAUAAUUAGGAUCGCUCAAACAAAAAUUUCCAGUGGCAUUGACAUCACAUAAUAACCUGAUCGGAAAAAGUUAAUUACCAAUAUGGCUUGAAUUUCAAUAGCGCAUCAUGUUCAUAAUAUAGGACAGCAUGGCCAGCAUAACAAAUCAUGCAAGAGCAGAAAACAGAAAAGGAACAAAAUAAAAUGCCAUAGGCCUGUCCACUAUAUUAAUUUCACUCCCAGGUGUUAAACAGACAAUUUAAAAGCUUAGGCUAAUUGGAAACGAAUAUACCAUUCAUAUCAAGCAUAUCUCUUAACAUUUUUCACUGGGUAAAAGCUAGACCUUACACAUGAAGCACAGGAUGUGGAUGCAACAGCAUCAAAUGGAGCAUCAGAGACACCUAAAACAACAAGAUUAUACCAAGGAAACUUGCACAAGGGAUUGCUAGGAUUUAAAUUCUCGCAGCAGAUCAAGACAAGCAAAUUCUCCCAUCAACUUAAGUAUCAGAAAAUUGAACCCUAGCUUAUCAAGCAUAUCUUUUCAUGCCAGACAUCCUGUAAAGCAUCAUAUAUUCUUUCUCUCAUAUUCAAUUGCUAGAACUAAUUUGAAAAUGAAACAUGUACAAGCAGUACCACCUUGGCACCCUUUCAAGGAAAAAAGUCUCAAACUCUGCAAGCCCUACCAACAGCAUGACUGAAGGAAUAAGAGCCAGGGGAAGAUUCACCUCAUUUGUGGCCAUGGAGCCAAUGGUGCAUGCUUUGGGGGUGAUGAAGCAUAUUCUAUCGAUAUUGUUAACCAAACAAUAGUGCAUUCCAUAUUGCAAAAAAAUUUGUAGAAUGAAGCUAAACCAUGCUUUGACUUCUACAAUGAGGUAAGCAAUUCCUAGACAAAACCCAUGGAAUAGCACGAUUGGUAGCAAGUAUCGGAUUAAUGGAAGAACCUCCACUACCAUUCACCAUCGAGUGCAUAGGGACAUCAUGUAUUCUGCUCACUUAUAAAUGAAAGUCGAGGAUUCCAGCUUAAGAAAUAUAUCACCAGAGUUUGGACACAUCAAAGACAAAUACGAGCAAGACCAGGAAAGGAUUGACAGAGCCUUGUGUCGAAGCUCAGUUUACUACCAUAUCAAGAAAUGGCAAGUGCUCUACAACAAUGAACUUCGGCAGGAAUUUAACUCAUGGACUUGUCAAGUUGCACUUUUGGACCCUCAUUACUCAAAAUAUCAUUUUUGCUUCUUUAAGCAUAAUGGGGUUUCCUGCCCUCAAUGAAUCACAUCGUACAGCAAUUAAGCAUUAUCUGCAGAAAAUGACUGGCAAUAUGCUCAAGAAUCUGAGGGACUAAACUAACCAGUAAUCAAGCACUUCCAAUAAAUUAUCACUCGCUAAGGGCAAAUUACUGAGCUGCGAAGCUAGACAAUCACGACAUUUCGAGAAACGACGAGGAAACACGCCUACCAGUCUGGGACACGCGGCGGAUUCACCGUAGUCCCCGCGAGCGCAGCUCUGCGCGAACUGCAAGGCCACCUUGCCGCCCAUGGAGUGGCCGAUCACGGCGUCCGGCCAAGCCCAGCAUCGAGACUUCACCAGAUCGGCCAGAUCCUUGGCGGCGCUGAACAUGUCGUGAGGCGGGCCGAAGCCCCCCAGCUCGGCCGAUCUCCCGUGGUUCCUCAAAUCCACCAGAACCAUCCUCCAAUCUGCAAGCACCCCCGAAGAGCAUUGGGCAAAAGAAAAAAGAAAAGAAAGACUCCAGUCCUCCACGAAACAUUCACAGAAGGGGAGAGAGAGAGGGUACCGGAGGGAGGGGAGGCGGCGGAGAGAGUGGAGGCCAAGGAGCGAGAGAAAGACCUCCAGUUCCUGCCGGAGCCCAGGAGGCCGUGGAGCACGAAUGCCGUCGGGGCGGCGGGACCGUCGCCGGAGGGAGGUGGGGGUACCUCUUCGUAAGCUAGGGUUUGCAGGGACCGGGCGGAGGAGGAGGAGAAGCUGGUCGGCAGGUAACGGUGGCGACUCGGUGAGUCGAGGAACCGAGUCAGGAGGCGGAGGGGCCGUUUGUUUCCGAGACUUCUGGCCAUGGAUGAUGAUCCCCCCUCCUUCGUGCUCGAGUCCGGAUGCUUCAGGCUUGAUUAGAGCUGUUGUGUAUU
Molecule: long non-coding RNA, 135341 nt
Filed under: Eucalyptus grandis
Lineage: Eukaryota; Viridiplantae; Streptophyta; Magnoliopsida; Myrtales; Myrtaceae
Description: long non-coding RNA (EGRA_LNC006526)
Source: RNAcentral